UCUGCCGUUCGGCCAUGUCCCCGAGGGUCUCGACAUCUCUGUCGUUCGGCCAUCUUUCCGAAGGUUUCGACCAUUCGGUCGUUCGGCCUCGCCCAGUACCGGUACUCUAUCCAAAAUAAGUCGAGACCAACAUCGUCAACCACCAGUUUCUGGCCAUGUUACUGCUAAAGGCAAAAAAGAUACCCCAGGUUAAUCACAUAGACGCGAUGAUGUACCCUAGCUUUAAGUUUUUGAGUUAAGUGGGGUGCCGCUUAACUUUGUUUUAACUGCUAAAUGCUUAAGUAGGAGGUCUAUGUAUAAGGGUUGGAACACCCCUAAAGUGUUUCAUUUUAUUCUAUUAAUUCGUUGCUGAUCAAAAAAAAAAAAAAGUGAUGGAUGCUGGAAGGUGUUCUUGAGGAGAGGUUUUUGAGGCUGCAGGACAUUCGGUCGUUCGUCCAAGACUUUUUGGUCGUUCGCCCAAGUCCUCGAAGGUCUCGAUUCGUUCGGCUAAGUCCCGAGGGUCUCCACAUCUGCUGCUGAAGGAACCUCCACUGCUGUUUUUUCUCUCAAAAUAUUACAAUAAUCCCUCUUGACAGUGUUUCAACCUCUGAAGCUCUAGUGCACAUAGUUCAUUUGGAUGGAGCAUACCAUUUGCAUCUGGUGCAAAGGCUAGUGCAGUUUGUGCAGCAUCCUGUGGCAACGAGCUGCUGAUAGUGGUUCUAGUUUUUGAUAAUGGUUGUUUCCAAGGUAGAGGUGCUGGUUUUUGGGAAGAUCUACAUUGUUAUGGUUUCUGCAAUUUAAAAUACACCUGGUGAAGUAAUAGAAGUGGUGUAAGGAAGCAGCCUGUAUAGAAAUUGAAUUGGUGUAUAGAAGGACUAGUGCUAAUGAAGUUGUAGGAAGUAAAACAGAUUUGGGGAAUGAUGGUUUGGUGUGGAUGACGGGUUGGGAUGGUAUGCAGGAGAUAAACCAGCAUAGUAUGAUAUGAUGACUAGGUGUGUUUGUUGGUUUGAUGUGGAAGCUGGUGUUGAAUGCUGGAUGCUGGUUUGUAGGUUAAAGGUGCUCUGAAGUUGUAGGAUGUAAAAAAGAUUUGGGGAAUGAUGGUUUGGUGCGGAAGAUGGUUUGGGAUGGUAUGCAGGAGAUAAACCAGCAUCGUAUGAUAUGAUGACUAGGCGUGCAGGUUUUCUUUAUGGCACUUUUUUUUCAAAAGUGGAUCCAAAAUGCAGGGUGUUGGUCGUUGAUGGAGCCGCAAGGGAUUGCCUGAUUGUUUAUAUCAGUGUAGUGAGGGAUGAGGAUGAAGAAGGGUAUAUGGAGGCUGGUGUACCUAUGGACUCGUGUUUGGCCAAUCUGGUUUUUUGAAGUGUGGCCUUUGCCCAGGUCACGCUGGUUAUAGCUGAACAAUACAACCAGGGAGCUGCUGGCCACCAUAGUGGAGCUAGCUGCUGUAGGAGUCUUUGGUGUUCUCUUUUGCUCAAUCUUUAUAUUACAAUAAUCCCUCUUGUCAGAGUUACAAUCUCUGAAAUUCUGCUUGAGGAAUAUGUUGUAAUGGAGAGUGGAGAGGUGGAUGUUCAGGACUUAGCAGAGAAAGCUGGAUCAAAAUGGUGGUAAAAAGGCUACACUUGAAUGUGUCAAAGUACAUGGUUCAGCAGGAAUAGCUUCUGGAGUGGGAGGCCUUGAUAAAAGACUUUGUUUGAGGUUGGAGCUUUGGAGAAAAAGAACAAGGCUGGAAAGUUUGCGCAGAAGGUCAAAGCGAAGGUCUUGUCAUUCGGUCGUUCGUCCAUGUCCACGAAGGUCUUGACCUUUCGGUCGUUCGUCCAAGUCCUCGAAGGUCUCGACAUCUCUGUCGUUCGGCCAACUCUCCGAAGGUCUCGACAUUUCGGUCGUUCAACACCAGCAUCCAGCAUUCAACACCAGCUUCCACAUCAAACCAACAAUCUCACCUAGUCAUGAUAUCAUACGAUGCUGGUUUAUCUCCUGCAUACCAUCCCAAACCGUCAUCCACACCAAACCAUCAUUCCCCAAAUCUGUUUUACUUCCUACAACUUCAAAAGCACUAGUCCUUCUAUAUACCAAUUCAAUUUCUAUACAAGCUGCUUCCUUACACCACUUCUAUUACUUCACCAGGUGUAUUUAAAAUGCAGAAACCAUAACUAUGUAGAUCUUCCCAAAAACCAGUACCUCUACCUUGGAAACAACCAUUAUCAAAAACUAGUAACACUAACAGCAGCUCAUUGCCACAGGAUGCUGCACCAACUGCACUAGCCUUUGCACCAGAUGCAGAUGGUAUACUCCAUCCAAAUGAACUUUGUGCACCCAGCAUUAGACCCCUAGCUUCCAGACAUCCACUUCCACACCGUUUGAAUAGUUGAAAGAUUGCACGCCAUGUUUCACCCAUAACCACAUUUUAAGUGGUGCCUACUCUCCAAACCUCAUUCUUCCAAGUUGUUCUGUUGCCUCAAGUUCCUACUGCAACCCCAUUCUUUUUCUAUGGUUACAUCAGAUUGCCUUUCCCUAUCCAUCAUGCACUCAUCAACAUAUAAAACAUGCAGGCCUACCAAAUCCUACCUCACAGCCUCACAACACUCAACAGAACAAAACACAUAAAACAUUACAACUUCCUACUAUAAGGAACAGUGAUACUGGAGCAGAAUCCUGCAUAAAACCCCAUAAAUCAACAAUUUGGUAUUGCAAAAAGACAGAUGCAGAGGAUAUACAGUGCUUCCAUGUGCCAGAAACGCAAAAAACUCCCUCCUUCCUUCAAAUACAAGCCUCAUGACUACUCUUGAUGUUACCUCCUCUGCAUUUGACUCUAUUCCUGCAGCAUCUAGAGCCUCUCCUCAGGAACACCUACCAGCAUCCAUCACUUAAAGCUUCUGAUGCAGAUAAGGGGGUUUAGGAUCCAAUCAGCCAGGGAAUAGCAGCAGCGGUGACCUCUAUGCUUUAGCCAUUGCCAUGAUUUGAGUUGAGCCAUCGAAAAAGUCUCUUCCGCAUCAACAACACCUUGUUUGAAUACAGCUGAGUUCCUAUGCUCCCAAAUGCUCCUUACAACACACGCCCAAACUCCUUUCCACAAGAGGUUUUGUUGGCUACUCAGAUGAGGCAAGGAGAAAUUUUCGAAGUGCAUCAUAGGAACAUUAUGCUGCACAAAAGAGAUGCCAAUCCAAUUAAAACAUAACCUCCACACUUUCUGGGCGAAGGUGCAUUCUAGGAAGAUGUGAUGGCAGGAUUCCUCCUUUGCUUGACAAAGCUCACAUAGAGUUGUGUUAAGCAACACUCCUCUCCUCCUCAAGUCGACUCUAGUUGGGAUUCUACCUAGGAGGACUCUCCAAGCAGUUGUAAUACUAUUGGGGAAAGCUUUGAUUCUCCACAGAUGCUCGAACACUUCGUGGCGCGGACUGCUGUCCUGUUUUGCUAAGCAUUCAUAAGCAGACUGGACAGAAAAGGACCCCGAGCCAUCACACCCCCACGUCUGAACGUCUUGGUGACCCCUCAACGGGCUUACUCGGGAUAGGAGUUGGACAAGGUUUGCUUCCAACGGGGAUUCCCAUUCAAACCUAUCCCUUCUCCACCUUAAAUCCCACCUCCAAACAGCGCUUACCCACUCCCCAACCUCACUCACCAUCAGGCCCUGGUCCAAAGAUAAGGAGAACUACCUAGGGUAGAGGGUUUUGAGGUUGAUAUUGCCAAUCCACACAUCCUCCCAGAAGUUCACUUUUUCUCCUCCUCCUAUCUUCCAUACAAGUUGAUUUUUGAACCACCCUCCUCCUUCUCCCUCUGUGCAUACUUUUUUCAAAUCUCUCCACCACCAUGAUUGGAAUUUCACUGGGCCAAGCGGACAAUCCAGAUUCAUCCCAUACUUUGAGACCAAUAGGUCUUUCCACCUCCCCUUUUCUUCCGAUACCAUCCGCCAUCUCCACUUGGCUAGGAGGGCGUAAUUAAACUUCCGAAUAUCUCUGAUCCCCAAUCCUCCCUCCUCCUUCGGUUUGCACACAUUUUCCCAGCUAACCCAGGUUAUCGACCUCUUCUCCUUUCCCCAUCCCCACAAAAACCUUCGCUGAAUGCUGAUAAUGCUUUUAUAUACAGAUUCCGGUGCUUUGAAGAUAGAGAGAUAGAAAAGCGGGAUCGCUGAGAUAACCGAUUUGAUUAGGCAUAUUCUCCCUGCCAAUGACAAAAAUCUUCCUUUCCAGACAUUGAGUCUAGCUUUAAGCUUGGUUAACACCGGUUCCCAGAACUUCACCUUCCUUGGGUUCCCUCCCACUUCUAAUCCAAGGUAAUUAAACGGGACUCCCAUCUGGGCACAACUCAGGGUCUUUGCAUAGCUUGACAGAGCAAAGUUAUCCACAUUCACACCUGCAAUCUUAGACUUAUGGAAAUUUAUCUUUAAGCCUGAUGCUAGUUCAAACCCCCUUAGGAUCGCCUUCACGGCAACAACAUUGCUAUGCGACGCUUCGCAAAGAAAGAGGGUGUCGUCUGCGAAUUGCAUGAUACUAAUCUCCCCCUCUCCUCUACCAAACUUAACACCCGAAAGCAGAUUGGCCUUGUUCGCUUGCCUAACUAGCCCAGCUAGGCCUUCAGCUACCACAAUGAAGAGGAACGGGGCUAGCGGAUCGCCUUGCCUCAAGCCUCUAGAAGGUUUGAAUUCCUCCGUAGGACUCCCGUUAACUAAAACGGACACUGAGGCCGAUUCCAUGCAGUGUAGUGAGGAUUGAGGAUGAAGAAGGGUAUAUGGAGGCUGGUGUACCUAUGGACUCGUGUUUGGUCAAUCUGGUUUUUUGAAGUGUGGCCUUUGCCCAGGUCACGCUGGUUAUAGCUGAAUAAUACAACCGGGGAGCUGCUGGCCACCAUAGUGGAGUUAGCUGCUGUAGGAGUCUUUGGAGUUCUCUUUAGCUCAAUCUUUAUUUUACAAUAAUCCCUCUUGUCAGAGUUACAAUCUCUGGAACUCUGCUUGAGGAAUCUGUUGUAAUGGAGAGUGGAGAGGUGGAUGUUCAGGACUUAGUAGAGAAAGCUGGAUCAAAAUGGUGGUAAAAAAUGGUGGAAAAAGGCUACACUUGAAUGUGUCACAGGAAUAGCCUCUGGAGGUGAGCUUGGGGUUCUACAAAUCUUCUCUAGGUCUCGUUUAUGCUGGUGUUAUGCAGUCUCAGGUAUUGGGACUGAGUGAAAAAGAAGAAGGCUGGAAAGUUUGCGCAAAAGGUCAAAGGGAAGGUCUUGACGUUCGGUCGUCCGUCCAAGUCCACGAAGGUCUUGACCUUCGGUCGUUCGUCCAAGACCUCGAAGGUCUUGCCACCUCUGUCGUUCGGCCACGUCCCCGAGGGUCUCGACGCCUCUGUCGUUCGGUCAACUCUCCGAAGGUUUCGACCAUCGGUCGGUCGGCCUUGCCCAGUUCUGGUACUCUAUCCUUUUGUAAGUCGAGACCAACAUCGCCAACCACCAGUUUCUGGCCAUGAUGCUGCAAAAACACAAUGCUGUACCCUAGCUUUAAGUUUUUGAGUUAAGUGGGGAGCCGCUUAACUUUGUUUUAAUUGCUAAAUGCUUAAUUAGGAGGGCUAUGUAUAAGGGUUGGAACACCCCUAAAGUGUUUCAUUUAAUUUUAUUAAUUCGUUGCUGAUCAAAAAAAAAUCCACAUCACCCACUUGCAGUGGAAACCCAUUUUGUAGAGCAUAUCGUACAUAAACUCCCACCGCACCGAGUCAUAUGCUUUUUCAAAAUCCACCUUCAAGCAGAGACCACUCCUCUCACGCCUUCUAAGAUCCUCUACCACCUCAUUGGCCAUGAGAACACUGUCUAGAAUCCCUCUCCCCUUUAGGAAAGCAGAUUGACUUUCAUCAAUAACGGAGUUCAACACUUUCUUUAUUCUUUCAGCCAACACCUUUGCUAUAACUUUGUAUAGAGCCCCCACUAGUGAGAUGGGACGAUAUUGCUCCAGCGAGAAGGGGUCCUUCACCUUUGGAACCAAGGCUAUGAAGGAUGCAUUACAUCCCUUAGGAAUAGACCCUGUAUCAUGGAACACAGCCAAGGCCUUAACAAACUCGUCUUUUAUAAACUCCCAACUUUUCCUGAUAAAAUUAAAGUUGAAUCCAUCAGGUCCUGGACUCUUUGAUCCUUCACAAUUCCACACCGCUUCCUUGAUCUCAUCUUCCUUAAAGCCAGAGAUAAGAAACAGGUUGUCUUCUGGGGAUAUAGAUUUGAACUCCACUUCAUCAAGUCUUACCCCAAAAUCCCUUGUUGCUGUAAACCUAUUCUCAAACAACUUCUUGGCCUCUGCUCGCACCGUAGAAGGCUCCUCACACCACUGACCCCCAACCUCCACUCCUUUUACUUCGUUUCUAAGCCUUCUCCAUCUCAAGGAGGAGUGAAAAAAUUUAGUACACGAGUCGCCGUACUUGAACCAACAAGCUCUUGCUUUCUGACUAAUGAGGGAGUCUAUCUUUCUGUCAACCUCCCCUAGCUGGUUCAGUAACUCCAGUCUCUCCACCCUCCCACUAACCACCGAACCUCCAUCCUUAUCUUGGUUGUCACAGACCUCAAUUUCGCGCAGGAUACCAUUCUUAAUGGUAUAAAGAUUACCGUACACAUCUCUAUUCCAGAUUUUCAAGUCCCCUUUGAGCAGCUUCAGCUUAACCUUAAGGUUCAAAAUGGCAUUCCCUUGGGCUGGAUAAGAUUGCCACUUUCCCUUCACCAUCCCGUUGAAACCUCUAUCCAUAUGCCAGGCAUCGAUAUUUCGAAAGGGCUUGGGACCCCAGUCCUUAUCCAAGGUCUUCACCACCAGAGCACAGUGAUCAGACACUUCCCUCUGUUGGACAUAUUGUUUACAGUUUGGCCAUAAGCUCAACCACUCCUCAGAGACAAGGAUUCUAUCAAGCCUGCUCUUAGCCGACCCAUUUGCUCUAAACCACGUGUAAGCUUUCCCUACAAUAGGGAGAUCCAGAAGCAUAUUAGAUUCAAUAAAACAAUUAAAACCAUAUAUCUCGCUCGUUUGGCCACUUGCCGUUGCACCCCGACUGCUAGCACCUUUCCUUUCCCGUCUACUUCUUACAGCAUUAAAGUCACCACAGAGACACCAAACCAACUCCUGUGACCCUCCUUUGAUUCCAGUUAUCUCCUCCCAGAGAAUCUUCUUUUCUCUUAGACUACAGGCUGAGUAAAUAUUAACAAUAACACACUUACGUGUAGACCGCAGGUGUUGGCCAAAGAUAACUAUGAAUCCCUUCCCCAUCACAUGACUCUCAUAGCAGAACAUAUCUUUGUGCCACAUGGACAGCAAGCUUCCACCUCCAUUUUCACCUUCAUAGUGAAUCCACCCGACUCUAUUGUCCCCCCACAAAGCAAAACAUCUAGCAUCGGUGAACCCCUUCAAUUUCGUUUCUUGAAUGCAAACAAACUCUGCUCCUUCUCUUGAGAUCAAAUUUUUAAGAUAUCUGCUUUUUGUUCCUCCCCCCAAACCUCGGAUGUUCAAGCUAACUAUCAGCAUAGGAGACCUUUUGUUACCCCCUCUUCUAGCUUCUGUGCAAACUCUACAUCUCUCGUUUCCAUACUCUGAUAUUCCUUCACAACCUCUUCUUCGAUCCUACGACAUACAAUUCCCAUCUGUUUGCCCAUCUCCCACAACUUUAGUGGUUUCUCCGUUACGUCCAGGUCCCGGAACCUUGAGUUACAAAUGAUUGUAUCCCCAUCAGAGAUAGUUGCAGAAAGAGUUCCAGCUUUUGAGGCAGAGUCCCUUACCUGGGAGGGCCAUACUCUUAUUGACCUCCGUGGAAGGGUGCUUGGUUCCGCCAUUUCCCCCAGCCCCUUCAUUCGCAGUCUACCCCUAGGGGAUUGGUUCCUGAUUCCACUUCCCCCUUUGCUGACCUCAUGGCCACGUAUUUCCAGGACUUCCCUUGGCUCCAGCUCCCGACCGACCGAAGCUCCCUCAUGGAUAUGCUGAUUUGUUCGGCCGAACGACCGAACGACCGACACUCCCCCCUCAAUGUUCGGCCCGUCGUCCUUACUCAGGAGCACUCCAUCUCCUACUUCCUCUUGGACUAGCGAAUGGGAUAACCCAUUGCCAAAAAGGGCCGACCGGUUUCCUUCGUGGCCCAAGAAGACAGAGGGUUCGCGCUGAGUGCAACUUAACUCCUCAUCCACAACUAACUUGGCCACGUCAGCCCGAGGGUUGGUACUAUAGUGCAAAGCUGUGGGCCCGUUGCUACAGGUUUUCAGGAUCGCCGCUUCGUCAGAGGCUAUCUGAUUUACUGUUUCCACAUUGGUGAAACUCUUAGCACUGACCCUCUGACAGACUAGACCCUUAGAGGUUGCUUCCCCACGAACCAAGCCUUUUGUCGUAUUCUCUUGACCCUCACCGUCACCUACCACCUCCCUUCCGACUUGGACUUCUUCACCGUUAACUUCACCACCGAUCACCUCCCCCCUAGGCCACUGCCUUAUCCGACCCCGAACUUUUCCUUCCUCUUCACAACUAUUCACAGAGGCAGUAUCCUCUACAUAGGUUUCCGACGAGGAAACACUAUCCGAGGAGCCACCAUCAUCAUAGAUGCACCUGCAUGAACCUCUAUUCCCACAUAUAACUUCUUCUUCUAUACGGAUACUAUAAAGAUUAUUGUUGAUCUUCAUGUCUGCCGCCAUCCCUACACUCUGGCUCUUUGGCAUCCUGACUUGAAGAACAGCAUACUCCAAGUUCUCCCAUAGGAGAGUGGCUUUGCCGAUAGACACUAUAGUUGCCUUAUCUCCCACCACUUUAGAGAAGCACUCCUUGUUCCAGAGAGAAAGGGGUAGUCCAUAGCACCUUACCCAGACGACUUUGUGGCUCGCUAUGCACUUUUCCGACCAUGGUUCAAAGCUUGUGAAAACACUCUCAAACCACUCCUUAUUAAGCUUAAUAAGAGCCUGCAUACUCUCCCCUUCCCUUGGCAUAAGCAGAACUAGAUUGUCUCCUAAGGAAUGCAAAAAAACCGUGCUCAACCCUCCUUUCAGGAACUCUUCGCGUAACUGAUCAAGAUCUAGUUCUGCACGCAGCUGACCAAUGACACUUGCCUCCAUCCACGGUAGGAUCUGUUUUUGGACUGAGAACGUUGGUCCCUUCCACACCUGACGAGGACCUCCCCUUACUAUAUCAGCAUAUGACUCUUCCCCUUUCUUUUUCACCCAUACCUCCUUCUUCCUCUCCCUCCGUGUUUCCGCCAGGCCUUCCCCUCCCCUCCUCCUUGACUCAGAAUGAGGCACCCCCGGGGGAAACUUGUAGACCCUAGACUCGGGUACAAGCCUCCUGUACCUCGGGAUAUUGACAUGGAGCUUCACAUUGCCAAUGAAAAUUUGGUCAAGCUCCUUCUCUAAUCUUGUCGCAUUUCCCACUUCGAAGAAACGAACAAAACCAAAUCGUCUCCCCCACUUGUUCAGCCUUCGAGCAAUGAAAACUUCUUUCACUCUAGCCCAUUUCUGGAAGAUCUUGUGCAUGUCCAGUUCACCAUACCCGUUCGGAAAGUUGGAGAAGAAGAAUGUUGUGGCGUCGCCUGUGCUAUACGCAGAAAUACCUGUCUUCUCUUUUACACCAUGACCACCUUGACCAUUGUGACCACCAUAACCACCAUGAGAAGGGCGAGUUUCUCUCCCUCUCCUUUCUCUCUCUCUCCCUCUCCUUUCUCUCUCCUUUCUCCCUCUCCUUUCUCUCUCCAUUAAAAUUGAACGAGGCAUAAAUAAUUCUGAUUACCUUUUUUUUGAUCAGCAACGAAUUAAUAGAAUUAAAUGAAACACUUUAGGGGUGUUCCAACCCUUAUACAAAGACCUCCUAAUUAAGCAUCUAGCAAUUAAAACAAAGUUAAGCGGCUCACCACUUAACUCAAAAACUUAAAGCUAGGGUACAUCAUUGCGUUUAAGUAAUAAGAUAAUUCUGAUGCCGAACGAGGCAUAAAUAAUUCUGAUUACAUUAAAGUAAUAAGAUAGUUCUGAUGCCGGACGAGGCAUAAAUAAUUCUGAUGCCGAACGAGGCAUAAAUAAUUUUGAUUUCUGACCAAGGUUGGUGAAUAACGUUGAAGUUAUAAUUCGUUAUAUAUUCUGGCCGAACGAACGGUUAAUGAAUUAAUAGAUAAUUCGGAUGCCGGACGAGGCAUAAAUAAUUCGGAUUACCUUAAAGUAAUAAGAUAAUUCUGAUGCCGAACGAGGCAUAAAUAAUUCUGAUUACGUUAAAGUAAUAAGAUAAUUCUGAUGCCGUAGGAGGCGUAAAUAAAUCUGAUUACCUUAAAGUAAUAAGAUAAUUCUGAUGCCGAACGAGGCAUAAAUAAUUCUGAUUACAUUAAAGUAAUAAGAUAGUUCUGAUGCCGGACGAGGCAUAAAUAAUUCUGAAUAAUUCUGAUGCCGAACGAGGCAUAAAUAAUUUCGAUUUCUGACCAAGGUUGGUGAAUAACGUUGAAGUUAUAAUUCGUUAUAUAUUCUGGCCGACCGAACGGUUAAUGAAUUAAUAGAUAAUUCGGAUGCCGGACGAGGCAUAAAUAAUUCGGAUUACCUUUUUUUUUUUUGAUCAGCAACGAAUUAAUAGAAUAAAAUGAAACACUUUAGGGGUGUUCCAACCCUUAUACAUAGACCUCCUAAUUAAGCAUUUAGCAGUUACAACAAAGUUAAGCGGCUCCCCACUUAACUCAAAAACUUAAAGCUAGGGUACAUCAUCGCGUCUAUGUGAUAACCUGGGGUAACUUUUUCCUUAAGCAGUAACAUGGCCAUAAACUGGUAGUAGACGAUGUUGGUCUCGACUUAUAUAGGAUAGAGAACCGGUACUGGGCGAGGCCGAACGACCGAAUGAUUAGCCUCAAUACCCCGAUGUGUGAGCAUGAAGCCUAAGAACUUCCCACCUUCGACGCCGAACGCGCACUUUUCCGGAUUUAAACGCAUGCGGUAUUGACGCAAGGCUUGAAAAACCUCUUUUAGGUCAGAAACAUGUUGCUCGCAAGAGUCUGAUUUGACGACGAUGUCGUCAACGUAUACUUCCACAUUCCGACCGAUCAUGUCGUGGAACACGUGGUCCAUGAGUCGCUGGUAUGUGGCUCCUGCAUUCUUGAGACCGAACGGCAUGACUUCAUAGAAGAAAUUAUCAGAGUCCGUUCUAAACGCGGUUUUUUCCCGGUCACGGUGGUACAUUUGUAUUUGAUUGUAACCCGAAUAAGCAUCAAGGAAACUUAGGAUUUGAUGACCGGCUGCACCGUCGACCAGUCGGUCGAUAGUAGGCAGGGGAUACGAGUCUUUUGGGCACGCCUUGUUAAGGUCUGUGUAGUCUACGCACAUUCUCCAUUUUCCAUUCGCCUUUUUUACCAUCACUACAUUGGCUAGCCAUGUCGUAUAGUGGGCCUUUUGAAUGAAACCAGCUUGAAUUAACUUUCUGUUUCUUCUCGUGCGGCUUUGCGCCGUUCUUCACCUAGUUUCCUUUUCUUUUGAGUGAUCGGCCUGGCCUCUGUAUACACAGAUAAUCGAUGGGUAAUCACAUCUGAUUUUACCCCUGGCAUGUCUGCAGCCGUCCAAGCGAAAAGAUCAGCGUUCUUUAUUAAUGUUUUUCCGACCGCCUCUCGGUCGUCCGGAUUGAGAGAUGUUCCCAUGUAUGUUUUUCGGUCUUUGUCUUGGAGGAAUAUGGGUUGAAGAUCUUCCCCUGCUUCCAUCCGGGGAUCAUCCAGUCGAGGGUCUAGAUCGACUAAGGCGACCAAGUGUCUUCUAGUUUUAAUAUUUUUCUCCCUCAAUAGAAAAUUUGGUCAACACACUCGUUUAACUCAUAUCAUAGUAAUCAUCACUAUGUUGAAACUCUUGAGUUGUAAUUGUAAGGGUGAGACAACCUUCUACAACAUAGAGUGGAAUUGCAUAAAACUAAGGAUCAUACUUUAAUAAUUCAACUGGUUUUAAGAGAAGGAUUGUCUUUUCUCAGUCGGUAUCUUUUUCACAUAACGUUUUUGUACUCUUCUUUAACUCCUUUACUUUUCGACUUCUUGAGCUCCAAACUCGGAUAAUAUCUGUAAAAACAUUCUGACGUUCAAGUCAGAUUUCCAAUAUUUGAUACUCGGUGCUAUUAGUCCUGAAAGAUGACUACCUUAUUUUCAAAAUCUGUGCAUAUUUAUAUAAUUAUCAUGAGUUUUUUGUUAUUGGGUUCGCAAGUGAUAGAUUUUAGAAAUACCUUAUGCAUGCAUCUUAUACAUAUUAUCUAUUUGAUGUUUAUAUUUGUUCACAUGUUUGUUCAUAUGGCUCACCUCCCCGGGCUUUUUAGCAGAACUCUAGUACUAUUUCAGCCUCUGGUGGAGCUAAGCUGUUAACAAGAAUGUUAGUGAGUACGUCGCUCCCAUACAGGGGUCUUCCUUUGUGCCUGAGAUUGCAGACAAUACUAUGAUGAUGCUAGUGUGAUCCAAUAAUUUUCCAAACAUAAACUGUUUGGAGUGCCAAUGAUCCGUGACCAACUCCAUUCUUUCUCCUCUCCAACUUCUAAUUCUGCUAACUGCCAUAAGUCAUGAUGUUACCAAAACACAAUUNNNNNNNNNNNNNNNNNNNNNNNNNNNNNNNNNNNNNNNNNNNNNNNNNNNNNNNNNNNNNNNNNNNNNNNNNNNNNNNNNNNNNNNNNNNNNNNNNNNNCUUUGCUUGUGAGAGAGUUUUAAAUGGCAGGUUUGAAAAGGGUAUUGCAAAUGCCAAAAGGGGUAGAAUUCAAGCACUAUGGUCGAAACCUACGGAAAGAUGGCCGAACGACCGAGAUGUCAAGACCCUCGGGGACAUGGCCGAACGACAGGAAUGACGAGACCUUCUAGGACUUGGGCAAACGACCGAGAGGUUAAGACCUUCCCGUACGACCGAAGGUCAAGACCUACGCUUUGACCUUCUGCGCAAACUUCCAGCCUUCUUCUUUUACUCCAAAGCUCGAACCUCCAGCAAAGUCUUUUAUGCAGUCCCAAUACCUGAGACUGCAUAACACCAGCAUGACACAAGUCCUAGAGAUGAUUUGUAGAACCCCAAGCACACCUCCAGAAGCUAUUCCUACUGCAACCCCAUUCUAUUACUGAAGUUACAUCAGAUUGCCUUUCCCUAACCAUCAUGCACUCAUCAACAUAUAAGACAUGCAGGCCUCCCAUUUCCUACCUCGCAACCUCACAACAACUGAUUUAAACAAUCAGGCUGUCCCUUACAGCUCCAUCAACGACCAACACCCUGCAUUUUGAAUCCACAUUUGAAAAAAAGCCAAAAAGAGAACCUGCACGCCUGCAUUGUCUUAAGCUUUGUUUGUAAAAAGAAGCUUUUGGCUUAGAGCACCUUUAACCUACAAACCAGCAGUCAGCAUUCAACACCAGCUUCCUCAUCAGACCAACAUACUCACCUAGUCAACAAAACAAACGAUGCUGUUUUAUCUCCUGCAUACCAUCCCAAACCAUGUUCCACACCAAACCAUCAUUCCCCAAAUCUGUUUUACUUCCUACAACUUCAGAGCACCUUUAACCUACAAACCAGCAUCCAGCUUUCAACACCAGCUUCCACAUCAAUCCAACAAUCACACCUAGUCAUCAAAUCAUGCGAUGCUGGUUUAACUCCUGCAUACCAAACAACCAUUAGCAGAAACUAGAACCACUAUCAGCAGCUCGUUGCCACAGGAUGCUGCACAAACUGCACUAGCCUUUGCACCAGAUGCAAAUGGUACUCUCCAUCCAAAUGAACUAUGUGCACACGAGAUUCGGAGGAUGAAACACUGUCAAGAGUGAUUAUAAUAAUAUUUUGAGAGAGAAAACAGCAGUGGAGAUUCCUUCAACAGCAGAGAUGGAGACCCUCGGGACUUAGGCGAACGAAUCGAGACCUUCGAAGACUUGGGCAAAUGACCAAAAAGUCUUGGACGGACGACCGAAAGUCCUGCAGCCUCAAAACCUCUCCUCAAGAACACCUUCCAGCAUCCAUCACUUAAAGCUUCUGAUACAGAUAAGGGGAUUUAGAAUCCAAUCAGCCAGAGAAUNNNNNNNNNNNNNNNNNNNNNNNNNNNNNNNNNNNNNNNNNNNNNNNNNNNNNNNNNNNNNNNNNNNNNNNNNNNNNNNNNNNNNNNNNNNNNNNNNNNNUGCUUUAGCCAUUGCCAUGAUUUGAGUUGGGCCAUCGAAAAAGUCUCUUCCGCAUCAACAACACCUUGUUUGAAAACAACCGAAUUCCUAUGCUCCCAAAUGCUCCUAACGACACACGCCCAAACUCCUUUCCACAAGAGAUUUUGUUGGCUACUCAGAUGAGGCAAGGAGAAGUUCUCAAAGUGCAUCGUAAGAACAUUGUGCUGCACAAAAGAGAUGCCAAUCCAUAUAAAACAAGACCUCCACACUUUCUGGGCGAAGGGGCAUUCUAAGAAGAUGUGUUGGCAGGAUUCCUCCUUUGUUUGACAAAGCUCACAUAAGGUUGUGUUAAGCAACACUCCUCUCCUCCUCAAAUCAACUCUNNNNNNNNNNNNNNNNNNNNNNNNNNNNNNNNNNNNNNNNNNNNNNNNNNNNNNNNNNNNNNNNNNNNNNNNNNNNNNNNNNNNNNNNNNNNNNNNNNNNGUGGCGCGGACUACUAUCCUGUUUAGCUAAGCAUUCAUAUGCAGAAUGGACAGAGAAGAACCCCGAGCCAUCACACCCCCACGUCUGAACAUCUUUGUGACCCCUGGACGGACUUACACGGGUUAGUAAUUGGACAAGGUUUGCUUCCAACGGUGAUUCCCAUUCAUACCUAGCCCUUCUCCACCUUAGGUCCCACCUCCAAACAUCACUGUCCCACUCCCCAACCUCACUCACCAUUAGGCCCUGGUCCAAGGAUAAGGAGAACAACCUUGGGUAGAGGGUUUUGAGAUUGAUAUUACCAAUCCACACAUCCUCCCAGAAGUUCACUUUUUCACCGCCUCCUACCUUCCAUACAAGUUGAUUUUUGANNNNNNNNNNNNNNNNNNNNNNNNNNNNNNNNNNNNNNNNNNNNNNNNNNNNNNNNNNNNNNNNNNNNNNNNNNNNNNNNNNNNNNNNNNNNNNNNNNNNNNNNNNNNNNNNNNNNNNNNNNNNNCACCGCCCCUCUUCUUCCGAUACCAUCCGCCAUCUCCACUUGGCUAGGAGAGCAUAAUUAAACUUCCGAAUAUCUCUGAUCCCCAGACCACCCUCCUCCUUCGGUUUAAAGUAAUAAGAUAAUUCUGAUGUCGAACGAGGCAUAAAUAAUUCUGAUUACGUUAAAGUAAUAAGAUAAUUCUGAUGCCGAACGAGGCAUAAAUAAUUUCGAUUUCUGACCAAGGUUGGUGAAUAACGUUGAAGUUAUAAUUCGUUAUAUAUUCUGGCCGAACGAACGGAAAUAAUUCGGAUUACCUUAAAGUAAUAAGAUAAUUCUGAUGCCGAACGAGGCAUAAAUAAUUCUGAUUACGUUAAAGUAAUAAGAUAAUUCUGAUGCCGAACGAGGCAUAAAUAAUUUCGAUUUCUGACCAAGGUUGGUGAAUAACGUUGAAGUUAUAAUUCGUUAUAUAUUCUGGCCGAACGAACGGUUAAUGAAUUAAUUAACUUCUGACCAAGGUAGGUAAUUUAAAGUGCCUCGUUAAAAGCUUCUCGGUAGAAAACCCUCCUUAGGGAUAAAACUACCGAGCGAGGAAAGAGUGCACUGAGUUUAUUCAUCAACUGUAGUAGAAUUUGAGAUGCGUGGCAUUCCAUGUUCUCGGUAUAGAUUUUCCUGACAAAUAUUCUAAGUAAUAAGCUCCUCCUGUUGCUGUGUCGGAGAUUCGGAACGGUCCUUCCCAGUUGCUUGAAAACUUUCCUCCGUCCUUCCGAGCGUUGCUGCGCAUGCGCCAAACUAGAUCUCCUUUCUGAUAGUUUCGUGGCUUCACUUUCGAGUUGUACCUUCGUGCUGCUCGUAUCUUGCAUGCUUCUUCCCUUAUCUUGCAUUUGUCCCUCAAUUCAUUGAUGAGGUCGAGGCCGACUAGUAGACUUUCCUUGUUUAAGUCUAGGUCUAAUGUCUGUCGGCGUAGUGAAGGCUCGCCGAUCUCGACCGGAAUCAUGGCUUCUGUGCCGUACGUCAGGCUGUAAGGUGUUUCCUGAGUCGUUGAUUGGGGAGUACAACGAUAAGCCCACAGAACCUCCAACAAUUCUUCCGUCCAGUUUCCCUUAGAGGGGCCAAGUCUCUUCUUUAACUCAUUGAGAAUAACUUUGUUGGCCGCUUCUGCCUGCCCGUUGGUUUGAGGGUGUUCGACCGAACUCGUUAUGUGUUUGAUGUGAAGUUUCUCAUAGAAUUCAGCUAGCCCACGGUCGGUGAACUGCCGGCCGUUGUCUGUGAUAAUUAUCUGGGGUAGGCCGAACCUGCAGACAAUGUUUUUCCACACAAAGCUUUGGACGUUCCGGGCGGUGAUGGCCGUUAGCGGUUCAGCCUCAAUCCAUUUAGUAAAGUAAUCUAUGCCAACCAACAAGAACUUGCAUUGUCCCUUUCCAGGUGUGAAAGGUCCGAUAAUAUCCAUGCCCCACUUCACAAAUGGCCAAGGGGAUAGGAUAUAGUGUAGGUGUUCUGGCUUUUGGUGCGAUAGGGUGCCGAACUCCUGACACUUUAUACAUCUUUGAACGUAUUCGGUGCAGUCCCCUUGUACGGUCGGCCAGUAGUAUCCGGCUCUGAAAAUUUUAGCGGACAUAGUUCGUGCCCCUGAAUGGGUUUCGCAUAUCCCCUCGUGCAACUCGGUCAUUACAUAUGUGACCUGUUCUGGACUAAGGCAUUUUAGGAGGGGACGGGAGUACCCUCUCCUGUAGAGGUCUUGGCCAACGAGUAUGUAUCGGGCGGCUUGUAGUUUCAUUGUCCUCUCUAAGUGUGGAUCGCAUGCUCCGUCGGUCAGAUAUUGUUUUAUGGGAGUCAUCCAAUUUGGUUGAGUGUCGGUCGUCAUACAUUCUUCGGUACCAACACUUGGUUUAGAGAGGGUCACAUGUAUGCCCGACCGGUGGACACCUUUAUUUUUUAAGGUAGCCAAUCUUGAUAGAGCGUCCGCCCUAGUGUUAUUUUCCCUUCGUACGUGUUGGAAUGAGAUUUCUUCGAACCUGUUUAGAAGAUUUUGCACAAAAUGAAAAUACUGCUGGAGUAAGGUUUCUCUUACCUCAUAUUCUCCUGUUAUUUGCCCAAUGACUAGACGGGAGUCGCUCUUACAAAUUAUAUUUGUUAUCUCCAACUCAAUCGCCAGAUGUAGACCUGCGAUUAUAGCUUCGUAUUCGGCCUGAUUAUUGAAAGUUUUGAAUUCAAACUUCAUGGCUUGUUCGACAACAAUUUCCCCUGGUCCUUCAAGUACAACUCCUGCUCCGGACGAACGACUGUUUGAUGAUCCAUCUACGUAUAGUGUCCAUCGGGGAGUUCGUUCGGUCGGAUAGGGAGUGAGUUCCGCUGUGAAGUCGGCGAGGGCUUGGGACUUGAUGGCCCCCCUGGGUUGGUAUUCGAUGUGGAAUUCUGACAGCUCGACUGCCCAACCUAUCAUUCGUCCGGCGAGGUCAGGCUUGGUGAGAAUCUUCAUAAUGGGAUAGUUAGUCUUAACAAUAACCUUGUGAUUUUGGAAGUACAUCCGCAUCCGUCGUGCGGUAAUGACUAGAGCUAAGGCAACUUUUUCGACCAUUUGGUACAGGGUCUCCGCGUCGUGCAAGACUCGGCUGACGAAAUAUACCGGUCGCUCUUCCGCUCCGAUUUCUUGUACUACAACGGAACUCACUGCUUCAUUGGAGACAGCGAGGUAAACCACAAUGGGCUCUCGUACGUUCGGUUUCUGGAUGACCGGUGGGGAAGCCAGGAAUGUUUUCAGCUGUUGGAAAUUUUGUUCGCAUUCAUCCGUCCAUUCAAACUUAGUCGUUUUCUUCAAAAGCUUUAUAAUGGGUCUUGUUCGUUCGGCAAGCUUUGGUACGAACCGAGAUAACGACGUGAGACGGCCGACUAGUCUCUGGAUCUCUUUGAGUCCGCUGGGACUUCGCAUUUCGGUGAUUGCCUUGCAUUUUUCUGGAUUAGCCUCAAUACCCCGAUGUGUGAGCAUGAAGCCUAAGAACUUCCCACCUUCGACGCCGAACGCGCACUUUUCCGGAUUUAAACGCAUGCGGUAUUGACGCAAGGCUUGAAAAACCUCUUUUAGGUCAGAAACAUGUUGCUCGCAAGAGUCUGAUUUGACGACGAUGUCGUCAACGUAUACUUCCACAUUCCGACCGAUCAUGUCGUGGAACACGUGGUCCAUGAGUCGCUGGUAUGUGGCUCCUGCAUUCUUGAGACCGAACGGCAUGACUUCAUAGAAGAAAUUAUCAGAGUCCGUUCUAAACGCGGUUUUUUCCCGGUCACGGUGGUACAUUUGUAUUUGAUUGUAACCCGAAUAAGCAUCAAGGAAACUUAGGAUUUGAUGACCGGCUGCACCGUCGACCAGUCGGUCGAUAGUAGGCAGGGGAUACGAGUCUUUUGGGCACGCCUUGUUAAGGUCUGUGUAGUCUACGCACAUUCUCCAUUUUCCAUUCGCCUUUUUUACCAUCACUACAUUGGCUAGCCAUGUCGUAUAGUGGGCCUUUUGAAUGAAACCAGCUUGAAUUAACUUUCUGUUUCUUCUCGUGCGGCUUUGCGCCGUUCUUCACCUAGUUUCCUUUUCUUUUGAGUGAUCGGCCUGGCCUCUGUAUACACAGAUAAUCGAUGGGUAAUCACAUCUGAUUUUACCCCUGGCAUGUCUGCAGCCGUCCAAGCGAAAAGAUCAGCGUUCUUUAUUAAUGUUUUUCCGACCGCCUCUCGGUCGUCCGGAUUGAGAGAUGUUCCCAUGUNNNNNNNNNNNNNNNNNNNNNNNNNNNNNNNNNNNNNNNNNNNNNNNNNNNNNNNNNNNNNNNNNNNNNNNNNNNNNNNNNNNNNNNNNNNNNNNNNNNNNNNNNNNNNNNNNNNNNNNNNNNNNNNNNNNNNNNNNNNNNNNNNNNNNNNNNNNNNNNNNNNNNNNNNNNNNNNNNNNNNNNNNNNNNNNNNNNNNNNNNNNNNNNNNNNNNNNNNNNNNNNNNNNNNNNNNNNNNNNNNNNNNNNNNNNNNNNNNNNNNNNNNNNNNNNNNNNNNNNNNNNNNNNNNNNNNNNNNNNNNNNNNNNNNNNNNNNNNNNNNNNNNNNNNNNNNNNNNNNNNNNNNNNNNNNNNNNNNNNNNNNNNNNNNNNNNNNNNNNNNNNGCUCCAAACUCGGAUAAUAUCUGUAAAAACAUUCUGACGUUCAAGUCAGAUUUCCAAUAUUUGAUACUCGGUGCUAUUAGUCCUGAAAGAUGACUACCUUAUUUUCAAAAUCUGUGCAUAUUUAUAUAAUUAUCAUGAGUUUUUUGUUAUUGGGUUCGCAAGUGAUAGAUUUUAGAAAUACCUUAUGCAUGCAUCUUAUACAUAUUAUCUAUUUGAUGUUUAUAUUUGUUCACAUGUUUGUUCAUAUGGCUCACCUCCCCGGGCUUUUUAGCAGAACUCUAGUACUAUUUCAGCCUCUGGUGGAGCUAAGCUGUUAACAAGAAUGUUUGUGAGUACAUCAAAGUGCUUCUGAGCAGAUCUCUGUCAUGUAGUGAGAGAUUGCAGACAAUACUAUGAUGAUGCUAGUGUGAUCCAAUAAUUUUCCAAACAUAAACUGUUUGGAGUGCCAAUGAUCCGUGACCAACUCCAUUCUUUCUCCUCUCCAACUUCUAAUUCUGCUAACUGCCAUAAGUCAUGAUGUUACCAAAACACAAUUUCAGUAUCUUUGCUUGUGAGAGAGUUUUAAAUGGCAGGUUUGAAAAGGGUAUUGCAAAUGCCAAAAGGGGUAGAAUUCAAGCACUAUGGUGCAAGUUUUCAAGCUACUUAUUACAGUAUUAUAUAUUAUUGCUAAUGCUUUGUAGUGGAAAGCUAUAGCAGACAAUAUCAAAGAAGUUUGACAAAUGGGAACUUAAAAUGCAUAGAACUCGAAUCUUUAUAAAAUCCAUCCUUCAAGUUUGACAAAUGGAUGAUAUAAUCAUUAAUUAGAAACUAUUUUUGAGAAAGAAAAAAAAUAGUUUCUAUAUUGAUUAAAUUAGAUAUUAUUUUUUGUCUCUAAAAUUGUUUUUUAUUUAAUGAUUUUCUUGUAGUGAGUUAUAAACUUAUUAUAAAAGUUUUCCAUCAGAUAAUUGGAAUCUAUCUCAGUGUGAUAAGGUUCUUACCCUGCCAUCUCUGAGCUCAAAUAUGACAGAACCUUCAGAAAAUGGAAUUGGUCUUGUUGAUGCCACCUGUGUUGCAUAAGAUUCAAUGUCAAUUCUAUGUUCUUGUUACUUUUUAUUUUAUUUCAAAAUAGAACUUUGUCAAUUUUAACCAACCAGUAAUCAUACACUAACUUUUACCUUUGGUUCACAAUUUAAGUUGAGGUCAACAAGGUUGUCUUGGUUCUUGUUCAAGCCAGAUGCACAAUUUCCAUCACUCUGAACUGGUUUCUCCUCAUUGAAUCUUCCACUUUGUGCUUCAACAAUUUUAUUUCCCAUAUUGGGGAAGCCACAAUCCUUCCACUUCCAUGCAUUGUUGUCCAUGUAUCUCAGGUAUACUUUUCCAUCUGAGCCAAUCAAAAGUAGUUGAUUCCCUUCAAAGCUUGGACCAGGUGAACCAACCAGUGUAACACCUUUAUAAGGUGUUCCAUGUUCUAUCCAGUUCCAUCCAUGCCAAGUAUUCCACUGGUACUCAACAAGACCACCUUCUCUUGAAAGCAUGAAGAGAGAACCUGAGAGUGAUUUUGUUGAUGGUCUUAUGACUGUUCCAGGAAACUGUGAUAGAAUCAAAUGUUGAGACUGGUAAUGCUCAUGCCACAAUUCAGUCACUUUGUUAUACUGAUAUAGACGACCAUUUCUUCCAGUGACAAAGACUAUAUUUUCCCUGAACAAUUCCUGGUCAACUAUAGUUGCAACUUUAACAUUUUGAGGAUUUUUGCAAUCUUUCCAUUUGAACUUCCUCAUGUACACCUGAGUAAACAUGUAAAUUUUUACUUCACAUCUAGCUAGUGUAGCAGUAUUUCAAGUCUAAAGAGUUUAUUCCCUGAAAAUUUUAAUAUUUAAUCCAUGUGUGUUAUAAAUAAGACUUUAGUUUCACUACUUUCAACUAAUUCAUUUUGCUAGUUCCUUUGUUUCGUGAGGUUGCAACUUGUGGAAAGAGUUCUUAACGGUUCAAAGGGCAUAAUUACCAAUGUUUAAGGCACAACUGUAAAAAAUAUACGGAAGUGUUGGAGAUCUUACAUAACUAGAGAUUAAGAUAUUUCAUAGUAUAUAAGUGGGUGUUGGUGCAAACCUUUAUAGGUUGGUUUUACGAGGUUGAGUUAGACUUAAAGUCUACUUCUUAAUAUAGUAUCAAAGUCAUUUCGGACCUAUUCUAAUGAGAGUUUAUUGGGUAGAAUUACCAAUGUUUAAGGCACAAACUGUAGAAAAUAUACAGAAGUACAAUCAUAUUUUUGUUAAGAGGCAUGCAAUCAUCUUAAGCUUUUUGAAAUGUUAUUCAUUCACACUUCUAGCAUCUUUUAUCAAGGCUUGUCUCUUAAGUAUUCUAACUUCUAAGCAAUUAAAAAGUGAAUUGGUUGCACCUAUAUCAUCAUCUUGUACCAUACAUUUUAGUUUGAGAAAUUGUGUUGCUGUUUACCUACCAUGAACUGCAGUAAUCCUCCACUUUUGCUCACAAAGAAGAUUGAAUCUUCAGUUGUAGCCCUCCUUGCUUUACCUGGUAAUGUAUCCCAUGGUUGACCUCCAAUAAUAUGUCUCCCUUUCCUCGUAGCAGUGCAGUUUUUCCAUGCCAUCUCGUUAUCACUCCAUUCUCUAAGGAACAGACUCCCAAAUGAAUCAACCAUAAACAAACUUCCAUUAUAGUUCCCCACUAUACCACUCAUAGCCGAGGAGCUAUCAUGCUUCAACCAUACCCAUACAUUCUCAAUACAAACGUAUUCAAAAACAAAACCAUCAUUGCUUAUUAAGAAGAAUGACUUGCCUUCAUACAGCAGUCUUAAGCGAAAGUUACUACUAAUCCAAUCAUCUGGCAGAUUGUAUUCUUCUGAAGACUUGUUCAGUUCACCACCUUUGCCUAGAGACAAGUAAUGACUCUGUGUUUGGCUUUGUUUUCUUCUACUUGUUCCUGAAUCAUUUGAGUCAUCUUUUGUACCUGUCAUACAAUUUCUGGGGCCACGUUCUUCUGUACAAUAUUCUGCAUUCCACCCUUCACUCUCUGGCACAUCUAAUAUAGUCCAAACAUAUCUGUUUGAUGCUUUCCUUCUAGAGUUUUGUGGUGCAGAUGGUCCUGAACUUUCACCCCCUAUUCCUACUAGAUGCAAUUCUGCAAGUCUACCAUCGUCUAGUGCAUACAGUAUCCUCCCAACUUGGAAUGCUAAGCCAGCUAUACCUCUUGCUGCUUUUGCUUGUGAGGGAUGCUCAUGACUUCCCCAUGCUUCUGGAAACUGAUUAUUAUGAACACUACCUGUUUUCAUUUGAGAAUUCAAUGUCUAAAACGCAGUAUUCAGAUAGAAAACUUUGUUGGAACAGGAAAGUUUGAGUCUUUCACAGAUGGGUGCAGAUAAAUUAAAACCUUUAACAGUAAAAACAUAUACUUCACACCUUAAUAAAUCAAUAUUUUAUUCAUUUUCAUUUUAUUUUUAAUUUAAAAUUAUUAUUAUAUUAUUAUUAACAGUAUCAAAUGUAUGUCAUUUACGGUUCAGAGUGUCAACAAAACUUUUCUCUUCUCAAUAUUAGUAUUCCAUGUCUUAUUUUAUUCUGCAGAAUAUAUAUUGCAAAUACUAGCUAUUUUUAUGAGUAGGAAUUAUGUUUACUGAUGUUGAAAUAAUGAAUCUAAUCCACAAAUAAUAUUGUUAGUCUUUUCGUUGCUUGUGUAUAAGCUUCAAUAAUCUUUCAGGUUCUUGACAGAUUAUGAAUUUGAUUACAUAACAGUUAAGUAUCAAUUGAUUACUCUUGGUUCCUAAUUAUCAAACAACUAGAGUGAGGUAAACUAUCUAAGAGACACAAGUAAAGGUAGCUGGGAAUGAUAAUUGUCUCUUAUUUACUUCCUAGGAAUAGGAAUCAAAUUUCAGAUGGACGAUAGGUUUUGGUAAUGGUGAUAACUAUUCCAAAAAGUUUGAUAGAUAAAGAAUGAAACUGAAAAUCCCAAAUAGUAUGUUGCAGAUUCCACGUCAAAUAAAGAUAAAACAUCUCAUAAUAUAUGAUAAUAUAUGACUGAGUGUAAACUUCACCUUAUCAGCCAAUUUUAUAAGAUUGAGUUAGGAUUAAAAUCCACUUCUUAAUAUAAUAUAAUAUAGUAUCAUAAAGUUCAUAUUUAGUAAAAAUAUUAGUAUAGUCAUAGAAGUAAAUAUCAAUCAUGGAUGAAGUUAAACAGAUUUAGAGCAAUUGGAUGACUCACCUAGUUGUUUUGGCAUUUGAUAUUCAAAAACAGAUCCAGCUGAAGUAGUAAAGAAUAAAGAAUUGAAUGUUUCACUUGAUUCAUCUUGCAAAGCUGGUGUAAUAGACGUCAAAGUUUGCUGUUCAGGGCUUCCAUGAACUACCCAUUUCCACUUCCUUUGAUGCAAUCUUCUCUCCACCAAAGUGCCUUCCUGUAUAAUUAUCAUUUUUUUUAAAUGGUGUCCAAGAGAGACAUGGUUUUUAGAUUCUUAAAGGACCUCAUUAAGAUGAAAUUCUAAAGUUUAACAACAUGCCCAAUUGAUUUUAAAGUUAAUUGGAACCAUGGUUUUACUUUACAUAAGUAAUUUUGAUUAAGCUUAUGUUCCUGAUUAAUUGGGCAUCAACUUGAGAGUAUUCACCAAUAUGUUCUUUAUUAUUAUAGCACUCAUAUUCUGAUAAUGGAAGAUAUGUUCAUACAGUACUUUCAUUAACAGUACCUUGGUUAAAAGAAACAGAGAUUCAGAAUGAUCACCACUUAAUCCAUGUAAAAUGCACCCUUUAGAUGGAAUCAAAGGUGAAAAUUUUGCUGUUUUUUCUUGCCAUAUGUGCUUCCUCCACGACGGUUUUGAUUUUCGAUUAUAUUCAAAAAGAUCUCCCGAAGAACUACAUCACCACAUCAUCCAUUAGUUAGACUCUAUGCAACAUAGACACUAACAAAGACACGACAUAGAUACGAACAUGGAGAUAUAUAUAAUCUCUAAAAUGUAAGACACUGAGACACGAAUCUAUAUAUUAUAUAACUAUGAAUUAUAUAAAUUGGUAAUAAAGAUUUAUAUGCACAAAUGUAUUUCACAUUUUUUUAGCAGCAAUAUUUUUUGAAUUGGACACUUCAUUUAUACAUGUCUUAUUACGUGUGUCCGACACGGUCAUGUCAUUUAAGAGGAGUGUCCGAAUAUUAUAGGUGAAGAAUGAUGUUUGGUACUACUUAAAGACAACAGGGUUUUGUUUUCUAUCUUUCUUUACUGUUCUGUUUGUUAGUCAAAUUGUUUCAAGCAACAUACACAUCACCCACCUUAUGGUGUAUACUGCUUCUCGUGUAGAAGCAACAGCAGCUAUUGCUGCAACAUUUGCUCCUGCUGGUUGCCCAUGAUUUGUCCAUCUGCUCUAUAUAUUGCCAAAAUAGGACCGAAAUUAGUAAUAUUUGCUUAGGAUUUAACUUAUGUACAAUUAUGUGCUGCAAAACUUGAGUUUUACCUUGGAGACUCAACCACAUCAAGUUCUACUAGAGUUCCAUUUUUUGUACAGAAAUAACCUCUUCUGUGGACAAUGCAAGAACACAAACGAGACAUUAAGAGUUUGAUUGGUUUCAGACUUUAAGUAAUCAUCCAAUUCAAAUACAUCCUUGUGUUAUGUGUUUAAUCUCAAACUAAAAUUUCAAUGUGUACUCACUGCCCAUCAUCUGACACCACACCAGACUUCAUCAAUGUCAAAGUAUUUUUCUCCUGAUCAUUAUCUUCAAUUGGACCAAGUGCAGGUGGGAAUUCAACCCAAACUGGUUGUGAAGUUUCACCAAGUUGCAAAUGCAUCUGCUAAAAUAAACAAAGUCAGUAGAGAAGUGACCGAUUUAAGUGCAGAAUCAGAUCAUAUUAGUGAGUGAUUUAAGUUACAAUUCAAGUUGACAAUCUGUAUACAUAUAAUCACUAUUAGAUUCGAACACUCCUCUUACAUGACGUGUCCGUGCCAGACACACAUAUCAGACGUCUAAUAAGAGACAAAUUCUUUUGAACCAACCAUGAAAAAUAUUUCUUUUUUAAAAAAGACCGAAACAUACCUGUGCACAUAAAUUUUUAUUGUUAAUUUAUAUAAUUCAUAAUUAUAUAAUACAUAGAGUAUGUGUUUCCAUAUCCUAUAUUUUAGAUAUUAUACAUAUCUCCUGUGUUUCGUGUCUGUAUCGUAUAGAUAUAGUGCUUAAAAUGUAUCCAAAUAGAAGAGUAUAUAUUCCGAACGAAAUAUAAUUCUGAGAACUGAUAUAUAUAACCUGAUACAGAUUUCCCGAUUCAGAUAAAGCAAGAAUCAUCUGACUGAUGAUAAAAACUGCCACUGCACGUCCUGCUGAUAUUGGUAAGUCAUGAGGGGCCAUCACCCAUUCCAAUCCAUUCCAAAACCUCUCAUAGAUAGACCCACUUUCACCAGUGAUCCACACAGAUGUCUCAGACAUUUUGGUCAAUGAAACUCUCUUUCUCAGAGGCCUCAGAACCACAUCCAAGGGCUCCACAGCUCCUACUUUAUCAUUUUUUCUGUCCAGUCUCUUCUUUUUAUCAUCAACUCCCUGUUCUUGAUCCAUGCUUUCCUCCCUUCUCUUCACCUUACCACACUCACUAUCACCACCAGAUAUCAGAUCACAGGGCAGUUGCACCUCAACCCAUCUAUCAGCUUCUUCACUGAACUUCCAAAACCUAUCGGUUUUCUGUUCAAACCUUCUAUUGCUCUGCUGAAACAGCUGAUAUUGACAGCAUGAAGCACAACCCACACCAGUACAAAAGCUCACAGACACGAGCCCCCAGAUGCCACAUAUCAAAUGGAACACUGACAUGGUGGCAUGGGGAGCCAGAUAACAGAAACUCCAAAAAGUCAGGAUUUUUAAGAUAUUCUAAGACCAAGUUUGGUAGUUGCGUCCCACAUGAGGGUUCCCUUAUGAGUCAUGGAUCUAAAGGCUUGGAUCAUCUGAUAAAAAAUCUCAAAUUUAUUGGAUAGAUGGUUUUUUCAUAGCCUCCAAGUAAAAGGGAAUUCAUUAUACUGGUGUAGGGAUGAAAAGAAGGGAAGAUAUUUUGUGGGGUACCUACCAUGUAGUAUCAGGCGCAGGUAUUGAUUCUCAUAUUAUAACUACCUCAGAUGGCUUGUGUUUAUUUUCGUCAACUUUGAAGUUAAUUCUUUGGUAAAAUAACAUGAAACAACCUGUUUUUCACGCAGCGGUUUAACCACCACGUUUCUUUCUUUCUACAUCAAAAGGGUAAGUUGAGUUCUCAUUCAUUCUAAGUAGCUGCUUUAUCUGACCAAGUUGGAUUAUUUCUUGCCCUUGAUUUCAUCAUCACAGUGAUGUUUAGGUGAAAGAUUUUGAUGAAUUGUUGGUUUGUGUUUGUAAAGUAAUGCUAUUGAGAUUCUAUAGUCGACUUUUACUACUAGGAAGAAAAGAAUACGGAUUCCUCUGGCUCUACCUUGACAUAGAUGCAACAACGAACAACUAGCCAUGAAAAUAAUAUUAUGAUAUGUGGUAACUGUCAUUGGAUCAUGAGAACCCUCCAACCGAUGGCUCUGAUGUUCUGUUGCACUUUGACUAUGUGAUUAGAAAACCUUACAAGUUUCGUAUCAAAGGGUUUUGUGAGAGUGAGAGGUGGAUGACCUCAGAUACCAUUAAUUUUCUUUUGAAGACAUUUAGUGUUGAAAAGACAAUGAACACAUCACCAUUAGAAAGUGGUUGGCCUAAUAAGACAUUACUUAGAAACGUACUACUCAUGAUUUUACUGGUUGUAAGAAAACUUAAUUGUGGCUGUUUACACUAAGUAAUAACAUCAUAGGACUCUCAAAAUUUGAUUAAAAGAUGGUGAAACCGUGGAGAACGGUGCUGCUGAAGAAGUUUGUCCCUGUUGUGUAAGCAAUUCCAUCACUAUCACUUUAUCAGUUACAAAUUAAGAUCAUGCAAAAUUAAAUCAUGAAAAAUGUUAUGUCAACAACUCCUUUCUCCUUUGUGCCUGCAUACAUUCUGAGGUGGCAAAGGGCAGUUUUGUCAAUAAACAUUGCUGAGUGGGUGAUGUGGGGCCAAGAGCAGUUUCAGGUGAUGAUAUUUUAACACUCUAAUUCACCUUCCACCCACAAUAAAAUAUUAAUAUUUAUAAUAUUUAUAUAUAUAUAUAAAUAAUAUAACAGUAACAAUGUCAAAAAGAAAAAGGAAAAUAGAUAUUUUUUCAAAUGGUAUAGAGAUAAACUUUAGUAUAUUUAUCUUCAUCACAACCUCCUUUGAUAAUAUUUUGAAUUUUAUGUAAUAAUGUGGGAUAAAAUUAAAUUCACUCAUAUAAUGUAUUCAUCAUUUUUUAUUCCGCAGUCUAAUAGUUGUAUAUAAUUUAGAAAUUGAUAUUAAAGAUAAUUUAAAUGCACAUUAUAAAAAAAUUAUUAAAUAAAAUUUAAUUUUAAAUAAAUAAAUAAUUUAUAUAAAAUUAUAUACUAUUUUAAAAACUAAAAAAAUUAUUAAUAUCUAAAUUAAUUUUUAUUAUUGAUAAAUAGUUUUUAAAUUGAUAUUUAAGAUAAUUUUUUUAAUUUGAUUUUUUAAGAAAUUCGUAAUUAAACUUUGAGUUUUAAAAUAAAUAAUAUCUUAAAUACUGUGAUUUACUCUAAUAGUAUUACUUUAUCAAAUUUAAAGUCGAAUAUUGACAUUUUAUGUGAUUAGAAAGACAAAUCCUUAAGAGAUCCAUAUACAAUUAUUAAUUUAAAUGAUAAUUAAAAAUUCAAAUUUUAAAAUGGAUAAUACUUUAAAUACACUUAUUUACUCUAUUGAUAUUAUCUUACUAGAUUUAAAAUUAAAAUAUUAAAUAUGUAUAUGGUUUCAAAGAUAAAUUUUCAAAAUAGAUAAAUCUUCAAAAAAAAUUAUUAAUUUAUUUUAAACAGGGAUUUGAAAUCGAAAAAUAAUCCAAUAUUAAUGUGAAACUGAUCCACCAAAAUUAAGUUGAAACGAAGCUAGUAUAGUUACUAGGUCGGCGUAGUGAAAAUAGUGGUAGUUAACUAUUAAUUACUCUUUUUCAAGUUUUAAUAAAUCCUUAAAUAUAAUCACUGCGUCAAUAAAUGUUUAGCUAACACCACAACUCAAUUUACUAACAAUAACAUUUAGUUUUUGAAAGUCACAGAUAUCUUACUUUUCUAAAUUAAAUUUAUCUUUAAGGUCAAAAAACAAGGACAAAUCUACUUUCGAUUUAAUUUAAAGUAAAUCAUUAUUUGAACCUACUCAACUAUUUUAUUCAAGAAACUCUCUUAGAGUUAAAAAAAAGUACUUUUUUAACAUUCCAUAAAGGCUUAGAGCUUCUAUUUUUGGGUGUUUCUUCCUCCAACCCUAUAAUGUUUUUUCUGCACCCCAUCAAUGGGAAAGAAGAUCAAAAUGUCUAAUCUAACCCGACCUUACUUCAAAAAGUUUUUUUUUUUUUUAACGUGUAACUGGAUUUCAUAAAGCCGAUUUAUAAUUUAUAAUAUGAGGUUUGCAUCUAUUUAUAAAUAAUGAAAUAUCUUAAUUUCUAGUUGAUAUCUCCAACAUACACCUCAAACAAGGAUACUAUGGAAAUAUAUGUUAUGCACCCUACUUCAAAAUGUCCAAUAAACUCUCGUCAAAAUAAACGAAUAAAAAAAUCAAAAUGUCUCAUUUAAUCUAGCCUUACUUCAAAAAGUUGCUUUUUUAAAUGCGUAACUCGACCUCAUAAAACCGGUUUAUAAUAUGAGGUUUGCACUUACUUAUAAAUAAUAAAAUAUCCUGAUCUCUAGUUGAUGUAUUAUGCAUGUUUCAUAAAUUUUAUUCUAGGAUUUUUUUUGAAAAAUGCUUUCCAGAAUUUUUGAAAGUUAUUUUCCAAAAUACACUUAUAAAUUUUGGAAAGGAGUAUAUGAGAAGAUUUCAAAAAAACUAUUCCAAAAAAUCAUUUAAAAAAAAGAGUAAAAUUGUAUUUUUAAAUAUUGAUCGGGGGGUGAAGGAAGAAACACCCUCAUUUUUUAUAUAGCAGUUGUAUGAUUCUAACACCGUUCAUAUAUAUAACGUUUUCAUAUAAUCUAUUGCUCUCUCAUUUCUAAAUUAUAAGUAAUUUAUUUAUUUAUUCAUUUUCUUUAUUUGUUGUAAUUUUCAGAUUUCAAGGCAAUUAUGAUUUUUUUUUUCAAUUAUACCUUGUUUUCUUUAAUUAAAUAUAAUUCGAAAAUAGAACACUUAAUCUUCUACAGAGUAGCUAAGAUCGAAAAUAGAUUACGAUUUUAUUUUCUGGAUUGAUUUCAGUUCAAAUCUAUGCCAGAUAAUAAAAAUGUAACAUUUGAAGCCAUGCUUGGAGAGUUGUAAGUAAGUUAUUUGAUCAUUGAAUUGGAGUUAUAUAUGCACUGAAAAAUUAAGGAGGAAAAUUUGUUUUGCUAAAUGUGGUUAGAUAUCAAAUUUGGCAGCAGGAAUAGCUACUGGUGGUGUGCUUGGGUUUCUAUAAAUCAUCACCAGGAUUCGUGUUAUGCUGGUGUUAUGCAGUCUCAGGUCUUGGGACUGAGUUCUAACUAGCUUUAAGUUUUUGAGUUAAGUGGUGAGCCGCUUAACUUUGUUUUAAUCGUUGAAUGCUUAAUUAGGAGGUCUAUGUAUAAGGGUUGGAACACCCCUAAAGUGUUUCUUUUAAUUCUAUUAAUUCGUUGCUGAUAAAAAAAAAAAUCAAAUUUGGCGAAGAUGGAGAAAAUUAAAGAUAAUGUGAAAUGAGUGACAGUGAUGGAGUAGUAGUAAUAUAAGGAAGUGAUUAAAAAUAAUAUUAAGAAAAUUAUAUAACCAAUAUUUUAAAAAAUAAAUUAUUUAACUUUUUUGAAAUAUAAGGAAGUGAUUUAAUUAUUUACUAAAUAAAUAAAUAAUUAAAUUAUAUUUUAUUUAUUAAAGGAUGAAAUUGUUCAAGGUAAAGGAAAGUUACUUCUCUUUAUAUAAUGGUAUAAAUAAUAUUGAAUAGAAAAGUAAUAGUGUAUUAUAAGCAUAGAUGAUUUUUAAUUAGAGAAAACAUUAAUACUCGUUUAAGUAGCAGAAGAAUAAAUAAUUAAUAGAAUUACUUUUUUUUUACACGAUAUUGUAAUUGUAUUUAUAUAAAUUGUCGGAGAGAGUAUUCUUAGAAUCCAUUUCCGCUUUACUCUUUUUGUUCCUCUGUUAACAUCUUCUCUCAGUUAGCUUUUUCUACUAGUCAAUUCUUUCUCUCAAUCAACUCCUUCUUUGGAAUUACUUUAUGAUCUCUCUCGAUAUGAGAUGUAGUACCUACAGGAAUUCUCCGAUGCUUAAGUUAGUCUUUGUAUUAAUCACUUAAUAGAAAAACUAAAAAAUUGAACUAAACAUUCUAUCUAUUUAUACUACUUGUUAACGAGUCACAUCAUUUUAAUCCUUCUACUUAUCUCUUAUUAAUUGAUUAUCAACACUUAAUUAAUUUUAUUUAUCUUUCAUGCGUGUCUCUUAUUAACACUGACACUUGUGCGUUUUUUUCACGUAAUAUUUCUACUAACACUUUUGCUUGUUCUUUACUUCUUUCGACCUUUUGGUUUCUCGGUCUUUUGACGUACAAGCUUUCGACAUGACCGAUUCAAUAACAAUUGUUAACUUAUCUAUUUUAUUCAUAAAUUUAUUCUUAAAUAAAUAAAAAAUGAGGAAGUAUUUCAUUAGACCUCACGUUGUCAAAAUAUUAAUAUUCUAGCUAAAACUCUUAAGUGAAACAUUCACCAUGUCUUAUCUAUUCAUCAUUAGUGUUUUCUCUUUUUUUUUAUUAUGUCAUUUUGUGCUAUGUUGUGUGAAUUUUAUUAUCUAAUGAGAUAUUAUUUUUAUGAUAUAAAUAGUAGUCAUGACUAUGGAUAAAAUACCAUUGAAUUUUGUUACCUUAUCAUACAUUUUUCAUCGGUAUUAUAGUACUUUUCCAAGCGCAAGAGAAUUGUGGGUCACAUUCUACACAAAGUUAAAGUGUUUGCGUCUUCCUACGAACUUAGUGUCAAUUGACAUGAUGUUAAAAUUGAGUAAUUAAUGGUUGCUUGAAUUGUUCUAUUUUUAAAUUAAAAAAAAUUAGGUUAUUUUCUAAUUUAAAAUGUUGGAUACACUUUAUAUAAACAAAUGCAAGAGAAUGAGUGAUUCAAAAAAUGAGUGACAAUAAACAUUUUGUACAACCAGUCAUCCAUAUUUUGAUGCUAAAUAUAAACAUGGAAAUUUCUUUUUGAAAAAUCUCUUGAGAUCCAAAUGGGCAAAUUUUUACUAUACUCAACCAUUUUUAAUCUUCACCCUACACAUUUUUAAGUUUCGGUACAAGGUACAAUACAUUUUCAUUCAAUCACAAAACUGAUACAUUCUCACUCAAUCACAAAACUAAUACAUUCUCAUUCAAUCACAAAACAGCAUCAUUUAGGAUAACUAUUAUAAACCUUAAACCUAAAAUUUUAAUGUGGUGUUAAAGCCUAACCUUUGACAACAGCAGUGAGAGCUUGUUCUUCCUUUUCAAGCUGUUCAACAUCUACUAGAGGCUUAGCAUCCACAGCAUGGAUCUCCCUUUCCUGUUCCACAUCCUCUUCCUCUUGGAAAGCAAACACAUCCUCUUUGUCUUCUUCCUUCAAGUUCCAAGGUUUGAAGUCCUCUCCUGCUCGAACUCCAGAAUUCCCACCAUCAAAAGCACCACCUCCACCACCCGCAUCUCCACUUUCCUUCUCGAUCCCUUUAAAUAUAGCAUCCUCGUCUUGCUCAUCGAGACCCUUCUCAUGCAACCACCCCUGUCCUUGAGCCUGGGGGGCAAGUGUACCGGUACGGCCGAGAGGCCGAGACCUUGGAAGGCUUGGCCGAGACGACCGAGAGGCCGAGACCUUAGAAGACUCGGCAGAGAGGUCGAGACCUUGGAAGGCUUGGCCGAGACGGCCGAGAGGCCGAGACCUUAGAAGACUCGGCCGAGAGGCCGAGACCUUGGAAGGCUUGGUCGAGAGGACCGAGAGGCCAAGACCUUAGAAGACUUGGCCGAGAGGGCGAGACCUUAUAAGACUUGGCCGAGAGGGCGAGACCUUAUAAGACUUGGCCGAGCGACCGAGACCGUUGAAGACUCAACUGAUAAGGCCGAAGGCCACGGGUAUUUGGCCGAUGGCCGGCCCUCACCACGAGACUUUGGCCGAUGGCCGAGUCCCAUUACAAUUAACGCUCAAACCGAGAUCAGUGAAGCUAAUCCAUCAUCAAGAAUUAGGUAAUGCAACCCUAAGCUGUAUCCACCUCGAUAAACGGGUCCAACAAGGUAGGCCCACUAGAAUAAUAUAAAUAGCAUGCAUCCCAAGGAGUAAGGUAUGUCAUUUAUCACUCUGAGAGCUGACCACCCGCUUUACUGACUUGAGCGUCGGAGUGCCUUCGCAGGUACCCCCACCAUCCGGUGUAUAGCCGAGGCCGAGGGCCGAAGGGGAAGCAGGAGGGCGAGAAGAACCCCAGCUCACUACCCAAUCACCUGACCGACCGAAGGAAGGAGAAGAAGACUUCAAUAGUUCUCUAGGUCCCAUCUCCCUAGCAGGAACAAUAGGCAUGCAUUUCAUGUUAAAAAUCAUUAAUAUAUCAUCUGUGUUACUAAAAAUAGUCUUUACAUAUAAUCAUGAUGUGUAGCAUUAAAGGGAAAAGGGUUCUUUAGAUGAAAGAGCUACUUCAACCUUGGAAAGCAAACAUGUGGGUGGCCCCAAAUUAAAAACAGUGAAUCAUGGCCAAAUAUGUUGCCUUUGCUUUAAGAUCCACAAACUCUAAGAGAACCAAUUCCAGCUUGCUAAUUUGUCUAGCAGCAAAAGUAACACAAACAAUGACAAAAGUGUUCCAAUUAUUGAUGAAAUCUAGUAAGCGUUUCCACCAAAUUAUAGAGGAAAGACAUGAACAAAGAAAAACAAGCCCACAAAGGGUGUUGUUGUUUUCUUUUUACUUUACAAAAAAAAUAAAGUGAGUGAAGAUCUCACCUUUUCAAACUGAUUUUGUUUCAUGUUUUCCAAAACCAUAUUAUAACACUUUCAUUUGUGAUUUAUAUUUUAAUGGAUUUGUAUCAUAGAACUUCUUUUUAUAAACUAUUGAAAAUUUAAUCGAAUAUCAUCUUAAGAAAACCCUAAUAAUUAUAAUUAAGUAUAUAGUUUGGUUUGGUUGAUUGAGUAUGAUGCAUGAGUUAGUGUAAACUUGCUUACAUGUGUUCAAUUCCUAUAAUCCAAUGCACCCUUGUUUGUACUUUCAUCUUAAUUAAUGUCAUAAAUUGAUGGAAAUUAUAAAACUUGGAGGCUUCAAUAAUUUUUUUUUCUAAUUGUACUAAAAUUUCAAUUAUUUUAUUUAAAAUGAUCUACUGGCACUUAUUUUCUCUUUCUUAAUUCCAAUUUUGGAGAGUAUUUUUUAUAAUGUUAUGUAAAUAAAAUAUCGUUCUGUAAAGUACAUUUUGAAAUAACAAAUGGAUACAAAUGUUUUAGAAAUAAGGUAAAUAAAAUAUUUGGAUUACUCACUGCAAUCUUCUAAUUUAUAGAUUUCGAAAUGUACUUUUCCAAAUAAGUUUUGGCUUUCUUAAAAGUUAGAUGAUUCUUUUGAUAACAUGAAAAUCAUUAGUGUUUUGUAAAAUAUUUUUCAGAAUGUAAGAAAUAAAAAAAUGUUUAUGAAAUUAUUUUUUAAGGUGACAUUUUCAACCAAAUUUUUUCCAAAAAAAAGGAUAACAUUAAAAGAGUGGAAAAUAGUUUAAUUUAAUCGGAGAAAACAAACUUAAUCUCAAUUUAUAUUUAUUCAAGAAGAAGCAUUGCAUUGUUGCGAGCUUGGCAGUGAAAGCAUAAAAGUUAAUGUGAGAUAUGAAAGAGAAUGCAAAGAAGAUAAAUAGUUUUGAAAGGGAAAAAUGCGGUAAUAAUAUGUCAUUUUAAAUGAAAAGCAACAAAAGGGGCUGCAUUUCACAAAAAAGGAUUGUAAAUAGUAGGAUCCAACAUGAGUCAACAUACCUAAUGAAGCCCAAGAAAUAGAAACGGACGGCCAGACUAACUUCUGCAAGCGGUAGUAAGACUGCUCUCCUACACCUCCAUACGUCUCUCUCACUUCCAUAAACUUUUGUAUUUCCAAAUUGUCAUUCUAUAUAUCUAUAUUACGUAAUUUGAAAGUCCUUUUUCNNNNNNNNNNNNNNNNNNNNNNNNNNNNNNNNNNNNNNNNNNNNNNNNNNNNNNNNNNNNNNNNNNNNNNNNNNNNNNNNNNNNNNNNNNNNNNNNNNNNCACAUGCGUGAUUAAUUUCUAAAUUACAUAAUUCAGAAAUUUUUUUAAUAUAAGAUUAGCUUUUGGAUUUUGAAAGUUUUUUUUAGAUAACAGAUUAAUUUCUAGAUUAUAUAAUUUAAAAAUCUUUUAUGAAUUUGAAAGUAGCUUUUGAAAAUUUAAAAUUUCAGAUUACAUAACUCGUAAGUUAUUUUUGAAUCCGAUAUUAAGUUUUGGAUUAUAUAAUCUCGAAUAUAUAUAAUUUUUUAAAUUGAUUCUGGAUUGUAUAAAUUUAUGAGACUGAUAAAAAAGGAUAAAAAAUAUUUUCAAGUUUUGUAUGGGUGAUACCCUUACAUUUUUCUUUCUGCCCUCCGAUAAUUUUGUAAAUUCCAAAAUUGACCCCCACAAUUUUGGGAUCUGGGAGUGUGCUACGGAUUCAUCAAUCCAGAAGUGAAUCAUGUUGCAUUCUGGAUGAGGGGUGUUCCAGAAGCAAAGUUUGCAUAAAUUAUUGAUUUCCGGAUUGCUGAAUCCAGAAGCCUAAUUUCUAUUACGGAUUGGUGAAUCUGGAAUGAUUUUUUUCAAUUAUGGAUUUCUGAAUCCGGAAUGCAUAUUUUGAAUUACAGAUUGACGGAUCCGAAAUGGUUUUUCAAUUAUGAAUGUUUUGCAUUUUUUAUUUUGGAUUAACACUACUAUUCAUGUACUACCGAAAGCAUUAAUCCGUGAGAUUACCGAAAAUUUACCGGAUUUCAUAAUCUGGAAUACAAAAAAAUGAACAAUUUAUAUAGGGACACUUUUGUCUUUGCUCAACCUUAUGGGGGUGUAGGAAGAAGAAUGUAGGGGUGCAGAAAGAAACUGCCAAGAAAUAGUCUUUUCAUAAGCAUAUCCCAAAAGGGCCGAAACCGGUUUAUAAAGGGCCCAACUUAAGCAUAAACCCUUUGCCGCCAUUGCCACAGCUCAUUCAUUCAAUUAUUCGUCGCCACCGCCGGCGAAAGCCCAAACCAGUUUCUCUAUCAUCUCUUUCCUCCGCAGGUGCGUUUAUACUCUGGCGCACUCCUUUCUAAAGGGUCGUUGUCAAUUUUUUAUGUUUUUGUGAUUAUGGUUAUUGGGUGUGUCAGUUUUUGAAGCAAAAAAAUGGGGAAGAAGAGAAAGCACAGUGAGAGUAGUGAACUUGUUGCACAGCCCAAAAAGGAAGAUGCUGCUCCAGAGAGACCAACGAGGACCCUUUUGGGUUGGAAGGAUAAGAGUCUAGUCAAUGAUGAAGUCGACGACAGCAACGUUGGUUCACCAAUAUUCAGGAACAAAGAGAAGGUUUUGGUCACUUGCUCUAGGCGCAUCAGUUACAGGUACAAUCUAAUACAAACCCCAUGACUUGUCAAAGUGUAGGUCUUGACAUUCGGUCGUACGGGAAGGUCUUGACUUCUCGGUCGUUCGUCCAAGUCCUAGAAGGUCUCGACAUCUCUGUCGUUCGGCCAUGUCCCCGAGGGUCUCGACAUCUCGGUCGUUCGGCCAUCUUUCGAAGGUUUCGACCAUUCGGUCGUUCGGCCUCGCGAUGAUGUACCCGAGCUUUAAGUUUUUGAGCUAAGUGGGGAGCCGCUUAUCUUUGUUUUAACUGCUAAAUGCUUAAUUAGGAGGUCUAUGUAUAAGGGUUGGAACACCCCUAAAGUGUUUCAUUUUAUUCUAUUAAUUCGUUGCUGAUCAAAAAAAAAAAUAGAUUUUGUGUUUUUCGUUUAUAGUUUGUAUUACUCUAUUUUUUCGUCACUUGCCCGCUUGCUCGAUUAACAUCGCAAGUGCCGGCCGACCACCCACCAAACUUGCUCGAUGACAUUGCAAGUAUUGGCCGAACGCCCGCUUGCUCGAUCAAACAUCGCAAGUGCCGGCCGCCCGACUACCCGCUUGCUCGAUUAACAUCGCAAGUGCCGGCCGACCACCCACCAAACUUGCUCGAUGACAUCGCAAGCAUUGGCCGAACGCCCGCUUGCUCGAUUAAACAUCGCAAGUGCCGGCCGCUCGACUGCCCGCUUGCUCAAUUAACAUCGCAAGUGUCGGCCGACCACCCCCCAAACUUGCUCGAUGACAUUGCCAGCAUUGGCCGAACGCCCGCUGGCUCAAUUAAACAUCGCAAGUGCCGGCCGCUCGUCUGCCCGCUUGCUCGAUUAACAUCACAAGUGCCGGCCGACCAAACUUGCUCGAUGACAUUGCAAGUAUUGGCCGACUGCCCGCUUGCUCGAUUAAACAUCGCAAGUGCCGGCCGACCACCCACCAAACUUGCUCGAUGACAUUGCCAGCAUUGGCCGAACGCCCGCUUGCUCGAUUAAACAUCGCAAGUGCCGGCCGCUCGACUGCCCGCUUGCUCGCGGGCAAAGUUUAAGAACAGAGAAACCUUGUGCAGUGAGUCAGUUUUUGUAUAUUAUAAUGGUAUUUUUUUGGGCGGAGUAUUUAUUUUCCAUUCAUUUGUAGGUACCGGCAUUUGAUGUUGAACUUGGUGUCACUUUUGCCGCAUUGCAAGAAGGAUAACAAGGUUGAAUCAAAGGAAACUAAAGGCGCCACCCUGAACGAGCUUGUUGAGCUCAAAAGUUGCUCCUCGUGUUUAUUUUUUGAGGUAUUUUAUUUAUAUGCCACAAGGUUUUUCAGUGCCGUGUUACUUCGAUUUAGGAUUGAUGUGUUGUGCUGUUCUCUAGACUAGUAUUUGCAUUAUGUUUGCUAUUUGGAAAAUCUAAAGCAUGCUUGUAGGUAGAGGGAUUCGUUUCUUGGUUACAAAUGUUGAUGCUAUUUAACUAUGAUAUGGUAGUCAUGAGUUUGUGUCUGGUCAACUUGUUAUAUUAUGGUUAGUGUCUUCUCCUCUCAUUUUCUAUGCAUCAAUUUCAGGCAGGAANNNNNNNNNNNNNNNNNNNNNNNNNNNNNNNNNNNNNNNNNNNNNNNNNNNNNNNNNNNNNNNNNNNNNNNNNNNNNNNNNNNNNNNNNNNNNNNNNNNNAAAAGAUCUUUAUCUCUGGAUGGCCAAAUGCCCCAGUGGCCCAUCUGUAAAAUUUCUAGUUAGUGCGGGUAAUAUUCUGAUCUGAUCAUUGUCGUAAUGUUUAUAUAAUACUAAUUUGCUUGCUCUGAUCAUGUAGAGUUCUGAUGUCUGUAUACUCUAGGCAUCACUGGUCAUUCUUCCCAGUGAAUUAUGAUUUUGUGUUUCUCUCUCUCUCUCCCACCCAAUUUUUUUAUAUACUUUUUCCACCACUGCUUUUCAGUGCAUACUAUGGAGGAGUUGAAGCUAACGGGAAAUCACCUAAAAGGUUCCCGUCCUCUUUUGACGUUUUCUGCAAAUUUUGAAAAAGAUGCACAUUGGAAACUGUUAAAGGAGAUGUUGUUACAGGUAUGUGGUCUGUUUCUUUCCUUGCAAGUUUUUUCAUCUUUGUCCACCUAGUUUCAUCCGAGUAAAACUUAAGUUGAUUACUCUCAUAUGUGCCAUUUCAUAUACAAGGUAAAGGUUAGCUUGAUGGUUUCAUCUUAGUUUGUUGAUUCAUGAUGUUGCCUCCAUGAAUUUCCAGUCUAAUUAUGAUCUGCUUCAUGUGCUCUUUCCUGAUGUUAUUGGGAUCUUACAUUGUGGUUGUCAUGUUUCUUCCUAGGAGUAUUUUCUCAAUUUGUUGUUUCUGAUUGGAGAAAAUUCAAUUAAUGUUAUUAUAUCUCCAUCUAUUAUUACAUNNNNNNNNNNNNNNNNNNNNNNNNNNNNNNNNNNNNNNNNNNNNNNNNNNNNNNNNNNNNNNNNNNNNNNNNNNNNNNNNNNNNNNNNNNNNNNNNNNNNACCAAUUUAGAAACUAAAUUCUCUAUAGCAAUUGUUUUAAUAGUCUAAUCUCCUAGAAAACUGGUUUAAAUCAUUAUCUAUUUUUUCCUGUUUAUUAAUCACAAUUCCAUUUUAUUAUUAUUGUUAUUGCUAAUCCUUAUUGCUUGCAGAUAAGUUUUGAAUUUUGUUAACUGGACUCAUUAUUAGAUUCUUUGGGAGACGACUUGGAAUCAUCUGACCACUUUUAUACUAUCAUCUUUCUAGCAUUGGACAAGUCUACACUGGAAUCAUAUUAAUUUGAUAGCAAAACGACGACUAUCAACAUACAAAGAAGAUAAGAUAGGGAGAAAGAAGACAACUGGCAGGUGAUGGAGGCGGGACUGGGCAACAAAGGGCAUUGGAAGGCGGCAACGGAGGCAGUAAGGGUUGCGACGAAGUGAAAGCUGAAAUGGAGAAGAAGAACAAAAUAAGAGAAGAGAAAAGAAGAACCGGAGAAGUAGGAACACACUGGCGGUGAACAAUGCUGGAUUAGUGGCAGCAAGACAGAGGCAUUACAGGGUGGGGGCAACGAAAUGCGAAGAAUGAGCACUGCAAAGGGGCACUGGCAAAAUGCGAAGAGGGUAAAAAAACGCAUAGGUGGAAACAAAUUUUGCGUCAGUUGGCCGACGCAAACCCCUACAUAUAUAUAUAAAAAUUAAUUUAAGUCAAGAUAUAAUUAAAAAAUAUUACAUAUAAAUUUAUAUUUUUAUAAAUUCUUUCAAAAAUACAUAAAUCACUAAAUUUACUAGAUAUUUAAUUAAUCAUUUCCUUAAUAUAUAUUUUAAAUAUUUAAUAAACUUAAAUUAAACUUUAAGAAAAUUAAUUUAGAAUACAACAAAAAAAUAAGUUAAUUUAUACAACAAAAGAUUAAUUUAAUUUAUACAACAAAAAUAAAUAAAUAAUUCAAUUAAACUUUGGUUUGGAAAACCAUUUAUCGUUUAGUGUUGUUUAUAUCUACUAUUAUCUAAAAAUAAUCAAUUUAUUAAUGUCCGGGAGAAACAAAAAAAAUAUCUCUUAGGUGCGAUAUUGAAAAAAAAGGUUCCAUUUCCUAUCAAAUAAUUUCAUUGAAGUAAGUAUAAUUGUAUCCGUGCUAGCAUCUACUAUACUCUUUUUUAAUCUUUACCGUUUGUUUCUUAGUUCAACUUUUACCUUACUAACUGCAAUAAAAAAAAAUUAGUACAUAUGCGCCACCCAAAAUGGUAAUAGGCUAUGGUUAUGAACUUAUAAUCCAAAAUCUGAUGAACCUUCCAUAUAAUGAUCAAGGUGGCCCAUGACUAAGUAAAAUCACUACUAAAAAAAUCAUUAAUAGUAACCAAAUUUAGGGACAAAAAAUAAUUAGUCACUAUAUUAACUAAAUUAGAUACUAAUUUAGAGACUAAAAAAUUAUUCAUAUCUAAAGUGGUCUCUCUAUAUUAUUAAUAAAAAUUUAUAAAAUGGUUUCUAAAUUUGUACCUAAAUUAACUACCUAAGUUUUAGCGACUAAUAUUUUAAAUUUUAAAUUAGACUCUAAAACUAAAAGACUAAUAUAGACUAAUUUAGAAUGUAAAAUACUAAGUAGCUAAAAUCUUGGUAGCUAAUAGUUAGAUAUCAAUUUAGAAACCAUUUUAUAAAUUUUUAUUAAUAAUAGAAACUACUUUGAUACCAAUAGCUUUUUUAGUUUAUAAAAUUGUAUCUAAUUUAAUCAAAUAGUAAGUAACUAUAUUGAUUUCUAAAAUUAGUUUCUAUUUAAUGAUUUUCUUAUAGUGAAUUAACCAAGGUUUACGGGAAUAUUAUGAGAAUCAAUUUUGUUAACACACAAUUAAUAUGUUUUCCCGUAAUUUGAUUUUUGGACACAAUAUCUCGAUUUCUUUAAUUAUAUUGAUUUUAUCAUAUAAUAUCUCUAUCAUAUACAUAAUAUGCUAGCUCCAUUAAUGCAUUGAUUUAAUCGUACAAUAUUUCUGAUUAUAUUACCUAAACCUUUAUUAUAGUACAAAAUACUCUGAUUAUACAUACAUGAUAUUCAAAUUUUGACAUAAGACUACGAUCUGCUACAUUAAAAACCUGGAAAAGUGAAGAUCCAAACCCAUAAAAAUUUAUAAAUAGAUGAACAUUCACAAGGAAUAGAGUCAACUCAUAUUUUGACACAAUACUUACUAUAUACACUAAGAACAACAUCAAUCAAAAGUAACCUCUUUUAAAUUACAAUGGACAUGAAAGGGGUCUAGUUCAAAAUAAAUUGUUCCUUUAUCUAUUAAAGUGAUAUUAUGAGAUUAAAAUUUAUUUAAGUUAUCAAUCAAUAUUUUAUCCUCACUUUUUUCUUUCUUAAGUUUACUUUCACAUUUUGUGACAAUAAUUUUUUAUUUAUUUUUAAAUACACCCAUUAAAGCUGAUAAGGACGAUUCAUCUUCUUCAGAUUCCUCACACGUUAAUCCCACCAAACAGAACUCCGGCACCAAGGGAAUCAAUAUGUACGGAAAGUUAGUAUCACUUGGACUAGGGCUUGUACUUGUGGCAACAACUAUGCCAAGUUGACGGGGCAGGUGGAUUUGGCACCUAAGGAUUUCGUUUUUUAAGUUUCUUUUUGGAUCAGAGAGAAAAUUUGAAGAAAUGAAUUUAUAAUCAAUCGAGAGAAAAGUGUAAAAAAGUGAAAUUGUUUGGAUUAAAGUAUUUUAGAAUAGAUAUGUGAAGAAAAUUGAUUGAAGUUUGUGAGUAAUGUGAUUGUUAUAAAGGGAUUUUUAUUUUCUUAAAAAUAUAUAAGAGGUAAAUUUACAAAUCUAUUCUUAUUUUUAAAAAUAUUUAAAUAAUAAAAUAUGAGAUUUUUUAUAAAUUUGAGUUAAUUAAAAACUUUUAUUUCAACUUCAAAUAAAUUUUGAUAUGAAAGACAUAAUUUUAUUUUUAUAUUACUAAUUUACUUUCUUUUACUAUUAUUAUAUAGAUACAUUGAUAUUAUUAUUAUAUAAAGACAUUUAUGUUAUUAUAUAAAUAUAUAAUAUAGUCGAUUAAGUUUAAUAUAUAAUCUAUUAUGAUAUAAAAAUUAUAAGUAAUUAUUUUAUGUUUAUUAUAAUAUAAAUAUAUAUAAUAUUUAUUAUAAUAUAUAUAAAGUGUCCUUUUAUAUGUGUAUAGAAAAAUAGGAUAAUUUUCACCUUUUAACAAUGUAAAUUUUUGUAAUUUUUUUUAGCUUUUCUUAAAGGCUUAUAUUAUUUCUUUCCUGCAAAUUUUUGUCUUUUUUUCUUUGUAUUUUAAAAAAAAAUGUCUUUACUUUUCUGUCUAAGUCCGAAUGUAGAGUAGUCAUUCGAAACGAAAACUAAACGCUAAACCUUAAACUUAAAAAAGACGCAUGUUCCUUUUAUAUAUGUUUCGGACUCAGUAACCAUUGUUUUUCAUUUUUUUUCUUGCUGAUAUAAAAGCUAAACCUUAAACUUAAAACACGCAUGUUCCUUUUAUAUAUGUUUCGGACUCAGUAGCCUUUGUUUUUCACUUUUUUUUUCUUGCUGAUAUAAAAACGAUGUGUUAGUUAAGGAAGCGUUCUCUGAAUAAUGUAAAAGGUUUGCAUGAUUACGGAGUUUUCUUUACUAAAUUAUUUAUUUUAAAAAAAUUUAAAAGCAAAAGUAAAAUAUUACUGUUAACAAAAAAUUUAAGUACUACCAUAGUAUCAUUACAACCAUUAAAAAAAAAUUAAAAAAAAUCAUUAAAUAAAAAACCAAUAAUGAAUUUUUUUUACCGUUUUUAUAAUAAGAAAUUACUGACAGUUUUACGUUGAGAUUUUGUUUGUAUAAAUUCCUGCGCUGAGAGUGAAUACAACACAAGCUUUGAAUUAUUUGGAAGAAUUUGUUGUUGUUGAAAGAGAAGAAGGAAAAGAUGUUUACCACGCUGAGCCAAACUCAUCUUUGUCGCAUUGUCUUGUUCUUGUUCUUGCUUUGCACGCCGAGGUUCAGCAGUAGUGGUGCUUCUAGCAAGGGUAUGAAGUUCUUUCACACCCAUAUACUCUUUCUUAUUGAUUCAACUCUCAUUAACCUUUGUAACUGUAUUUGAUGUCAUGAUAUGAUAAAGUAGAUAGUGAGAGUGGAGAAGGUUUGGUGUCAUCAACGGUUGAACCUAUGUCAAGGCCACCAAUCUGCAUUUACCGGUGUGAGAAAUGCAGGCCCUGCAAAGCAAUUCUGGUAACGACGCCACCCGCCGGCCGCCAGCAAGCCUCCUCUGGCUCCGGCGGACCCAACGACUACUACCCUCAAGCCUGGAGAUGCACGUGUGGCGGCAAGUUGUACAACCCUUAAAUUGAUUUUCUCUAACUAUCACGUGUUCAUUUUAGAUGGAUGGUGUUGGACACUGAAUUUGACACAAAACUUGACUUCAUCUGAAAUAAAUGAUAUCUUAAAACAGGUUACGGAUAAGUGUUUGUAUAAGGAUAAUAUUAUGUUAAUCUGGGCUUUGAUUUUUUUUUUUUUUUGAAUUGUUUGUUCUUCUCUUUUAUGAAUUGUGUUUUAGCCUAAUGAUGAACUAUUUCUUUGUCAGGAAGUGAUCACUUUGAAUAAAUAAUAUAUAUAUUUUUAUUUUACUGCUAUUUUCUAAAUAAGAAUAUAAUAUCUUCAAAAGUUAUAAUAAACUUCCAAAUUUUACAUUCUCUCAUAAAUAAUAUAUUAUAAAUUAAAUUUAAAAUCGUAUAAAUGACAUUUAAAAUUAGAAUUGUAGGUAAUAAUUAUUAAUUAUUCAAAUUUUAAAAUAAGAAACAUGAUAUUGUAGUGGAAUGAUCACUUUAAAUAGAGAAUAUUUUUUUUUACUUUUAUUUUUUAAAUAAGAAUACAAUAUCUUCAAAGAGUGGUAAAAUAGACUUUUCAAAUUUUACAUACUCUCAUAAAUAUUAUACUAUAAACUACAUUUAAAGUCAUAAUAUAAAUGACAUUCAAAACUAGAAUUAAAGGUAAUAAUUAUUGGUUCUUCAAAUUUUAAAAUAAGAAACACUAUAUCUUUGUCAUGGAGUGAUCACUUUAAACAAAUAAUAAUUUUUUUUAUUUCAUCUGUAUUUUUUAAAUAAGAAUGCAAUAUCUUUAAAUAGUCUUACAAUAGACUUAUCAAAUUCUAAUUCUCUCAAUACAAGAAAAUCAUUAAAUAGAAAUCAAUUUUAGAGACCAAAAUAAAUUAGUUUUUUAUUUAUCAGCAAAGAAUAAAUAAAAUAAAAUGAGACACUUCAGGGGUGUCCCAACCUUAUACAAAACCCCAAAAGAAACUAAUUUAGAAACAAUAGCCAAAGUGAUAUGUUCCUAGGAUGCAUCGAAGAAUUCUUGUAAUAGUUUUUUUAGGUGCACAAGUCUCUUAGAUCCUCUAUGAAUCAACUUAUUAUACCAACACUAUGUCAAGACACCGUAGACUCCCUACUACUAGACUGCGGUAUUGACUUGCAUUCACUUGAUCUCCUCCAUCAAAUUUAGAGAGUUUCAUAUUGAGCUCCAUUGAUAAGGUUAUUCACUUGAUCUCCUCCGUCAAAUUUAGAGAGUUUCAUAUUGAGCUCCAUUGAUAAGGUUAUCAUAUUACAAUCUUCCAUCUUGCUUUUUCUUUAAUAUCCUUGGGAUAUGUUUCUUAUCACAAAAAUUCCAAAAUAUUUUUGUCUAAUCUCAAGGCCAAGAACAUAAUUCAUCAAUCCUAAGUCUCUCCCAAAGGUGCCUAAAAUUGAUAAAGACGAUUCAUCUUCAUGUAAAGUGUAAGGGGGCAGGUGGAUUUCACUAUGAAUUUCGUUAUUUAAAACACGCAAGUUACUUUAUAUACAUUGUUAUUUUGUUUUGGGACUCAGUACGAUGUGUUAGCCUAUGGAGUUUUCUUUCAUCGCCAUUUCCUGCAAAACAUUCUUUCACAUACAUUUUCCAUCCUCAUAAAAUCAUACAAAACCAAAAAAGAAAGCCGAGAAAGUAUUACGAGAAAAAAUAGUUUUAAAGGGGGGUUUAUUUUUAUAUUAUUUAGGGUUAAAACCUUUAUUAAGUCAUUUAUUUAGGAUUAUAGUUUCUCUCGCUAAACCAUCCCUGGGAAAUGUGUUCUCCGAGAUUUUUUUAAACCUCAUGAAAAGUCUUUUAGUGCUCAUGUUAAAUACUAUGGGUUUAAGAACCUUUGUAAAAUACCAUUAGUUUCAAAAAUUUUGUAAAUACCAUGAGUUUAAAAACAUUCAUUAAAUAUAAUGGGUUUAAAACAUCCGUAAAAUACCACGUGUUUAAAAACCUUCAUUAAAUACCAUGGGUUUUAAAACUUCGUUAAAUACCAUGGUUUUAAAACCUCCAUAAAAAGUCCUGGACCAGAUGGUUUUAAUUUUGGAUUUAUAAAAUUUUGUUGGGACAUUUUAAAAGGAGAUGUGGUGAGUGCGGUACAAAGGUUUGGAGAGGGUGGAAGUUGGCCGAAAGGCACUAAUGCUUCUUUUAUUACUCUUGUCUCAAAGGUUGCAAAUCCACAACAAUUGAAUGAGUUCAGACCGAUUUCUUUGGUGGGUUGCGUGUAUAAAAUUAUCUCUAAAAUCCUCUCUUUAAGAUUAAAAAGGGUUUUAAACAAAGUUAUUGAUCCCAGGCAGUCUGCUUUCUUGGAAGGAAGGGGUUUGUUGGAUAGUGUACUAGUGGCUAACGAGACACUUGAGGAGGUAAAAAGGAAAAAGAAAGAAUGUGUGGUGUUUAAGGUGGAUUAUGAAAAGGCAUAUGACUCAGUAAGUUGGGAGUUCAUCUACUACAUGCUGGGAAGAUUGGGAUUCUGUGAUAAAUGGAUUGAUUGGAUAAAAAACUGCUUAGAAUAAUCCUCAAUAUCUGUGUUGGUAAAUGGAAGCCCAACAACUGAGUUUAAACCUUUGAAGGGCCUAAGACAAUGGGAUCCUUUAGCACCUUUCCUUUUCCUAAUUGCGGCUGAAGGUCUUGCUUGGGUAGUCAGACAGGCGGAAGAAAAGAAGCUACUAGAAAGUAUUGAGGUUGGGGAAAAACAAGUAAAGGUGAGCAUGCUGCAAUAUGCAGACGACACGUUUUUUUUCUGUAAAGCCUCAAUCCAAAGUGUUAUGAUUUUAAAGGCUAUUCUGAAGUGUUUUGAACUUGCAUCUGGCCUUAAGGUUAACUAUUCCAAGAGUAAGGUUGGUGGAGUGGGAGUGAAUAUGAAUCAGACGAUGAUUUUUGCCUCUAUCCUUAAUUGCGACAUUAUGAAGGCACCUUUCAGUUACUUGGGGAUGAUGGUAGGUGGGAACCAUAAGAGGUGUGUUUUUUGGGAAGGUAUGCUCAAUAAGUUACGGAUGAGGUUGAGCGCGUGGAAAGGGAAAUCUCUCUCUUUGGCUGACAGAUUAUGCCUUAUCAAAUCGGUACUUACGUCCUUACCGCUCUUCUAUGUCUCCCUAUUUUGUAUGCUGAUGACUGUGAUGAGGGAAGUGAAAAGGAUACAAAAAAAACUUUUUGUGGGAUUGGGGGUCAGAUAACAGGAAAAUUGCUUGGGUGGUGUGGGAUAAGAUUUGUCAAUCAAAAGAUAAAGGCGGUUUAGGGGUCAUUGAUAUAGAAAAGUUUAACUUGGCUCUUCUAGGGAAAUGGAUUUGGAGACUUAAGUCUGAAGAGAGAAGCUUUUGGAAGGAUAUUCUAGUGUCUAAGUAUGGUGGGUGGAGGGGAUUAAAAUCUCAAGGUAAGAUUUGUAAGGAAUCGUUGUGGUGGAGGGACCUUAGGAAGGUAUGGUACUUAGAGGGGUGGGGUAAUGAUUUUGAAGGCAGAGGUCGGUGGGAAGUAGGAGACGGGAAAGAAAUCAGGUUUUGGGAGGAUAAAUGGUUGGAAAAUUUUCCUCUAUUACAUAAAUUCCCUAGGCUCUUUUCAAUCUCCUUAGAUACCGAUUGUACUCUUUCACAAGUUGGGGUUUGGAAUAAUAAUACUUGGUCGUGGAAGCUGCGGUGUAGAAGAAAUCUUUUUUAGUGGGAAUCCAGUUUGGUUGCUCUUUUGAUGCAGUUGUUGGAUAACAAGAGGUUAACAAGAGAGGGUGGAGUUAAACCUGAUAAAUGGAUAUGGGGGGAUGUGGAUAACUUGGAUUUAUCUGUGAAAGCAGCUUAUAAGUGUCUCAUGGGGGAGAUGUCUGUAGUGGAUGAGGAUUUAUUCGUGAAUUUUUGGUCUCUAAACACCUUACCUUCAGCACAAUUUAUGGCUUGGAGGGUGUUAUGUAAUGUCAUUCCCACGAAGGACAAUCUCUCGAGACGCGGCAGAACUUUGAUGAGUGAUCGGUGCCCUUUGUGUGGUGUGGAAGAAGAGUCGGUAAGACAUUUAUUUUUUGAAUGCAGAAUCUCUUGAAGAAUUUGGGGUAUGUGUCUAGAGUGGUUGGGGUUCACCUCGGUGCUACAUCGUGACCCACAAAUGAAUUUUAGGAUGUUCAAACCUAUAGGCUUGAAACAUGUAGUUACCAGGUGUUGGGGGGUAUUUGGGUAGGUAUUGUGAGUGAAAUUUGGAACCAUAGGAAUAAGGUUGUGUUUGAGAACGGGCAGGUGGAUCUAGUGGAGGUUUUUACCGUGGCACAAAGAAAGACUUGGUCUUGGGUCACAGUAAAAGAAAAAUUGGUUGUUUUCUCUUACUCUGACUGGUGUUUGGAACCUCUCUGUUGUAUGAGGUAUUUGAAAGACUGAUUCCUUGUCUUAUUUAACUAAUGUUUUGUUUCCUGUCCUGGUAGUUGUGGUGUGGUUUUGUGCAGGUCUCAUCGGUAAAUCCUAUCUGGCAAGGUUGAAUUGAGGUAUGGAAAGUAUUGUAUGUUUGUGCAGGUUGUCUUGGUCUUUUCUUUUUGGCAGGGUAGGAAUGUUGUUCUGAACUGCGAUAAAGGAAGUGACUUUAUGCAUGAUUAUCGGUUUGGUGUUGGAAUAUUUAUGAAGUUUGAGCUGAAGCAAAAGGAUACGUGGUUCUUUUUGGUUACUGGUGUGGCCAGAUUGGGAAGCUAUUAAGUGUUUUUUGGGGUUUUCUGGCUUAUGCAUAUUCCUCAUAGGAUUGGGUUGUUGCUGUUCGUAUUUGGUUUAGUUUGGUACAACUCAGCUUGCUACAAAGAUAUGGUUUAGCUGUUGUGAUGGUAUGCCUUGUAUUGGUUUGUUGUGCUUAUCACUUGGGUAUGGUACUCCAACCUGUUGCCAAAGACUAUGUUGUAGUUGUCAGAUGUAUUUAGUUGUUGGGUGUAUUUCUGUAUCUUGUCUGGAAUUCUAUCUUUGAUCUGUAGUGUAGUGUCUGUCGGAUUCCUGGUUGGCAGGGUACUAGAAAACUUGGUUUUGGGGUUUUGUAUAAGGGUUGAGACACCCCUGAAGUGUCUCUUUUUAUUUUAUUUAUUCUUUGCUGAUAAAAAAAAGAGGAUAAUAACAAACUCCAAAGACAACUAUAAUUUAAUGUGCUCAAGUACUUUUUCAAAAGUAAAGCAUUUAAUGAGAGAAAAGAAAAACCAGGUCAGAUUUUCUCCCCACCAAAAAGUCCAACCUAUCCACCCACCCCCAAAACAAAAAGUAAAAGAUAUAACAAUCAUAGAGAUUUUAAGCAAAGAAUAGGUUUAAAAAACAAAUUAGAGAAAGAACACGAAAUUACUUACCCUUUAUAUAUUCUUCAACCAUAAUCAAGAUUUAAGUGAGAUUUAUUAAGUGAGAUUAUGCAAAUAUACUUAUCCUAUGGCUUGUAUGUUGUCAAUUAAGUGAGAUUAUGCAAAGUUUGUCUCUUUGACUAGGAUGUUAUUUAUUUUAAGGAUAUAAGGAUUAGGUAGGUUAGAAGGGGUUUAGAUUAUGUAUAAGGGUUGAGCCACCCCUUAAGUGGUUCAUAUUAAUUUAUUUUUUUCUUGCCGAUAAAAAAAAAAAUUUAAGUUGAGACAUAUGAAUAAUUUUCUUGACAUCUACAACUUCUGGUCUAAAAACAACGUUGUUGCUAUGAUUCCAAAUAUUUCAUAUAAGUGCAAUCAACAUAGCCUUCCAGAGUUGAUUUUGCUUAUGGUUUAAAUGAGGUAAGAUAAAUUGUUCAUAAUGUUUAUAAAAAUUAUUGUGUUAAACAACCUAUGUAUUAACCCAUAUAAAACAUUAAUUAUUAACCCAUAUAAAACAUUAAUUCCAAGCAUAUAAAGAACAACCAUAUUCAAGAAACAUAUAUGGUUAACAGAUUCAACAUGAAGAUUAUAACGAGGGUACAAAACAUUUGCUAGAGACACUCCUCUCCUUGAAUAAUAUAUCUUCAAACAUAUAUAUCAUGAUAAAGAAUGAUAAAGAUACAUCAAGAGAUUUGAAGAAUCCUACAUCACUUACAAUAUAGAUAAUGCAUAACCUCUUUAUCAUUCAUACCUAACUACAAGAAUGUCAAUCUUUGAAUCUUUUUCUCCUUCGAAAUAAUGCAUUUGUAAAUCAACUUGACCGAAAGCACAAAUGUUCUUAUUUUGAAACAACCUUGUUAUUAAGACUCUUACUGCCUGCCAGUAUACAUCUGAUACAGUUCUUCGACCACUCUAUCUAAGUAUUUUGGACAAGUAAUAAUAUUUUCACAUGGAAGAAGCAUUGGGAUUAUUCUUGCAAAGUUGUGUUGUAUAUGGAGGAAGUGAUGUAGAUUGUUUCUUCCCAAUUAAUAUUCUAAGAAAACUACACCAGUCAAGAUUCAAACUCAAGUUCUUCUAGUGAAGAGGGAAGCAUUAACCACUAGAUCAGACAAAUUUUUUGGUCAUAUUAUUAUUUUUAUUAUACUUAUUAUUAAUAUAAUUUAUACAUAUUAAUAUAAUUAUUAUUAAUAAUAAUAAAAUAUAUUAUACUCAUAUUAUUAAAUUAUUAUUAACAUUAUAAUUAAUAUUAUAAUUAACACUAUAAUUAAUAUUAUAAUUAACACUAUAAUUAAUAUUAUAAUUAACACUAUAAUUAAUAUUAUAAUUAACACUAUAAUUAAUAUUAUAAUUAAUAUUAUUAUAAAUAUUAUUAAUAUUAUUAUAGAUAUUAUAGAUAUUAUUAAUAUUAUUAGUAUUAAUAUUAAUAUUUAAUAAAUUUAAUAUUAUUAUCAUCAAUUUAAUAAAUUUAAUUUAACUAAUUUAUAUCAUAAUUUCAAAAAUAAAAUAGUUAUGACAAUAUAUAAAUAAAAUAAAUAAUAUUUAAAAUAAACAAAUAUUUUAUAUAACAUUUAAAUAAUUUAAAUAUAUAUUUUAUUUUACUCAAUUAAUUUUAAAUCAAACACUUAUUUAAUUUAAUAAAUCUAAUUUAAUUAAUUUAUAUUCAAAAUUGAUAAAUUAAAUAAUUUAUUAUAACAUUAAAGAAAUAAUUCUAAAAUAAAUAUAAUAAAGAAUUAAAUAUUAAAAUAUUUAUUAUAAAUUAAAAAUAUUUAAAUUUUAAAAUAAUUAGAAGGUGUUUAGAGUUGCCUUCAUUAAGAAAUUACUGACAGUUUUACGUUGAGAUUUAGUUUGUAUAAAUUGAUGCAGUGAGAGUGAGUAGAACACAAGCUUUGAAUUAUUUGAGGAAUUUGUUGUUGUUGAAAGAGAAGAAGGGAAAGAUGUUUACCACGCUCACCCAAACUCAUCUUUGUCGCAAUGUCUUGUUCUUGUUCUUGCUUUGCACGCCGAUGUUCAGCAGUAGUGGUGCUUCUAGCAAGGGUAUGAAGUUAUUUCACACCCAUAUACUCUUUCUUAUUGAAUAAACUCUCAUUAACCUUAGUAAUUGUAUUUGAUAUGAUGAUAUGAUGAAGUAGGUGGUGAAAGUGGAGAAAGUUUGGAGUCAUCAACGGGUGGAGCAAUGUCAGAGCCACCGAACUGCAUUAACGGGUGUGAGAAAUGCACACCCUGCAAGCCAAUUCUGGUAGCUACGCCACCCCCCUCUCCCCGCCACCAAACGGACUCUGCCUCCCUUCGAUCCCCGGACUACUACCCUCAAGUCUGGAGAUGCACGUGUGGCGGCAAGUUGUACAUUCCUAAAAAUAAUUUUCUCUAACUAUCAUGUAUUCAUUUUAGAUAUAUGAUAGUCGACAUGGAUUUUGCCACAAAACUUUACUUUAUCUGAAAUAAAUGAUAUCUUCAAACGGGUUACGGAUACAUGUUUGUAAAACUAUACUUAUUCUGUUACUCUCUGCUUAGGUUUUCAUUUUUUUACCAUUAAGGAUUUUUUUUUAACAAAAUGGAAAUUCUUUUAAAAAAAUACAAAUUUAAAUAAGUCAUGUCAAAUUGACAUGAGUUAAUGUGAAGAAGUUGUAUCAACUUGACAGACUUUACCACCUCAACUUGAACUCGUGUUAAGUUGACACGAAUUUUGUCACGUCGUUCUAACUUGAUAUGACUUUGUUCACGUCAUAAAUUUUUUAUUUUGUUGACUUUAGUAAAAACAUUAUUGUUUUUAAAUAAAUAAAUAUUACUAAUUAUUUAAUUAGAGUUGAAAUUAAUUAAAAUUGGUAAGUUAUGUAAUAUUUAAAAUUAAUUUGAUAAAUAACUUUUUAAGAGUGUUAGCUUUAAGCAAAAAAUUGGAUAAUCAUGCAUGAAUCAUGUUUGACGGUAAUGUAAUAUAUUAAUUUAAUUUUUUUAUUAAUAAAAAAUAUGAUGAAAAUUGUUAUUGCAUUUGGAAAUAAAUAGAGAAAUGAGAAUUAUUAUUGUAUUUGCAGAACACGUAAUAAUGAGGAGAUUAAUUAUAACUAGACAAAUUAGUAAGAUUCAUUACAAGAUAUAAAAUAAAAAUAAAAAGUUGAACUAUUGGAAGUAAAUUAUUUAUGGAAGACGCAAUUGCUAUACGUCUCCCUUAUCCACACACAAUUGUUGUUUGUUCAUUUUGUCAUUUACAGCUAAUGACAUUUGUGGUACAGUCUCUGCAAAUAUUUUAAAGGUUAUGAGGUCCAAUUUAAUCCUGUUCGAAAUCAAGAUUAUUCGUCUAUUUACACGGACCAAAAUUUUUUACCUGACCCCAUGAUGUGUUGACAUCAAUCAAGAAAACGUAUAAACCCUAAAUUGUUAUACGGUAGGACCAAAGGUCAUAAACAAUUGUUUGCACAGACAAACUUGAUAAUAAAAUUCAAUCUCAACUUUGAUUAUUAAUUUUCUCAUUUUCUUUACCUAUGUAUUUAUGCCUUAUUUAUUUUAUUCAACUAACAACCUAAAUUAACCAAGAAUAAAUAUUCCUCCAUAAAAAAUUAUUUGUUAAAUUAAUUUCAAAUAUUACAUAACUUACUACUCAAUUUUAAUUUUAAUUAAAUAAUUACAUGAAUCGUGUCAACUUUUUUACGUUAACAUUAGAGGAAUCGUGUUAAGUUUACACGACUCCAAAUUGAGCGAACAAAGUCAUAUCGUACCAAAUUAUUAUGACUUCUUUCAUAUUAAGUGAUAGUUUUUUUUUAUAAAAGGAGUCACAUCAUUUUGGUAAAAGAAAAAAGAAACAUCACCAUGGUGGUAAAAAACCUGGAUUUUCUUUCUCCCUUCCGUCGUUUGUUUCUUCUUCUGCUUUAUGAAUUGUGUUUUAGCCAAAUGAGGAACUGUUUCUUUGCUGUGGAGUAAUCCCGUUCUAAUUAAAAGCAACAAUUUGCAACGUUCUAAAAGUAGCAGCAUGUUCUGACAGAAUCUGAGAAGACUAUUUGUAGUGUGUUUUACGUUCUACGUAUUUCUAAAUAUUUUAUGAAAAAAGGAAACUCCAUAAUCAUGCAAACCUUUUACAUAACGCUUCCUAGGCUAACACAUCGUACUGAGUCCGAAACAAAAUAACAACGUAUAUAAAAGGAACAUGCAUGCGUGUUUUAAAGAACGAAAUUCAUAACUGCGAAAUCCACCUGCCCCCAUCAACUUUACAUAGUUGUUGCCACAAGUGCAAGCCCUAGUCCAAGUGACACUAACUUUCCGUACAUAUUGAUCUUGUCGGUGCCGGAGUUCUGUUCGGUGGGAUUAACGUGUGAGGAAUCUGAAGAAGAUGAGUCGUCCUUAUCAGCUUUAGGCGCCUUUGUUGCGUCAGUAGAAGGUUGUGGAGCCAAUGAGGGAGCCUUUGCAGGUGCUUUAGCAACAGUAAAAAAGUCCAAAGGAAGAAGCACCUUACCCACCUUGUAAAUAGCGAGAUGCUUAUCCGUAUAUACAAUGCCUGUGAUGGUGGUGUUAACCUCACCCGUUGAGAUGUUCACACUCCCUCCGUAACUUAUCACAUUCAGUUCCACUUUUCCAGGUUUAGCCCCUGCAAGGGUUCUCACUGGGUUGGUUAGAGUAUCAAAGUUAGAGCUAGAAACAUAGUCUGAAAGAACAUGGAACUGUAAGAGCUCGAGCUUUUGGCCAUCAGAAAGAGAGUUGAGGAAGCCUGCUUUGAGUUCAGAGAAGGAACUGUCAUCAGGUGCAAGAAUGGUGAUGCCACCUGAUUUAGUAGUGAGGAGCUGUGCAUUGAGUUGGUUGAUCAAUUGGGUGGUUUUCAUGAGGCGGAUUAGGAUGUUGAAUGACUUAGCCUGCCUCAGGAUUCCAACAAUGUCAACAGCUGCAGUGUCAGGAGUGGAAUCACUUGGUGACUGUGGCAAUGAGGGAACCAAUGGCUGUUUAGGAGCCUCAGCUGGUGGGGUAGGGGUAGGUUGAACUGGUUUAAGAGGGGCAGAAGCUGGUGAUAAUUGGGCCAAAGUGGUGGUGGAAUUAAAAAAUGAAAGUAGCAGUGCCAGUGAGAAGGACAAGACACAUUGCUUUCUCAUCAUCCUGGUUUGUUAAAUAAAGGUUUGGAUGAUAUUAGAAAUGAUUGCAAGUGAUAACUAUUGUAAUAACAGUGUGCAGUUCAUGCAAUGAUGAAAUGCAUGAGUGUAGGGUUUUUAUAUAUUGAAGCUGAGAAAGGAAAGGUAGGUGAAGGGCCAUGUUGUACAACCUUUAAUUGUGAUUUAUGAACUAUCUUGUUUGAUAUUUAGGUGUUGCAUUAAUCAAAAUAUAUACAUAUAUGGUAUGUAAGAUAACAGUGAGUUCUUGCUUGAAAGGUACACAAAAGAUUGAGUGAGACACUGGUGUGAGACAUAGUCUCAUUAUUGGACAAGGAAAUUACGGUGGCGCAUCAAUGAAGAUUGAAACGUUUUAGCUCAUCAGAACUCGUUUUCUAGUGGAUUUGGAUCUAGAGAAGAAUGAUUAGUAUCCUCAAUGUAAUUAUCAAACAUUAGUUAAUUCAUUUUUUUUUAUAAAAUAAUGUACAAAUUUUUUCUACUUUUUUAGUUGCUUAAUUGGGUUUUUUUUUACCAUCAUGGGUUAUUUUUUUUGGUUUUUACCAAAAUGAGUCCGUUUAAAAAAAAUUACAAAUUUAGGCAAGUUGUGCCAAUUCGGCACGACUUCAUAUGCAGAAGUCGUCCCAAUUAGGCAUGACUUCUGCCAUGUCAUACUAAAGUCGUGCCAACUUGGCACGACUUCUGCCCUCUCAUACUGAAGUUGUGUCAACUUGGCACGAUUUCUGCCCUGUCAUACUGAAGUCGUGCCAACUUGACAUGACUUCUGCUACGUCAUAAUUUUUUUUAAUUUUAUUGUUUAUAUAUUGGGUAGUAAGUUAUGUAAUGUUAAAAAUUAAUUUGAUACAUAAUUUUCUAAGAGUGUUAGUUUUAAGGAACAAAAAAUUGGAUAAUUGUGUAUGGAUCAUGUUUGAAUUGAAUGAAUAAAUACAUAGAUAAAGAAAAUGAAUGUUCUAAGAGUGUUAUGAAUGAAUAAAUACAUAGAUAAAAAAAUGAGGAAAUUAAUAAUCAAACUUGAAUUGAAUUUUAUUAUUAAGCUUGUCUGUGCGGACAAUUAUGACGUGGCAGAAGUCGUGCCAAGUUGGCACGACUUCUGUAUGACGGGGCAGAAGUCGUGCCAAGUUGGCACGACUUCAGUAUGACAGGGCAGAAGUCGUGCCAAGUUGACACGACUUUAGUAUGACAUGACACAGCAGAAGUCGUGCCUAAUUGGGACGACUUCUGCAUAUGAAGUCGUACCGAAUUGGCACGACUUGCCUAAAUUUGUAAUUUUUUUUAAACGGACCCCAUUUUGGUAAAAACAAAAACAAUAACCCCAUCAUGGUCAAAAAACCGCUUAAUUGGCUGAUGCUAUUUCACUUUUUAUACUGCGUUAUACACAAAAUGAUUCUGUCAAUUGUUUGAAAUAUCAGUAUAAACUAUAAUCAUAUGUUGUUUAUCUAAAUUUAAAAGAACUGUGUAUGUUAUACCAUAUUUCACAACAAUUUCUCCUGAUUUCAACCAUAGUUAAGGCUACCAAAUUCACUUUGAUGUAUUUUUUUAAAAAAAAAAACUAUCAUGAUUAUUGCUCAAUGAAAAUAUAAGAAUAUUUGUGAUUUAAUUUUACUAAGAUUUUUUUUAUAUGUUUUAAAUUUUAAGAUAGUGUUUGGAAAAAAGAAAAGCAUAUGAUCAUUUUAUCUUUUAAAUUUAAGAAAUUAUUAAUUUGAUUUAAAUAUAAUGCUACUAUUUUAAAGUUUUUUUUUAACUUUGUUCUUCCCAAAUAAUAUAUCUUUUAUUUUGUAAAUAUAUUUUAUAUAAAAAAUCAAUAAUUGGUAUCAUAGUUUUCUAACCUAUGAAUUUGAGAAAUUCAGUGAGUCUACCUUUUUUUUUCAGCAGUGAGUCUACCCAUGAUCCUAAACAAACACUUAAUCUCAUCAUAAUGAAUCCAAAAGGUUCAUUUAUUCCGAUUGAACUUUCCAUUCUUAAAGGAAAACAUGAUCUCUUCUGGAUGUUAUAGACUAGAAGUCCAUCUUGGUAAAUGUGAACAAGUUUCAUUCCUAUUAAAUAAUCUAACUAUUGUUCAAAUCAAAAUUUACAAGAGAGAAAACAGGUUGAAGAAUUAGAAACAAUUAAAGAAUACUCCCACAUUUUCUAAAUCUCAAUUUUAACGUCACAUUUUAUAUAAUACGGACACUUAAACGAUACGAAUAUAUCAGUGUUUGAAUUUUAUAGUUGGCAACUCAUUCACUAACGCCUUCAAAGUUAUUACUAUUAUAUCAACAUAAUGGAAGAUAAUGUUACAGACAAGGUUGGAUUUGCUUUCGAUUUACUAGGCUGAAAAUCAGACUCCAAGCUUGUAAUAAAAUUGUACUUAUAUGAUUUUAUAAGGAUAAAAAGAAUAAAUAAAUAUAAAACAUGUGAGGAAUAUGCUCCAACUUUAUUAUAAUUUAUACAAGUUAAGUUAUGAUUCUUACAUAAUUCCAAAACCAGUCAAAAGAAUAGUAUUUUUUAAGUUACAAUUAGCAAAUCUCUGGCUCAGUUGAAUAAAUUACAUUUAUUAAUGUCUAAAUACAGAAAACAGAUAGUUUGUAUUGAACUUAGAAUUUAAAAAAAAAAAAAAAAAAAAAAACUGUAGCUAUGAAUGACCUUGUCUAUAUGAGAUGCAUUGGAGCCAAAAAUUGCAGUGUAUUGUUGAAUUAUAUGCAUUGUUAAUCUCUAACUUUUCAGUUUAGUAUGGUGAAAUGUAUUGUGGUGCAUGGUCGAUGUUUGUUCGUGUUGAAGUCCAGGUGAUUAGUGAUGAAAUAUGAAGUCUAGGUGAUUAGUGACAACUUUCUUAAUACUCAUCUCUCAUUGAUUCUAAUAUCAUCCUUAACAUAACAACAUUUUACCUCCACUUUCAUUCUUACCAAUAUCUUUCUCAAAUAUAAAUGGAACAUCAUCCACAUUCAAAACUUGAAAAAAAUAAGAAAAACAGUAAAAUCUGACUUUUUUUAUACUUAAAAUUAGCUCGUGUAUAAAUUAAAAAUUAGAAAAGUUACCUAAGAAAGCUUCUAUAAAUUAAUUUUAAAUUAUGGAAAAAAUAAUUUUAAUUUUUUUUCUUAUUUUGAAGGAGAAAUUCAUCCAAAGUCACCCUACAACCAAAUUAUUCAUAUCCAUGAUCUCUAAUACUGCAACAGAGAUUCAACACUGAGAGUUGCCCCCAUGUAAGGUUAGGUUCUGUACUAGGUUAGGAGUUGUGAAACAUGUGAAUUCAUUGUUGGUCUUUCAUGAAAACCAUAAUUUUUAGAAACAGUUAUGGUUUAACUUGGUAAUCAUUAACGGAUUCUUGAUAUAACACGAAUGCACAAGAAACCACAAAAAGAGACAGCAAAAUUUAAACAAGAAAUGCACAAAGCAAGAAAUUAAUGACAUAGAAAACUGUACUGCUGCCAGAUAGAUCAACUCCAUAUGUUUGCCACUACCAUCAAAGCUAUCCCAACCGACAUCAGUGCAUGAAUGCUAACCAAACUCGCUGCCCCAGAUUUAUUCUGAUCCUGCUUUGUUUCGCCUUGAUCAUUCUCGGAAGAGUUCUCCUUAGCAGCUUUGGGGGCCUUUGCAAGAGAUGAAGGAGCCAAAGCUGGAGCCUUAUUGGUUACAAAGAAAUCUAGAGGAAGAAGCACCUUGUCCACGUGAUAAAUCCCAAGUUUAUUAUCCGCGUAUACUACUCCAAGAAUGGUGGCAUUGACUACCCCAGUUGAGAUGUUGACACUGUUACCUAAUGCAUUCACAUUCAGUGGAAGCCUUGCAGGGUCUUUGCCAGCCACUGUCUGCACAGGGUUGCUCAGAGAAUCAAAGUUUGAGCUGGACACAAACUCUGGCAAUAUGUGAAACUGCACAAGUUCAAUUUUCUGGCCUGCGUUUAGGGAGUUGAGGAAGCCUGCUUUGAGGUUGGAAAAGGCAGAAUCAUCUGGUGCAAGGAUGGUUAUGCCCCCACUCUUGGCUGUUAUGAGCUGUGAGUUGAUGUUGUUCAUGAUUUCUGUGGUUUUGAGGAGGCGGACCAGGGUUGAGAACAUUUUGGCCUUUUUGAGGAUUCUGGUGAUGUCAUCAGGGACAGAGUCAGGAGAGUCUGGAGACUGAGGUAAUGUGGGGACUAAUGGUUUUGGUGAUGGUGCUGCAGCCUUUGGGGUAUGGGGAGUUUUUGCUGCAGGGGCUUUUGGGGCUGCUGCAGGUGCAGGUGAAAUAGCCAAGGUGGUAGAGGAAAAGAGUAGAAAGAGCGAGAGGGAGAAAAGGGUUGCUUGUUUCAUCUUCCAGAUGCCAACUCAAGCCUAGAUGGCCUUGAUGAUUUUGAAAGAAUGUUAAAAUGAUUGUAGCAAUUUAUUUUUGAUGUGUGGGAGCUGUGAAGGAGAGGGGUUAUAUAGAGAUUGGAGGGCAAGGAAAUGAUAGGUUGGUGAAAUGUUAUGGCUGUGAAAUUUGUUAGCUGGGGAGUCUGAGGGUGUAUCACGUCUGUCAUGGAGAAUAAGGAUCCUUUAUCUAAAUAUUAUUGGCAUAAAUUAGUGUAAGUAUUGAGUUCGGAUAUGGUGAACUGAGAAUGGACACAUUAAAUACCUGCUUUUAACACUUCUGUAGUAUGUAGUUGAAGAAGGGGAGUGACAAUGCAGAGAGGCUACAGAGGACCCCCUUAAAAAUAUCAGGGAGCAGCUACAAAUGUUGAGUUUAUGUAUAUCUAUAAGAUGUAAUUUAAUAACUUGGAUCAGAAAACAGAGCUGGAGCCAUCCACUUGAUACAAACCAAUUAAUGAAGUUCAAGAACUUUGUGAGUUGAGUGAGUAACUGGAUUGAAAUUCUCCUCCUGGUGUUUUGCACUUCCACUUCCAAUGGUUUUAUUUGGGAGAAGGUUGGUUUUUCUUUAUGCUGUAUUAGCUCCUAAACAUCUCACUCCAUUAACAAAAAUUUCUAUGUAUAGUUUAGCCCUGAAACAGAACAUUGGAAUCCAAAACCAUGUUCUGGAUACCUUUUAGUGCAAAUAAUUCAAGUUUUUAGCUUUAAUUUUUGCUCUCAUAUUCAAACUCUUAAAAAUUUGGACUUUGAACAUAAUAUCAUGAAUUACAUUUUCACUUCUAAAAUCUUGAUAUUUCAUCCUGUUCGUGAAUAUUAUAUAAACAAUAAAGACUUCGCAACUUUUUUUAUCACAAAUGGAGAAGAGACAUUUUACACCUCAUAUACGAAGUCUUUAGCAACAAGUAUAUGGUUUUCUUAAAGCCUCCAUGAGACAUAAACAAAAACUAAUUUGGAAAAUAAAAAUUUCCCUUCUUUCAUCUUCAAUUUCUAAGUCCAUCCUAUAGAUGACUUUUAUUAAUUCUACAAAUACCCAUUUUGUGUAUUUAUACAAAGAGGGACAAUUAGUUGUGAUUUUUACAAUAAUAAUAUUGGUGAAAAAGUAGGGUUAUGCAGAGGCCAAAUAAAUGAUGUGCUGGUGAAAUGUUGUGGUUAACAGGUUGCAAAAUUUGUAGCUGUGGAGGGUAUAUCCCAUCUGUCAUAGAGAUGAGGAUUUGUUAUCUAAUUAUUAUUUGCAUCUUUGCUGAUAAUGAUGAGCUGAUAAUGGACAUAUGAUAAUGCUGACAUAUUCAUGGACACUUGCUUUUUAACAUCUUUUGUAAGAAAAAUAAUGUAGUUGAAGAGGAGUGACCCACCUCACACAUACUAAGGAGUUGUUGCAAAUUGUUUUGUAUUUCUAUAAGAUGAUGCAGAGUUUUUAAACUGUGAUUGUGCUCAUGAUUGUUGAUACUGUCAAAAAUCACAUACAAGUACACUUAAUUUAAUUGCAUUUUAUAUUGAGGAAACUUCGAAAACUUUAACGUUCUGGUCAAAAUCGCAGUUGGAUUGGGAACCAUUUACUGAUAAAACUUUAAUAAAACAAAUCUUUAAUAAACAUUUAAUUCAAAAUAUUCAAAUUUACAAAAACUUAUAGCUUAAUUGAAUUAUUAUUUUCAUGACAUGUACUUAAUUAAGAUCCAAAGUAAAAGCUAAACUACGUCACUCUGCUUCGAGAGUAAAAUCAAACUGUAGAAUUUUAAUUGAAAAAUAUAAAAAUUUGAAAUAUUCAGUAAAAUAUAUUUUUUAACAAAAAUUAACUUAAACCUUAAUUAUGUCAUGCUAUAAAAAGCUCAGGUUGUACAGAUGAAGUUAUUGUUUCUGCUUCUGGAUAAAAGUCCACUUUUCUUAAUAAUAAUAGAUGUUAUUGUAAACAACAAACACAAAAUAGUUCGUAUAUAUUUCUCUCCAUCCUUUUCAACUCGAUAACAUUCAUUAUGAAUUAACUAUAUUUGGAAACUUUGGACAGUUUUUAUAUAAAUAGUGCCUUGGAGGAAAAUGUUUGAAAGAAAAAGAGGAUAGGAGUUAUGAAACAUGAAUUCAUUCCUGGUCAUGCAUAUAAAGCAUGAUGAUAGCAACAACAUGGUUUCAGAUAAGAAUCGUUAAUCAUUCAAGCAUUCUUUCCCUUUCCAUAACAUCCAUACACAAGAAACCACAAAGAGAGAAAAAUUUAAACAAAAAAAGAAGCGCAAACAAAGAAAUUAACCACAAAGAAAACUGAAAGUUCAGCUGCUAAAUGAUCAACUCCACAUGGUUGCCAUAGCGACCAAGGCUAUCCCAAGUGACAUCAACUUUGUUCCACUAACGCUGCUCAAACUGAGUGCCCCAGAUUUAUUGUGAUCCUGGUUUGCUUCUUCUUGAUCGUCAUCAGAAGAGUUUUCCUUAGCAGCUUUGGGAGCCUUUGCAAGAGAUGAAGGAGCCAAAGCUGGAGCCUUAUUGGUUACAAAGAAAUCUAGAGGAAGAAGUACCUUGUCCACGUGAUAAAUUCCAAGUUUGUUAUCCGCGUAUACUACUCCAAGAAUGGUGGCAUUGACUACCCCGGUUGAAAUGUUGACACUGUUACCUAAUGCAUUCACAUUCAGUGGAAGCCUUGCAGGGUCUUUACCAGCCACUGUCUGCACAGGGUUGCUCAGAGAAUCAAAGUUUGAGCUGGACACAAACUCUGGCAAUAUGUGGAACUGCACAAGUUCAAUUUUCUGGCCUGCGUUUAGGGAGUUGAGGAAGCCAGCUUUGAGGUUGGAAAAGGCAGAAUCAUCUGGUGCAAGGAUGGUUAUGCCCCCACUCUUGGCUGUUAUGAGCUGUGAGUUGAUGUUGUUCAUGAUUUCUGUGGUUUUGAGGAGGCGGACCAGGGUUGAGAACAUUUUGGCCUUUUUUAGGAUUCUGGUGAUGUCAUCAGGGACAGAGUCAGGGGAGUCUGGAGACUGAGGUAAUGUGGGGACUAAUGGUUUUGGUGAUGGUGCUGCAGCCUUUGGGGUAUGGGGAGUUUUUGCUGCAGGGGCUUUUGGGGCUGCUGCAGGUGCAGGUGAAAUGGCCAAGGUGGUAGAGGAAAAUAGUAGCAAGAGUGAGAGGGAGAAAAGGGUUGCUUGUUUCAUCUUCCAGUUGCCAAUUGAAGCCUGUAGAUAUGGCUUUGAUGAUUGUGGAAGUAUGUGAAUGAUUUGAAUUAAUGAUUCUUGCAAUUUGUGUCUGAUGUUUGGGAUGUGUGAAGGGGAGGGUUAUAUAUAGGCCAAGAAAAUGAUAGUUUGGUGAAAUGUUAUGGCUAUGAAAUCUGUUAGUUGUGAAGUGUGAGGAUAUAUCCCAUCUUUCAUAGAGAACAAGGAUCCUUUAUCUAAUUAUUGUUGGCAUGUUUGCAAAACAGAUGCUAUAGGUUAACUAUAUUGGGUAAGUUUGGUUAUGGUGAGCUGAGCAUAGCACAUGUAUAUUUAUAAAUAAAUAGGUUAAAUACAUUGUUAAAAAAUGUUUGUAAUAUAUUGUUGAAGGGGAAUGACUGUGGAGAGGCUAGAGAGGAACCCUAAAAAAUAGGGAAUUGCAUCUGCAAUUGUUAUGUAUGUUUAUUAGAUGUAAUUUAAUACCAUGGAUCAGGAAGAGCCAUUGACAAAGGUUGGAACUCCUACUGGCAUUCUGAACUUCCAAUUCAAAUGGUGUCAAUUGGGACAAGGUAUGAUGAGUUUAUUAACUCAUAAAAUACCUUCUUUAAAAUCAUACUAAUUACUGUUUUUAAUUUAUUGAUAGAGUAAAACUUUUUACACUCUUAAAAUUGUGAUUAUUUUAUCUUGUCCAUGUAUAAUAUAUAAAUAAAGACAUCACAACCUUUUGAUUUUAGUACAAACAAACUAGGACAAGACAUUUUAACCCAUACGAAUCUCACUUUUGGAUAUAGAUCCACAUUUCGUGCUAAGUAAUUGAUGUUAUUGCUAAAAUAUAAAGACAAAUUAAUUUUGAUAUAAUUAUUGGAUUUUGCUCUUCCUCUUCCAAUGGUUUUAGUUAGGAGAAGGUUGAAUUUUCUUUUAACCAAAUAUUACCUCCCUAGCCUUCCUGUUGAUUAAUAACACAGAAAAAUGCUAGAUAGGUUGACAAAAUUCCUACUACACCUUUUUUCCACUUCAACACUCUUUGCAUUGAUUAUUUGAUCAACUAUGUUAAGUGAACAAUCAUCUGACACUGAAUAACAUUAGCCUCUAGCUAAAGAUUAAUAUCUAUAAGUCAUGGCUAAUGAAGCACAUUAUACAUGGGUACUCCAGAAAUAAUGUCUAAUUGUUGAAAGAAGAUUAUACCUUAAACCAUAAAACAGAACCAUAAUAACAUGAAAAGAAAAAAGAAGCAGAACCAUUUUCGAUUUGCUGUUAAACCAUACUAGUCUCCAUACAUUGAUUCAUAUUUAAUUAAAAAUACAAGAGAAAUGGCUUCCAUCAUCAUACCUAUACAUGUCACUAAAAGAUCAUGUACGCACUGUCAUUAAGAGAACAAAUAUGUCCAAAAUCAGACUAAACUCCUAUCUUCUUACUUAACCAUUACCCUUGUCACAAACAAAACAUAAUUACAGCAAUCAAAAAGGUGAUUUAGAAAGUUCUCAUGUCCUUAAUUUAACACUAAUGUACUCAGCAGCCGUACUCAUUCUUGGACAUUCAUUCUCUUUGGUUCCUCCAGCAGACCAGCUUCGACUGAGUACAAUCCAAAAGGUGGGCUAACAUCCGCCAAAAUUGGGAAACAUGUUAGUUCUAGACCAAGUAACAAUUCAUGGAAUUGAUUUUCCUAUAAUUUCUAUUCAGUUCCUACAACCAGCCUUUGAAUCUCUCAAUUCCUUCAGCUCCUUUUUCUCCAAGGUGGAGAUUUGUGGCUUAGUAGUACACCCCAUAGAAACAGAAAAGGCUUCCAUAUAAGGUUUUAAGGUAGCCACCAUAAGGUCCUUCAAUUUUCCAAGAACCUCGAGUCCUUCCUUUUAGUUCAUAAUGAAACUACUUAUGUGACGCAAUUAUGUUCUUGGUCUGUUUUUCAAGUUCUUUAUCAAACUUUUGUACAUUGCCAAUGCAUAGUUUUUACCUUGGAAACUGAGGAAAGUAUUGGCAGAUAUGUUUACACAUCAUAAUAUGUAUCAACUUAACUCCAUGUAGUUUGAGAUGAAAAUUUUGGUUGUCUUAAUUGCAUCAAAAUUCACACAAAACAAUCUUAAUUGUAUCAAAAGAAACACAUCUAAAUAACUCAACCCUUCAGAAUUCACAUGUUCCUCAAACACUACGCAGCUCAGAGAAAGAACAUAAAUUCAAAAUCAUCAAAUAGAUUGUCUGGUCUGGUAUGGUCUACCAGCCUUCAACAUGAAAGAACCACGAAUGCAACUAAAGCAACUCCAAGGGACGCCAACGUUGUUCCUAGAGUACUCAUCAAACUGCAUGCGCCAGCACUGUCCUUGGAUGUUCCAAGGCUAUCAUCAGCAGAUGAGUUAUCAUUAUCAGUUUUUGUCGAUAUUGUAGGAGAGGGUGCAGGAGCUGGUGGCUUAGGCUUGAAGAAGUCCAAAGGAAGAAGCACCUUGUCCACAUGAUAUAUAGCAAGCACCUUAUCUGAGUAUAUAACUCCUGUGACCGUGGCAUUGACCACUCCUGUUGAGAUAUUCACAUUGUUGCCAUAUGCUGUCACGUUUAGUUGCAACCUGGCAGGGUUAUCCCCAGCUAGUGUUCUCACAGGGUUGCUCAGAGAAUCAAAGUUUAAGCUUGAAACGUAAGUGGGAAGAAUAUGGAACUGCAAAAGUUCGAUCUUUUGAUUGUCAGCCAGAGAGUUCAGGAACCCCACUUUGAGAUGUGAAAAGCUACUGUCAUCUGGGGCAAAGAUGGUUAAGCCACCUGAUUUUAUGGUUAUGAGCUGAGCAUUGAUUUGGUUGAUCAAUUGGGUGGUUUUCAUUAGGCGAAUUAGGACGUUAAAUGAUUUGGCCUUCCUCAAUAUUCUGAUGAUGUCAUCGGGGGAAGAAUCAGAGGUGUCAGAAGAGGGUGACUGGGAUAGUGCUGGGACAAUUGGUUUUGAUGGAGCUGCAUCAGGAGCUUGGGCUAAUGUGGUUGAAUAUAAGGAGGAAAAAGGUAUGAAGAGUAGAAGGGAGAAUAAAACUAAAAGCUUCAUUUUCUAUGAGCAAUUACAAGUUGCUAGUGAAGGCUCUAGAGUAAAGUUUUUGUUAUUUGAAUGGUGUUUGAUGUGUGGAAGAUGUGGAAUGGGGUGGUUUUUAUAGGGACUAGGAAUGUGAUAGGUGGAAUAAAUGGAUGAAGCUUUGGUAAUGAAUUUCCCUAUGUAUAAGUUUGUUAUGUGUGAGGUCUGUCUGUGGUGGUCCUGUUGGAGAUUAAGGUGAUGCAUCAAGGUGGAUGAGAUAAAGGUGAUUGAGAACAAUGUUUUUUGCCUUUUGCUUGGCAAUGCAGGAAAAAGAGGAGUUAAAGUUAGAGCUCAAUUGGGUGCCAAAUGCACAUUAAUGAAAUUGUGAUGCUUCUUUCCACUGAUGCAGUAAUGCCAUUUAGAUUCUGAACUUUUCAUAAUUGCUAUAAACUAUAUACUUAUAAUUACAUUACAAACACCUUAAAAAUGUUAAUCUUAAGCAUUUCAGAUAAUAUUAUCUUAUUGGUACAAAAUAUAAUUAAGAAUGUCUCAAGUUCCCAAAUCUCCAAGGCAAGAUAGUUGUCUCAAAUGCUGCACAACUAUGGAGGUACUUUUUUGCAAGAGAAAAAGACAUCGUAAUGACUAAUGAUACUAGAAGAUUGAUUGUAGAACUACUUAAUUAAAAACUUGUGAGUGCUUUCAUACAUGUUACCUAAUUAAAUUGCUGAGGGCCCAGAACUUGGGAGAUUUAAAAAUCUGAUAUUGGUAAGUUGUUAUCACUACAUUAGAUGCAACAAAAGGUUAAUAUUUUGCCACCUUUUGACAGUUCUGAAAGGAAAAGUAUAUUUCUCCCUACUUUUAUAUCAUUUUAUGAAUAAAACAUUUAUCACUUCUUUUUGUUCAUUGAAUCCAAUAUAAAUAGAACUUUGAGGAUAUGAAUCUCAUUAAACCAAGCACCAUUAAUGAAUCUCAUAUGAGGGUGUUGCUUUGAGCUUUGAGCUUUGGAGGCUGAUUCCCACCUCCUUUCAGGUUUCAUAUGUUUAUUAUUUUUAGUGUUAUAUGUCUUUCAUAUGAAUCUAUGGAUAUUGCUUUUAUGAAGGGUUACCUCUUUCUCUUGUGUUUGUUUCCAUAAAAAGGUAUUGAUAAUUUGUUGCAAGCUAAAAAAGAAAAGUGUGUCCUAUUGAUAGAUGAAUUGCAUGUUAAGUUUCUAUUGAAUUCACAUGUUAAAUACCCUCUAACACCAACCCUCUAAUAAUAUAAUACUUAAAAUUAUUUAUAAUAUAAAAAAUAACCAGUAUUCUUUUCUUUUUCUUAAUCUUACUCAAUUUAAAACUAAUAUAAAAUAAUUGAUUUGGGUAUAUUAAUUUAAGUUUAUAUAAAUAAUGUUAUUUUCUUAUUUUAGUCUCUGUAUAUGACUUUUAAAUUUUUUACUUUUGUGAUAGUAUUUUUUAGUACUUAAUAUUAGUUAUAUUUAAUUUAUAAGCAAAAAAUAUGAAAUAUCAAUUAAAAUAAUUACAUUACUUUUAAGUGUGCUAUUUCAAUUAAGUAAUAUAUUUAAUUUUUUUUUAUAAAUGAGAUAAUCACUUUUUUUAACUUCUAAUAUAUUAUGAACAAUAAUUUUUGUAUUAUUUUCAGAAUAAUAGUGAAUUUUUUAUAUAUUAAAAUUAUUUAUAAAAAAAAAUAUUACAUAUAAUAUUCAUUUUGUAUCUAUAUAUUUAUCAUUAUAUAUGUAAACAAUGAUUGUGACGAAAUAUAUUAUAUUAUGAAUAAAAAUAUUGAUAUUAGUUUUAAAUUGUAUAAGAGAUAAUUUAUAUAUAUAUAUAUAUUAAUUUAAAUAUACUGUAAUUAGUAUUUAUGAAAAUAUAAUUAACACAUUUUUUUUAUUUUGUCUUUCAAGAUAAAAUACUUGCCAUGCUAUUAGAAUAUAAAUAGUUAAUUAUAGCCUCAUUCAAAAUUAUAAUAUCUAAAUUAAUAUAUAAAAAUUAAAUUACAAGCUUCUAAAUAAAUUAUAAUUAUUUUAAUAAAAUACAAUGUUAAAAAUCUAUAUUAGUGAAUACAAAAUAACAUAUAUAAAAAUUUUAUUUAUAUUAAAUAAAAAUAUAAUACUUAACUAAAUUUUAAAAACUUAAAAAAUAUAAUUAUCUUCGUUGAAUGUAUUUACUUUAAUUAUAUUAAUUUACAUUUAUUAUUUUUAGGGUUACCAUGAUUUAUGAUUAGAACUACAAAGAAUUAUUUUAAAAUGUCAGAGAUUUAAAAUUAAGAGACAUUUUUGCAGGAAGUAAAAUCAUUAAACCUAACUAAAAUUAUUAAAUUUUGUAAUAGCUAUUUAAAAUUUAUAUUUAAAAUAUUUUUUAAUUGAAUUUCACUUGCAAUCAAAAUUCAGAAAAUUAACUAUAUGCAAAUCAUUGUUUCACUUAAUUAUUCGCAAUUUUGGAAAAUCACAAAGGGAAAAGGCAUCAUGUAUAACAUUAUAGGAAAGGAUUUUUUCUUUUAACUACUUUUUUUACAUAAUUCACCUUCUGAGUAACUGCUUUUUAAAUUUAAAUAACUACUCACAAUAAAAAAAAAUCACCUACACAAUAAAAAAAUUAUAUUUAUUUUUAUAAUUUAAUCAUAUAUUUUUAUUUCAAUAAUUAUUAUAAUAAUAAUUUCUUUUGCCAAAAGAAGGUGAACAGUAUGUGUUUGUACUAUAGUUCUAUUAUAAGUAAAACAAAACUGUAUAAAAAAAAUUAUAAUUCAGCCACCUUGACCUUCCCAUCAAAUAUCCUCUUUGACACACCUUGCAAAUUAUUUUAAAUAUAUGAUAUUAUAUUAAAAAGUACUUUUUAAUACCUUAAAAAUCUUAAACACUUAGUUAAAGAAAACUAUUACUAGGAUAUAUAUUGACUAUAAUAUUAUGAAAAUAGUUUCUUUUUAGUGAAAGAAAAUAUAUGCUUACUUUUAUGAUAUGCUUUUGACAACUUUGUUGAAAAAUCACAUUUUUUUUAUUAAUUUUAGAGCAUUUCUAAUAUUCAGCUAAAAAAUGGAAAACUUGUAUCUUCUAAAAUCUACUUUUAAAUAUGAAAACAUAACGAUAAUGUAAGACUCAAUAGACAAUCAGUCAUAGAAAUAAAUAAAAAAAAAAUUUUUACAUUAAAUAUAAUAUAUAAUUAUUUUAAUCAUUUUUUUAUAUUUUUAAUAUAUAUUAUUAUAUUGUUAGAAUAUUAUAGAAUGAGAGUAUUUUAUGUGGCAAACUAUAAUUUAUUUAAAUUAUAAUCAGUAAUGGAUGAAGAUUCUUUUACACUCAAAAUAUAAAAAUUAAUAUUGUAAAAUGAAUAUAGGUAAAGAAAGUUAACAUUGUCAAAUUAAUAUUCCAUAAUGUCAUAUUUAACAAUAGUUAACAAAACUUCUGUAUGAAUUCUCUAUUAAAAGAUCAUUGUAUGCAACUUUUACACAAUUUUUAAAUUUCUCAUAAGUAGUAAUACAUAAGAUAUAUGAAGUUUUUCUUGUAGGGGAAAGAAGGAAGAAAGCCUUCAUAAAUCAAAUAUAAUUUCCACCACAGCCUGAAACUUGAAUCAUCAGAGAAGGAAAAAGAACAGAAAAAAAGGCCAAUUAUUUAAAACCACUGUAUCUGCAAAAUGUUGAUCGUUCACCUUUCAAUCCACCCUAGAUGGCAUAGUUUCACUUCAAUGCUUAUAUUCUUAACCUUCAACCUCUCAUUGUCACCACGAAAAUGCUGCAACUAAAAGUGCAGCAGCCCAUGUCACAUGCUGCUGUUUCACACUGAUAGCAGCAGAUUCAGCAUCAUCUGCAGGAGUUUCUGUGCUGUCUGCAGAUUUCUUCUUAGACCCUUUAGACUUUUCUGGCGCUGGAGCUGGAGCAGGAGGCUUAGCAACAAAGAAAUCCCGAGGAAGAAGCACCUUGUCCACUUGGUAAACCGCGAGCUGGUGAUCAGUGUAAACAGUGCCACCUAAUGUAACGUUAACAAUCCCCGUUGUCAUGUUAACUUGGUUCCCUCCUGAGCUUGUUAUGUUGAGUGCCAACCUAUCAGGGUUUUCACCGGCCUGUGUUCUCACGGGGUUGCUGAGAGUGUCAAAGUUUGAAACGGAAACGAAUGUGGGUAGCAAGUGGAAUUGGAUGAGCUCGUUCUUUUGUUGGUCGUUGAGGGAGUUGAGGAAGCCAGGUUUGAGGCUUGAAAAGGCAUUGUCGUUGGGUGCAAAUAAGGUUAAGCCACCGUUUGUGGUAAGGAGUUGGGAGUUGAUUUGGUUGGAAACUUGUGUGGCUUGAAGGAGACGGAUUAGGGUGGUGAACCCUCCAGCCUUUUUGAGGAUUCUGAUGAUGUCUGUGGGGGGUGAGGAGGGUACCGGGGCCGGAGUGAUGGCCGUGGUGGGAGUGGCGGGGGCGGUUGGUGCGGCGGCGGGUGACUGGGCUAAAGAGAUGGUGGAAUGGGAAAAGAGUAGUAUUAUAAGAAGUGGAAGGGUAAGAGAGAAGAGUGGAGGGUUCAUGAUGACCAUCUUUUGGAGGUGAGAAAGGAAAGAGUGGUCCUUGAAGUGAGAUUUGAUGUGGGGAUGAUGGAGGGAGGGUAAUAUAUGGAAACCUGAAAAGAGUGAAAGGGGUUUGUCUUUGUGAGUUAGGUGGAAUGUUUCUUUAGAAAGUUCAGUUGUUGUAGCAGAUCUGCAUGCUUACACAUCAAUGAAAGGUGGUUUGUCAUGGAAAUGCAGUUGGAUUUUGCUUGGGAAGGCAGGAAAAGAAUAGUGAGAUCUGAGUAAGAAAAGAAAAAAGAUGAACAUGAUAACGUAGCAUUCACUUGUAAUUCUUGUGAAGUAGCAAAACAAUCAAGUGCUAGCGGCUAAGUUAAGGAAAGAGUUUCUAAUUAACUUUUGCAAGACAAUUUUUGAUGAUGUUAGUAUCUGACCUUACGAUGCAUGGUUUGUGCAACUUGGUCGGUGUUGAAUGCCGGCGGGAUUAUACCAGUUGUCUUUUUUAAUAUCUUUGAUUGGGAAGAACGACGGUUUAACAUAUAUCAUCGUAUAUCAGACCAAGCCAAAGAAGGGUGUUAACACAGAGUCAUCAUAUCUUCACAAACUAACAGUAAAUUUCUACAUAUUAUCUUUAAUUAGAAGGAAAAAUAAGAUAGAGAAAUAUAGAUUAUGAGAAGAUAGAAAAGUUUUAAAAGAUUGUAAAUUUUACUGAUAUUUUUAGUAAAAAAUUAUUUUUCCUUUUAAUUUUAAAAGUUGUAAUAUGUAACAAUUUCCUGUUAUGUUUAUGAAGAUAUAGUUUUGAAUUACCUGCAUGCAGCUAUUAGAUUGGGAAAUACUUUCUCUAACCGUAUGUUUCGCAGAAUCCCACUAUUAUUGUGUAAUUCAUUCACAGACAAUUAUUUGGGUAUCUCACGGCUUGUAUGUUGGGAGGUCCAUUUCAAGUUAAUAUUUUUGGGCAUUCUAGAAACUGAAAAGAGAUGGGCAUCAUCGUUGACAUUUUUAACAAUUUCGUGAUCUACAACAUAGUAUGUCUCUCUUUCGGGUUUUGGUCGAACAUCAACGUAGCUUUGAUUGCUAGGCUACAUCUGAGCCAAUAUUCUAGAAUAACAUGUGAAGAGAAAUUCACUGGGAGUCCAACAUUUUGCUAGCUUUCUGUUGUUCUGAAGAAUAUAUUAUGUGAUAAUACAAAAAAUUUAAAGACAUACAAAUUAUGCUACACCGUAUUUCUGAUUUAUCAAGCCGAAAUGACUUAUUGCCAAGUCAAAAAAGAAGAGAAAAAAUAAAUGUAUUUUUGUCUUGUAAUAUGGAAAGGUAAAAUGAGCUUCCCAUCCUUGAAAAUUGAGGAUUCGAAACAAGAAAAAUUAUGACAGAGGAUACUUAAACUCCAAUGAGUUCGUAGCCAUUACGAAAUGGUGUUUAAGAACUAUAAAUAGAACUUGGUUGGAACUCGAAAAAUGAACACCUGAAAGAAGCAGCAUGUUGCAAUGGGGCUUUCGUAAGUUGCAUAAAGCACAAUGCGAGGAUUAACAAAAUAUGGAAGAUGCAAAAGUGUUUCAGCCUUUCUAGUCUAAACAUUCAGCAAAACCUGCUAAUGCUGUUGUGCAGUGUGCAUGCAAUCAUCCAAGAUGCAAUUUGUGAAAGAAAAGGUAAGCUAGGAAAGAACAGUUCUCACCAUUCCAAUUCUCUCAGCCUCAAUCCUCCCCCCUCAAACCGGUGAGAAAGAGCAAGUAAAAGGUUUUUUAAAUUAAACAAGGGGAAGUAAAAAAUCUCUUUGCCCCCUAGUUUAACUUUAAAUUUCAAGAAAGGGAAAAAGGUUUCCUCUCUUUCUUUCCUCAAGCAUCCCAGAACAAGGGGAAAUACUCUCCCUCCAUCCGAUCACCUACCUUCCUUUGCAUUCUCCCCUCCACUCAAAAUCAUACAAACAUAGCUUAGGCAUCGAUUCCAUCCAGUAGUAAAAAUUAUUUGUGUUUCACAUCUUUCCAUUGGCAAAUUAACUUAUGAUUUUCAACAUAACAAGGAAUUUGGCACUUGCAGCAUGCUACCAAAACACACUCAAGCAUGAAGCACGUCUGGUCACUGGAAAAACAUUUACAGUUAUACAAUUACGGGAAUCGAACUAUUAAGAAAGAGAAGUGUGAAAAUAAAUACAAUAUGGAAAAUUAAAAAACAGUAUUACUCCUCCUGAUGCAUGUUUCCGUUACAAAAUGUGACAUGAUUCUAUAAUGUACUAGUUUAGAUUCCCCACUGGCUCGCUUUAGAUCUUCUGAAAUACUCCAUUGCCUGCUGCAUUUCUCUCUCUUAAUGCAUCCUCAGCUUUCACUUUCUCAGGAACAAAAUCUGAACAAGUAAAAGCAAGGUAAGGUGAAAACAGGGAAAGGUAAACUUAAGAAUAUGAUAGCAUUGCAACAGGGAUAUGAAUUACCGGAAAGAAAGUCGUAUCUCAUCUUCUUACUAACAACAUUUGCUGAAAGGAUAAGCGGGUGACUAAUCAGUGAUUGGAAAAGAAAUAUUUAAUAGACUCAAUGAGCCUGUAAGCAGAUACACAAUCAAACACAAGGAUGAAGGAUCAAUUCAAAUGGCCAUAAAACAUAGUAGUUCAAUAAUCCACCUAGGUUACACCUUCAUACUAAAUCUUAUUCUACAAAGUGGUUUAGACCUGACUCAAUACUACAAAACCAACUUGCAAGAUAAUUGCAGUAUUCCCUAUUUGAUGUGAUGAAAUCAUAUUAUAUUUCCUUUAUUUAAUAUAAUCAAAUCAUAUCUUUAAGACUACCUAUCAAAGUGGAGCAUAUGUAUCAUGGGUCAAGCUUGUCACAAAUGUCAUCAACAUAAGACUCCUUGAGAGACUUAUUGAACAUGUUAGCCAAUCGGUUGCUAGAGCUAACAAAGUCAAUAAUGACAAAGAUUCACGCAUGAAGAUGACAUGUAGGGGAGCUAGUGGCACAUGGUGGCAUUUGGCUGAGUGGAAUAACAUAGUGGUUGCCAAAGAAGCAUGUCUUGGUUCGCAAGGUAGAGUUCAAAGAACACAAUGGCUGUCGAAGAGCAAAAAAUGCUCGAAGGAUGCAGUGGUUUUUAGAGAGCAAAAAAUGCCCAGAGAGAGCAAUGAAUGUCACAUAACGAAAAUGGAUAAAAGGUAUGACGCUGCGAAAGAGAAAAAAAUCUCAAAGGGAAAGCAACUACUAGAGAGAAAGUAUGCUCAAAAAACAAAAGUGCUUAGAGGACGUGGCAAUUGUCAAGAAGAAAAAAUUAUCAGAGAGUGCCACAAUUACCAAAGAGAAAAAAUGCUCGAAGGGCCUAAGAGCUACUAAAGAGCAAAAAAUGCUUGGAGAGUGAGACGCCUCUCAUAAAGCAAAAGUGCUCGACAAGUGCAGUGACAGCCAGAGAGCAAAAAUGUUUGGAAGGUGCAUCUGCAAAGAGCAUAAAAUGUUGCAGCAGAGUGAGUAAUGUUUACUUAGGAGAAAAAGUCAUGGUGACAAAGUCAAGGCCAAUACAUAUAAGGAAAAAGUCAUGACCUAACAAGAGAUCAGUAACAAAACAGGUCACUGAAGAUGGUACAACUUUGAUACUGUUGAAGAUCCCGCAUGAACUAAAGAUAUGGUUAAAUUAUAGUAUAUAAGAGGGUGUAAGCCUCACCUUGCAAGUAAAUUUUGUAACAUUGAGUUAGGUUUAUACCCACUUUCUAAAAUGGCAUUAGAAUCUAUACUAGCAAGUUUGUUGGACCUAAUGUCAUCUACUAUCGGAUCACCUAUAAACAUCGAGUCAUAUGCUCGAGAUAUCCAGUUCUCAUCAUGAAAAGGUGUGUUGAAGAUUCCACAAUUACUUCAAAGAAGCUUAAUGGAAAAAAUUAUUUGUCUUGGUUUGCCCUGGUUUAACUGUGGUUUAUUGGUCAAGGUUUUCUUGACCACUAAGAUGGUAAUGCAAUACCAUCAGAAAAAGUUAAAUAGUGGAAAAAGAUGGAUUUUCAGUUGCCUUGUUGUGGCAAUCUAUGUAAUCCAAUAUAUUGGGAAUUCUUGGAAGCAUAUAUUCCAUACUUCUAUCUCAAGUUGGUAUCAGAUCGAGUUUAUCUUGCUCAAUUUGUCACUGUCUAGUAAGUACAUUGUUGGGCACCAUUGUCUUUUCUCUCCAAUGAGCACCUAGUUGUGUUCAUCUCAUCAAGCAAUGAAAGACCCUACCAUCAUCAUCGCCAUUUGUGCCUGACACAACAGAUUUUUCCUAAGUGCACCAGAUUUAGAGAGCCUCUUCAAGUGACAGAGAACCUCACUAAUCACUAAGGCAAAUUCCUCCACAGAUCGCCACAACCGGCAUCUUUGCAUAGUCAACCUAGGAACAUGUAAUCCAUUCACUGCCUUCUAGUCUCUAUCUUGGUCAGCAUCGAUUAAACUAUGGCUUCUUUGCUAAGGUUUUAAUGACCACUUGGAAGAAGGUGGUAGUACAAUAUCAUCAAACAAAGUUGAACAGGAAGAGAUGGAUUUUCAGCUUUGUGCCAUGUUGUGGCAAUCUAUGAAACCCAAUAUAUUAGGAACUCUUUUAAGCAUGUUUUCCCUACUUCUAUUCUAUCUCAAGUGGUACCAUCUUACACAAUGGUUUAGGCUUAACUCAACCGUACAAAACUGACUUAUAAGUUGGGAUUACCCCCACUUACAUGUUGUAUUUUGACACCAUCUCUAGGGUUUUUCCUAGUACUUACGAUGGUCAUUUUUUAAAAUUUUGAAUGCCAAUCAAUUACCAAUGGUUUCACAAUAUUCACACACUCCUUGUUUUUGCUCUUACUAAAGAGAUCAAUGUUAAUGAAACCAAAGGUCUGUAGCAGAUUAAUAUUGUUUCCUAAUCAAUGGGUGAGAUUAGAGACAUUCCUCUUGACUCUUGCUCUUUUUUCCUUUCUGGGUACAUUUUUCCUUCAAUAUUGCACAGGGAAAGAGAAGGUAGUCUUUGCAAAAGCUUUGAGAGACAGUAAUUUUAAAAACGAUCAAUAGCAUGCAUUUGAAAAACAUGUACCAUUCCUUUUGCAAUUGCUCAGCAUCGAGGAAGUUGAACAAUUUUACCUUAUCUCUGCACCAUUAAGGCAUAAUCUCAUAUUAGUUUACUUUUUAUUAUACAUUAUUAGAAUAUAGAUUUCCACAACCAAGUGACUGUGCAGAACCUGUUGCAGUUAUUAAAUGUAGUUUACUGCCGUUACAAGUUGGAGGUGUGCAGAAUCUUGCAAGGUUUGAUGAUGACCUUCAUAACUGAAUGAGCUGAUAGCUAUAUAGAAGUGAACAGAAUAAAUUAUUCAAAUAGAGAGGUUGUGCUAAGCUACAUAUUAAUUACCUAGUUCACAAAUAAAACUCUUCAGUGUGGAUAUGGGCGCGUGGUAUGCUACUUGGUAAAUAUAUGGUACAUGGGGGUAUAUUUGGUUUAUAUAUUAUUUAAAUAAUAUGUUUGCUAAUAACAUUUAGUACCUAAUGAUAUGAUUCUUUAGAGAAAUUUUAAAAAGUUGCAUAAUAUAUUUUUGUCUAUUUCCCCUCCCAAAAAAUAAUUCUCUGAUUAUAUAUUUUUAACUUCUUUCCUUAUAAACCCCUCUUGAGGCCUCUUCCUGAUUCAAAAGCAUCUGUUUGACAAUUCUAUUCCACCUUGAUCAUCAUCUUCUUCCAACUUGCAUUGUCCUAAUUGAGUCCCCCUUACAUUGUUUUCUUCCAAAAGUGACUUUUCCUCUUCCCAUCUUCCAUCAUCUCUUACUGAUCUUCAUUGACCACGUGUCUAUCUGCACUCAAACUCCUCUUGAUCCAUUUCAAACAAAGGUACGCAACUUCAACUCCCAAAACAUCAAUGAUUGCAUACUAAUGCCAAACACAUUGUGAAUCGGUACACAAGACCAUCCAUUUUUCCAUUUGUUAAGUGAUUUUCUAUUGAUAGCACAGAUCUAAAUGUUCCUUAAUUCACACUACAUGGAAAGAAUUCAAUAUUUACUAUAAUGAAUUUGAUGUGGGAUAGCUACUAGAGUCUAGACUGAGAACUUCACUGAAUCAGAUUGAAAUCAGUAUGAUACUCCCUAUCUUAAGACUAAACCCUUUCAAAAACUUACCACCCUCACCUCAAAAGUGUAACCAACAAAAUGAUCAGGAAUUCUACUCAAGCAGUUCAUCUUCUAAGUAUAUUUUAAAAAAAUGUCAAACUAUAAGUAUAAGCCUAAAACUAAAAAAGCCUGCAAAUUUUCAAUCAAUAUAUAGAAAUAUAUCCUUCAAUUCCCAAAACAUGGAUAUUAGCAUCAAUGUCGGAAAAGCAAUCAGCUAGAAAAUGUUAUUGGACCAUCUAUCUAGAGUACCUCAGACUCACCCUUGAUAGGCUAUUCAACCAAGAAUCAGACAACCUCUAGCCAUAAGAAAACAACCAUCUAGCACCUAAUAUGGACCGAGUCACUCAUAGACCAACCAAGUUUAGACCAACCAAACAUUAUAACUGUCUCAUUCUAUCACAUUGCCGCUUUAGGGCUCAAACAGCCAGUGGGUCAUAGGCCAAUUACAACCAGAUUAUAGAUUCCAUGGCCUCUUCACAAGCAAGGAAGGCACCAUGCACGCCAUCCCUAAAAAAGAAGGUAACGGUCAAAGAACACACUUGUUGAAUAGAUAGUGGAGGCUCAGUUGGGUUUACUGAGCUCAUGUCUAGAUUUAGGACUCCCCAACAAGUGCAUUCGCCUAUUCUAAACAGUUAUAGGGUGUGUUAGCUUUCACAAUUACUUCCGGAGAAGGUGAACCUGUGUGACAGUAUGAUUUCCAUUCAAAGUGCAGUUGAAACUAGGAAUCCAUAAACCAAAACACACACAUACUUCAUUACAGCAAACACUAUACUACAGUAAAUUUUCGUUGAACUCACAUAUCUCAAUCAUAAAACCUUACCCACGUGCUUGUAACUCAGGCAUUUCUUGCGGUCCUGAACACAACAAGCAUAUGAAUCCUGCGUAAAUUGCUCAAGGAACUUCUCCUGCAAGAAAAACGAAACCAAUAAAAAAAAGACACAUAAAAACAUAAACAGAACAAAAAAACGCAAGGAAUAAAAAAAUUACCACAGCUUUGUUGAUGGUUAACACGGCUUCCUGCGAAACACGCAUGUCAGGACCUUCGCCCUUGAUCAAGGUCCUGAUACGAUUCAUUGGAAACACGUUGGUUUUCACAUCUUCACCACUUCCUUCUGCGCCCUUUUCCUGUGGCUGCUUUGAAUUGCCGUUGCUGAGCUUGGGCCUCUUAUUCUUCUUCUUUUGGUUCUCCUCUUUCGCGAUGUCUCGAUUCUUCUUCUUCGUUUUACAUUGGGUUGUGGAGAUUUCUCCUUUCUUGGCUUUGGGAGAUUUGGGAGUGUUGGAGGACGCCAUUGUAUUACAGAGGGGUUUCAGCCUCACUCAGAAGCGCGUCUCCAAGAAGAAGGGUGCAAUUCGAAUUUCUUUGGAAGUCCUUUUAGUAAAAUCGAUUAUUGGUGUUGAAGUGAAGAAAAAUUCCUUUUGAGACUAACUUUUCUCUUACAAUACAACUUUUUCAAGAUGCAUAACAUAUAAAAACACAAUACAAUAUAAAAUAUCUGCGUGAUCAAUUUUAAUUUUAUUUAAUAUUUAAUAUAGAUUAUAUAACAUGGCAACUGCAUGAAUAUAAGAUAUUAUAGUUAUAAUUUUAUGUAUAAUUUAAUAUUCAUCAGAUAACAAAAUAAAUGAGGAUAUACUCUUGAUUUGUUAGAAGUAUAUAUGCUCUAUUUACCAGCUGCAUAUAUUUUUUUAACUUCACACCUUUUCCAUAUUAUGAACAAAUUGUAAUUUUACUUAAAUUAUACAAAAAUAUAUCAUACAAAUAUAUCUUCCUUAAAAAAAUUAAAAUAUACAUAAUAUUUUUAAAUAAUUAUUACCAUUCAAAUAGUUUUUACAUAAUUAUUACCUUUCAAACUAUCAUCAGAACAAUUAUUAUUAUUAUUAUUAUUAUUAUUAUAAUAUUAAACAAUCAAAAAGCACUCUAUGAGAUUAAGGUUCUAUUUGCUUCUAUGGAUGUACUGUUUACAAGGAAAGAAGUGAGAGAAUAUCAGUUGUUUGGAUUUAAGAUUUUAGAGGGAAGAGCACGAAAGGAUAUACUUGUAAAUAGAGUGUCCCCUCAAAAUGAAAAGAUGUAGAGGUCACAUCAGCAUGUGGUAUUUCUAAAUUUACCCUCUGUUUUUAAUAUUAAAAAAUAAUAUUUCUUUUAUUUAUAUACGAUGUGAUUUAUUUUCUAAUUUUAUAGUAUAUAUUUAAUAUUUUAAGAAAUUAUUUGAAGUUUUCUUUUUAUUUAAUUUGUUGUUGUGUUUAUAUUAAUAUAUUUUUUAUAAUUAUUAUGUUUUUGAGUUAGUAUUUUUUUUAUAAUAGUUUUUAUGAAAUUAUUUUCUAUUAUUAAUUACGUAUUUUUUUCUAGUAUUUUUAUUUUAUUUUUCAUUACUAUAGGGUUUUUAAUAAUAAAAAAAUAUUAUUUUUUUAUAUGUAAGAUUUGAUUUAUUUUCUAAUUUAUUUUCUAAUUUUAUAAUGCAUGUUUAAUAUUUAGAAAUUACUUGAAGUUUUGUUUUUAUUUAAUUUGUUGAAUAAAUGUUUUUCUAAUUAUAACUUUUAAAUUAUAUCUAUUUAUAUUUAAUAUAUAUUUAUUUUCUAAUUUUAAUUUUUAAAUCUACGAAAUAUGUGAAAGUUGUUUAUUUUUAAACAAAAAUAACUCAUUUCAUUAUUACAAUUUUUUAAUAAGCAAGGAUAAAUUUGUAACGUAACAUUUAAAAAUUUAAAAAAAAAAACUAAAAUUCUCUCACAACCAUCACAUCACUCACAAAUUCUCAUCAAUUUUUCUCACAUAUUCACCCUAACAUACCUCAAUCCAAACGCUCUCACUUUCCUCUCACAUCUUCACACAUCCAUUCCCUCAAAUCCUCACACAUCCUCUCCCCAAUCCAAACACACCCUAAAAGAUCAUCAGAUCAACAAUGUAUAUCCAAGAUCAAAUGAUCAUCAUAAUAAUUACUAUCUAAAACAAAAUGGCCAUUGGAAAAAAGUUAUACAUAAUCACUAUAUGAGAUUAAAUAAUCAUUGAAUUAAAGCUAACAAAAAUUCUAUUUGAGAUCAAACGAUCAUCGAAUCCAAAUUAUGCAUAAUCGUUAUCUGAGAUGAAAUGAUCAUCAGAUCAAAUUUAUACAUAAUCAUUAUUCGAUAUCAAACGAUCAUGGUAACAAAGCUUUGAAAAUAAGUAACCAUCUAUUAUAAAAUAAAAUAAAAAUAAAAAACUACUGAGAUGAACAAAAGAGAAAAAUGAAGUCAAGGAUAUGAAAAGGAAUAUUUCUUUUAUUUUCUUUUUCUUACUUAAAUCAAAGAAGGUAAUCUGGAUAUAUACAAGCAAUACAUUCAUUUUAGGUCUAACUAAAGAGUCGGAAUGUAAAACAAAUAGUCAAUAAAGGCUAGAAUAAGAAAAGACAUAAUAAAGGCUAGACAUAUGUACAAAGAGAAACAACAAAGAAUUAAAAAAGACAAAAUUAAUAUUAGCUUCCUUUUAGAAGCCUAGUAACCAUAUCCUUUGUUACCAUCAUAACUUGACAGGUCAUUUGAAAAUAAACGACCAAUCUUAAAGUAAUUCAAAUCAGAAAAAAAAAAUAUCAUCAAAUCAAAAUAAUCCGAUGAACUCUUGCAAAACAUUAAAACUCGUUAAUCCAUCAAAUUUUUCCAUCUACACCUCAUUUGUGGAUUUCGAUCUUAAGGGACUUAUGUACCUAUCCUAUCCAAGAUAUAUGGAGAUACACAAUAAUAUAAAAUUCAAUCAAAUCGAGAGCAACCCAAUCAAAUCAGAUGCAAUGUAUCUUACUAAGUCAUUGUCACAAUAUAAAAGAGAUGGUUGCUUAAAAGGAACUUUGUCAUCUUGAAGAAGAUAAGUUAAACAUUGAAUUUCACAUGUAACAACGGUCAUUGCUUUGAUUCAGUUUCACAAAAACUCUUUGAUAUUGUUCCUUGCUUCUUUGAUUUCCAGGAUACGAGGGAAUUCCCAAGAUACACACUAAAAUCAAUCAUUGAUUGUCUUGAAUCACUACAGGUGUUGGGUUUAAUAGUGUCAAAGUUCAAGAGGGGGGGUGAAUUGACCUUUCAAAAGCUUCUCGCAGAAACAGUGUUUAACACAGUUUCCAAAAAAUAAAUUGAUUUAAAUGGAAAUGAAAAGAUUUAUUUUGACACUGUUUGUGUGUUUGAAAAACUUUUAUACAGCAAGGUUAAUCACGAGAUUAUGCAGAUGGAUUUUUCAGAUGCACACACACUGAUAUAAGAACGAAAAAUAGUGAAUCACCAAAACAACAACCUUCAAUUUCAAGCAAGUGAUUAAGGUUCAAUUAAUGGCUUGACAGUUUAUUGAGUGAUUUAUUACAAUCAACCUGUUCUAAUGGCUUUUAAGUGUUCUUAUUGAAAUCAACCAGUUUUCCAUAAAUUAAGAACAAUAUGAACCGUGCCCAGAAAGAACAUAUUUAUUUUUAAUUGAACAUAUUUAUUUUUUUGCUGUUUUAUCAAUUAUGCAGAAACUUAAUUGCAGAGAUUGAGAGAGAAUGAACACAAGGCAUCACUCAACUGAGCUACAUCCAGUCUUCACCUAAACCAAGGUGAAAUUCACUAAAUCACAAUACAAACAAACACAAUUCCCACUGUUCUUGAAACCUACAAGAACUUAGGUACUCUUGCUGAAAAAACAUAUUUCAGCUCACACACUCUUCAAGAAAACCUAUCAAGAAGAGUGUUCAACCAAACUAUUACAAGAAAUGAAAAGUGAAACGACUACACCUGAUUGAGGAUACAAAGAUCUGCCUUAAACCAGUAGGCAAGAUUGCUAGAACAGUAGCAGCACCUCACACCAAGCUUUUGGAACCAAACCAAGAACAAGCACUUUGUGAUUUUCGAAAUCUUUGAAGAACAAAUGCUAAUACUUUGUAAACUCUUAAUUCUCUGCUGUAAAACNNNNNNNNNNNNNNNNNNNNNNNNNNNNNNNNNNNNNNNNNNNNNNNNNNNNNNNNNNNNNNNNNNNNNNNNNNNNNNNNNNNNNNNNNNNNNNNNNNNNNNNNNNNNNNNNNNNNNNNNNNNNNNNNNNNNNNNNNNNNNNNNNNNNNNNNNNNNNNNNNNNNNNNNNNNNNNNNNNNNNNNNNNNNNNNNNNNNNNNNNNNNNNNNNNNNNNNNNNNNNNNNNNNNNNNNNNNNNNNNNNNNNNNNNNNNNNNNNNNNNNNNNNNNNNNNNNNNNNNNNNNNNNNNNNNNNNNNNNNNNNNNNNNNNNNNNNNNNNNNNNNNNNNNNNNNNNNNNNNNNNNNNNNNNNNNNNNNNNNNNNNNNNNNNNNNNNNNNNNNNNNNNNNNNNNNNNNNNNNNNNNNNNNNNNNNNNNNNNNNNNNNNNNNNNNNNNNNNNNNNNNNNNNNNNNNNNNNNNNNNNNNNNNNNNNNNNNNNNNNNNNNNNNNNNNNNNNNNNNNNNNNNNNNNNNNNNNNNNNNNNNNNNNNNNNNNNNNNNNNNNNNNNNNNNCUCAGCAAAAAAUUAUUUCACAUUAACAGGGAUAACUAUUCAUCUUAACUUAAAGCAAAGUAAAAUACACAUGAAAAGCACAUAUAAGUCUUCAUCAAACACAUGUCUUGAAGGGGCAGCAACCAUCUUCAACAAUCUCCCCCUGUUUGAUGGAGACAAAUCCCCAUAGCUCUUGUUGCUUUAAGAACCUGCACUGCACCACAUACUAAACCAGAAAAAACAGAAACAUUGCAUAGCAUGAGAAAUGGUUUUAAGGUGCAGAAUUAACUCCCUGUUUCAACUAGCUUCACCUAGCAUGGUGAGCUAUUUUUCUCCCCCUUUGGAUUCAUCAAACAACAUGUAAUCAUAGGGAAAAAAAACCAAAAGCAUAACCAUAAUAGUCCAAAAGAUAAAGACAACUUGUUCAUCAUUACAGAGAUUUGAAAACUGAUAAAGAAAGCAUAAAAAACAGAAGACUACUGAUCCUUGUAGUAAAGCUCUGCAAGUUGUGCCUGAACCCCUUCAAUCUGAUCAUCAAGGUGUUGAAACCUUGCUUAAGUAGUUUCAAAGUAUGCCCUUUGUUCUGUAGUCAUUACAUCAAGGCGAUACAACACUUGCCUUUCAAACAUAGACAUUGGUUCUCCUCGGUAUUCUGGAGAUUGAUAGGCAACUAUGGCAUUUGUAGCAACUUCCUCAUGCACAGAUUGGGUAGCAGGUGAGUCAUCCUCCAUGGGGACAGCUUCAUGCUCAUCCUCACUGUUGAGGUUUGAUGCUUCAUGUUCUGCUUGAGGGUCCUUCCCUUUGAGAACCACCCACUUGUCCUNNNNNNNNNNNNNNNNNNNNNNNNNNNNNNNNNNNNNNNNNNNNNNNNNNNNNNNNNNNNNNNNNNNNNNNNNNNNNNNNNNNNNNNNNNNNNNNNNNNNCUUGAUAGGGUCGUUUCUCUCAUUUGUAACAUCAACACCAAAGUAAUCAAUCAAUUUGGAAAUAAGUAUAGCAUAGGGAAAGCGGUAAUCAGCCAACCUUUUCGAUUUCAUCAUGUGUUCAUUGAUAAUGAAAACCCAAUUUACCUUAAUCUUGUUCAUGAUGCAAUAUAGAAGGAUUAAAUCCUCUUCAUGUAAAACAACAUGGUUUGUACCUAUUGGGAUAAGUUGUCAUGCUAUGAUGUAGGCAACAAGGCAUGGAGUGAGGUUCAAAUGCCCUGCAUGGAACCUGCUUAUACUCUCUGUAGGAUUCCUCAUACAACUUUUAUAAUAUUGUAGCUUGUUGAAUUCUUGAAUUCCACUGGUGUUUCCCUUUCCUACUUUUAGUCCAGCAUACUUUAUUCCAGCCAUAGAAUUCCACACCUCACUUGUGAUCUUCAUCUUGAUCCCUUUCACAUAAGAGAUGACAUUCUUUCCAUCCAAUGUGAGGUUAGUGUAAAACACCUUAACCAAGUUAGGAUAUACCUUACCCGUUAAUUCCAGCAGCUUUUUCAGUUUCUGGUGCUUCAACACAGCCCUUGUUUCUGCCAGUUUUUCAGAUUUCAACCAAUUGAAAUCCAGCACUUUGGGUAUGUUAAUCUGUUUUCUGCUUGUCUAGUGAAUGUAGGCAUUGAUGCCUUCUUCAUUUCCAGCGAACCAACCUUCUAGCACGCCUUGAAAGGCGGUUUGCUUGCCCUUAUUUUUCUGUUUUUGUCUUGAAGAAGAAGCCAUGGUUGAACCAUAAUUUUUCUCUUAUUUCAAAUGGUGAGAUCAGAGAAUAGGUAGCCAAUGUGGGUAGUAGAUAUUCACACAGAUUUAUAGUAAAAUGAAUGGGUUGAUACGGAAGUUAUGAGUGGAUAUGCAUGAAGAUUUUAUGCUCUGAAUUUAUGCAGAGAAUCUUUGAAAAUAUGCAGCAAAUAUUUAAGGUCACAAUGCACACACUCAUACCUUUAUUGAGCACCCAAACCAUCAAAUCGGUUACAUAACCAUGACCAAAACCGUCAAAGGUACAGAGGUUAAUGCCCACUAAGUCAGUCAAGCAGUCAAAGAUCAAAAUUUCUCUUUCCUAGUCAUCAAUGCAUAUCAGUGCAGAAAAUAAACACAUUCAAUUGCGAAUAAACAGAUUUAAUUUUUCACUGCUAGGUACAAUUGACAUUUGUAAUACCCAAUUCAUUAAGCAGAAAAUUAAACCUAUCUUUAGCCGAUGGUUUUGUGAACAGAUCAGCAAGUUGUAAAUCAAUACCAAUGAACUUAAUCUCACAUGUUCCAUUAGAUAUGUGUUCCCUUAGAAAAUGAUGCCUAAUUUCAAUGUGUUUGGUUCUUGAAUGCAUGACAGAAUUUUUGGUUAAGUUGAUUGCACUUGUAUUAUCACACAGCAGAGGUAUAUGGUUAAGUACGAUACCAAAAUCAUUCAAUUGUUGUUUAGCCAUAUGGUUUGAGCACAUCAACUCCCUGUUGCAAUGUAUUCUGCUUCAGCAGUGGAUAGAGCUACAUAAGCCUGCUUUUUUCAUUGCCAUGAGAUCAAGCUUGAUCCAAGCAAAUGACAGGUUCCACUUGUGCUCUUCCUAUCAAUUUUGCAACCUGCAAAAUCUGAAUCAGAAUAUCCAGUUAAGCUUAAUGAAAUGUUACUUGGAUACCACAAGCCAACUUCUUUAGAUUCUUGUAAAUACUUCAAAAUUCUUUUGGUAGCAUUGUAGUGUGAUUCUUUAGGAGCAGAUUGAAAUCUUGCACACAUGCACACUGCAAACAUUAUGUCUGGCCUGCUGGCAGUGAGAUACAGUAGUGAUCCUAUGAGUCCUCUGUAUUUGGUUUCAUCAACAGAAAUUCCAGCUUCAUCAUGAUCCAAAUGACAGCUUGUUGAGAAGGGUGUGCUGAUUGGUUUACACUUGUCCAUUUCAAAUUUCUUCAGCAGAUCCUUACAAUACUUAGCUUGACUUAAGAAAAUGCCAUUCUUGAGUUGUUUGACCUGCAAGCCUAGAAAAUAGUUCAACUCACCCAUCAUUGACAUUUCAAAUUCACUCUUCAUGACUUUCACGAAAGCUUCACACAAUUCUCCAUUGUUUGAUCCAAAAAUGAUGUCAUCCACAUAUACGUGUACUAGGAUUGUGUCAUCUCCUUUCUUCUUAAUGAACAAGGUCUUAUCUGAUGUGCCUCUGUCAUAGCCUUGAGAGAUGAGAAAAUCACUUAGCUUCUCAUACCAUUGCCUAGGAGCUUGCUUGAGUCCAUAAAGAGCCUUUUUGAGUUUGAACACGUAUUUUGGAUGCUGAUGGUCUUCAAAACCUGGUGGUUGUGAAACAAAUACCUCUUCAUUUAUAUAACCAUUCAAGAAGGCACUCUUCACAUCCAUUUGAAAUAGCUUAAACCCUUUGAUGCAAGAGAAGGCAAGCAGCAAUCUAACAGCUUCUAACUGAGCCACUGGUGCAUAGGUCUCGUCAUAGUCUAUCCCUUCUUCUUGAUUGUACCCUUUAGCUACUAGCCUAGCCUUAUUUCUGGUAAUCACCCCGUGCUCAUCCAUUUUGUUUCUGAAUACCCAUUUUGUCCCAAUUAUAUUCAUCUCAGGUAUUCUAGGAACAAGAGUCCAUACCUCAUUAAGAGCAAAUUGAUUCAGUUCCUCUUGCAUGGCUAAAAUCCAGUUGUUGUCCUUGAGAGCUUCAUUCAGAUUCUUUGGUUCAACUUGAGAUACAAAGGUCAUUGCUUCACAGAAAUUGUUCAAAGAUUUUCUAGUUGACACUCCUUUCUCAAUGUUCCCAAUGACAUUAUCANNNNNNNNNNNNNNNNNNNNNNNNNNNNNNNNNNNNNNNNNNNNNNNNNNNNNNNNNNNNNNNNNNNNNNNNNNNNNNNNNNNNNNNNNNNNNNNNNNNNNNNNNNNNNNNNNNNNNNNNNNNNNNNNNNNNNNNNNNNNNNNNNNNNNNNNNNNNNNNNNNNNNNNNNNNNNNNNNNNNNNNNNNNNNNNNNNNNNNNNNNNNNNNNNNNNNNNNNNNNNNNNNNNNNNNNNNNNNNNNNNNNNNNNNNNNNNNNNNNNNNNNNNNNNNNNNNNNNNNNNNNNNNNNNNNNNNNNNNNNNNNNNNNNNNNNNNNNNNNNNNNNNNNNNNNNNNNNNNNNNNNNNNNNNNNNNNNNNNNNNNNNNNNNNNNNNNNNNNNNNNNNNNNNNNNNNNNNNNNNNNNNNNNNNNNNNNNNNNNNNNNNNNNNNNNNNNNNNNNNNNNNNNNNNNNNNNNNNNNNNNNNNNNNNNNNNNNNNNNNNNNNNNNNNNNNNNNNNNNNNNNNNNNNNNNNNNNNNNNNNNNNNNNNNNNNNNNNNNNNNNNNNNNNNNNNNNNNNNNNNNNNNNNNNNNNNNNNNNNNNNNNNNNNNNNNNNNNNNNNNNNNNNNNNNNNNNNNNNNNNNNNNNNNNNNNNNNNNNNNNNNNNNNNNNNNNNNNNNNNNNNNNNNNNNNNNNNNNNNNNNNNNNNNNNNNNNNNNNNNNNNNNNNNNNNNNNNNNNNNNNNNNNNNNNNNNNNNNNNNNNNNNNNNNNNNNNNNNNNNNNNNNNNNNNNNNNNNNNNNNNNNNNNNNNNNNNNNNNNNNNNNNNNNNNNNNNNNNNNNNNNNNNNNNNNNNNNNNNNNNNNNNNNNNNNNNNNNNNNNNNNNNNNNNNNNNNNNNNNNNNNNNNNNNNNNNNNNNNNNNNNNNNNNNNNNNNNNNNNNNNNNNNNNNNNNNNNNNNNNNNNNNNNNNNNNNNNNNNNNNNNNNNNNNNNNNNNNNNNNNNNNNNNNNNNNNNNNNNNNNNNNNNNNNNNNNNNNNNNNNNNNNNNNNNNNNNNNNNNNNNNNNNNNNNNNNNNNNNNNNNNNNNNNNNNNNNNNNNNNNNNNNNNNNNNNNNNNNNNNNNNNNNNNNNNNNNNNNNNNNNNNNNNNNNNNNNNNNNNNNNNNNNNNNNNNNNNNNNNNNNNNNNNNNNNNNNNNNNNNNNNNNNNNNNNNNNNNNNNNNNNNNNNNNNNNNNNNNNNNNNNNNNNNNNNNNNNNNNNNNNNNNNNNNNNNNNNNNNNNNNNNNNNNNNNNNNNNNNNNNNNNNNNNNNNNNNNNNNNNNNUUAUCACCAUAGGUUACAUGUCCUUCUGCUUUGAGCUUCAAGCUAGUAAAUUUUGUAAGAUCUCCAGUCAUAUGCCUGGAGCAACCACUAUCCAAGUACCAUUGAUUCUUCUUAUUGUUCAUCUGCAAAACAGAGUAAAAAUGAUACAAAUGGUACCCUUUUUAGUAUAGGGUACAACACAAAUUAAAACCUUCUCUUUGGUAGCCAUUUUGCUAAGUUCUUAGGAACAAGAUGCUUUCUAGCAAUGCAAGACCUAGAUGUAUGACCAGAUUUCAUGCAGUAAAAAUAGGUUACAUGAGAUGCCUUUUUGCCACUGUUAAAAGCUGAAAAACUUGAUUUUGCUGGAACAAAAAAACUUGAAAGCUUUUUGACAUUGGUUACAUUUCCAGGGGUAUAACCAAGACCAUUCUUAUUGAAAACAGUAUUCUGUGAGCCAAGGAGAGACUCAAGGUUUUCUCUUCCCUUGGUGAAAUAGGAAAGGGUUUUCAGCAAAUACUCCACUUGUUUUUCUAAUUUUUUGCAGUUUUCACAGGUUUUAAUAAAGGCAUGCAAGCAUGUUAGUUCAAGGUUUACCAAAUCUGUUUUGGCUUUAUGCAAUUCUUCCUUAAGUGUUUUUACUUUAGGUGCAAGCACAUUAUUUACCUUUUGCAGCUUAUUGCAUAUUACAGCUAGCCUAUUUGCUUCAUCAUGUGUUUCCUUGAAAGCAGCAAGCAAACGAUCAUAGUUAUCAGAAUCCACAGAAAAAUCACUUACUGAAUCAGAGAUUGACUCCUCAUCCUUCAUCAUCAAGCACAGAUUGUUUUCUUCAUUCUCAGUUGAAGAGCUGCUAGUUGAAGAUACUUCAUUUUCUUCCCAUGAGAUGUAAGCUCUUCUUCCCUUGUUCCUUUCAAUUCUCUUGCUGGCAUAUUUGUCCUUUGCUUGAUUAUCUGGACAAUCUGUUUUGAUGUGCCCUAUUUUGCCACAGCCAAAGCAAGUAUAUUUAGAGGAAUUUGAAUCAUUGGGUUUAGGAUACCUUCUUUUCUGCUGGUUCCUAUCUCUGCUUUUCUUCCUCAGGAAUUUGCUUAAUCUUUUUGUAAGAAGACUGAUUGUGUCAUCAUCUUCAACAUCUUCUUUUUCCUCCUUGAUCUCACUCUGUUCAGUUGCUUUCAGUGCAAGACCUUUGGGUUUUCUCUCUGUUGUUUCCUGCUCUUUGAGUCUCUUGAGCUCUAGCUCAUGCUCCAUUAGCUUUCCAAAUAGUGCAGCAUUUCCCAGCUUUGACAGAUCACGGCUUUCAGAUAUGGCAGUCACCUUUGGUUGCCAGCUUCUGUCGAGGCACUUCAAUAUCUUUAUGUUGAGUUCCUCUCUGUCAAAUUCUUUUCCCAAACCAGUGAGGUGAUUCACAAUAUGAGUGAACCUUUUCUGUACAUCAGCAAUGCUCUCCUCGGGUUGCAUUCUAAACAGUUCAUAUUCUUGGAUGAGAGAAUGUUUUCAUGACCUCUUCACAUCUUCAGUACCCUCAUGAGUGACUUCUAAGACUUCCCACAUCUCCUUAGCUGACUUACAUUGGGAUAUCCUGAAGAACUCAUCCAUUGUUAAUGCAGAGGUUAUGAUGUUCUUGGCCACAAGAUCNNNNNNNNNNNNNNNNNNNNNNNNNNNNNNNNNNNNNNNNNNNNNNNNNNNNNNNNNNNNNNNNNNNNNNNNNNNNNNNNNNNNNNNNNNNNNNNNNNNNUUUCAUUUUAUAGAAAACAAACUUAUAACAGAAUUUGAAAAACAGUAAAAGCUGUUAUAAAAUGAACAGAUUGAAAAUACAAUGAACAGAUUUAUUUUCAAAAAGCAGUUAGAGAAUCUGUUAAGAGAGGAGACUUAGUCAACCAUUCUGGUGCUGAGAUAAAACUGAAAACGUUUAAGCUAGACAUGGCACCAGAGACAAAAGGAAUCAAUUCAUUUACAGAUGAAUAGAUUUAUUUUUUCAAAACGAAAAGAGAAACAGUUUAACUAUUUAAAACUCAGUCGUUUUGAAAGGUGGAAGACUUAGUCAAAAUACAUGAUGCACAAAAUCUAAUUUUCACAAGACUUAGCCAAGGCAUCAGAUUAAAAAAGAAUCUGUUUAUUUAGAAAAGAACAGAUUUAUUUUUAUGCAGUAAACGUGUUUUUUGUAAAACAUGUGAAAAACGGUUUAAGAAACCUUAUGCUUGUUCUUAUCACAUGGCCAGUGGUUAUGAGGUGAGUUACUCAGCAAAAAGUCCACUCUUAAACAACCUCUAAGCACUACCUAAGACACACUUAAAGCAAAGUAAAAUGCACAUGAAAAGCACAUAUAAGUCUUCAUCAAACACGUGUCUUGAAGGGGCAGCAACCAUCUUCAACAACAGGUACUCCAAUCACUAUUACAAAAGGCUUUUAAAUGAGCAGAAAUGUUGGAAGAGAAAAAUAAACAAGACCCGGAGCUCCUUUAAUAUAUUUGAGAAUUCUAAUUGUUGCAUUAUAGUGAGCAAUUGCAGGUUUAGCAAGAAAUUGAGAAAUUUGUUGCACAUAAAAGGUUAUGUCAGGUCGAGUAUAAGUGAGAUACAUAAGUAUUCUAAUCAAUCUUUUAUAGGCUUGAACAUUUGCAUGAUUAUCAAUUGGAGUAAGUGCAAGUUUGCAAGCUAAAGGACCUACAUUUGUUAACAAUUUCAAUGCAUAUUUCAUUGGAUUCAUCACUAUCCCUUUCUUACUUCUUACUAUUUCAAGACCAAGAAAAUAUCUUAAAUCCCCAAGAUCCUUAAUCUUAAAUGUCUGAUUUAAGGCUUGUUUGAUUUGCUCAAUCUCCUUUUUAUCAUUUCCUACCAAUAUUAUAUCAUUCACAUACAUCAACAAUGUUGUAAAAGAUCCUUCAGAAGAAUUAAUUAACAAGGAAUUAUCAUUCAUAGAUUAAAUAUAUCCCACAAAAAGCGAAAAGGAUGACAGUUUGGCAAACCACUCCUUGUUGGCUUGCGUAAUUCCAUAUAAAGCCUUUUUUAAUUAACAAACUUGUCCUGAUUGAAUAGAAGUCAAUCCAAGAGGAGGAAUUAUGUAUACAUUCUUUCAACUCUCCGUGUAAAAAGGCAUUUCUUAUGCCUAAUUUUUUCAAUUUCCAAUUAUAGAUAAAAGCUAGAGAAAGAAGCAACCUUAUAGUGGUCAUCUUUGCUACCGAAGAGAAAGUAUCAAAGUAGUCAAUGUCUUCUGUUUGUGUGUAUCCCUUUGCUACUAGCCUUUCUUUAUACCUUUUAACUAUAUUAGCCAUAUAUUUUAUUUUGAAUAUUCAUUUUCAACCUAUGGUUGUUUUGUCCUUAGGCAUAAGAGCAAUUUCCCAUGUUUGAUUUGACUCCAAAGCGUAUAUCUCACUUUGUAUAGUUUUUCUCCAAUAGUCAUGUUUCACAACUUCAUAGUAAGUGUUUGGCUCAUCAUGUGAAGAAAGAGACAUAACAAAAGAUGUGAUAAUAUUUUAUAAGACAAAACAAAAUUCAAAGGAUAUUUAACUCUUGAAGAUCUAUUGGAAACAUUAAGAUUACAAUAUAAUCUUUUAGAUGCUCAAAUGGUCUUUUUAUUUUGGUACUCAUUUGGAUAGGUUGAUCUGAUUCAGAAUUUUAUUUUGUGUCACAAUUUUUGUUGAAGUUUUGGUCUAUAUGGGAAAAAACUUCUUCUAGAACCUUAAUGUCUGAUUCACAAUUAUUAUUAUUGUUAUUUUAAGCAUUACCACAAGGUGCAAGAAUAGCUUGAUCAUGAAUGUUAGGACUGUUAGUUUCAUUGCUAGUAUCUUGAACCUUUUGAUAUGGAAAGACAUAUUCAUAGAAGACAAAAAUGAGUUUGAAAGUGAGAUAUAAAUGAGAAAUUGAAAGUGUGAGAAAAUGAAAAUGUGAAACAAAAAUGUUUUAAUGUUUUAUUUUUAAUUUUCUCAUUAAAUAACUUAGUGUGGGCUAAGGUGACAAUAAACGUUCACGUCACAUUAAUGCCACCUAGAUCUACGCUAAAUGUAAUAUAAAUAUUAACUUGCAUCUACUUUGUGUCAUCAUUCUCAUCGCAAUAUCAUUUUUGCAACUUAUUUUUUUAUUACAUCUACUUUGUGUCCCCAUUAUAGACACUAACUUAUUAUUAUUAUUUUAAUAAUUUUUAACUCGCAUUCACUUUGUGUCUCAUUCUAAACUCAAUAUUAUUUUGUCACUUAAUUUUUUUCAUUAUUGCAUCUACUAUGUGUCCUCAUUCUAAAUGUUAACUUAUUAUUAUUAUUUUAAUAAUUUUUAGUGUGAGUUAAAGAUCUCCAUUGUGGAUUCAAAAUUUGACAUUUAUUUCUGUAUCCAACUUUAGUAUACUUCACUCAUGCUAGUGGCUUUUUUUUUUAUAGCCUCCACUCUUGUUGACAACUAAAAUGGAUUUUUCUUGUAGUGAAUAACAAAUAUUCAAUAACCAUUCAUGUAUCUCAUUUAAUUUUCUGAAUACCUCAGCUCAAGCCCAAAAAAUAUUUAAGAAUACACAUUAAUUUCACAUCACUCAAUUCUUAUACUCACUUAUAUUCUUAUAAUUCUCUAUACUAUUAAUGACUUGAACGUUGAGAAAUAUUUUACAUCUAUAUCUCCAUUUACCAUCUUUGACAAACUUGACGAUAAUAUUUCAAAGUCAUAACUCAAUAUACAAGACAAACCACGUUCUUUCACUUUAGAAGACCAACACUUUUUUUUAAUAAGAAUAAUAUAUAAUAAAAAAAAUAUUACAUAAAUUAAUACAUGAGUAUAUUAUAUUAUAUAUAUUAUGCUAUAUUACUAUUAUUAUAGUUAAUAUUUAUUGUAUAUUAUAUUUAAAUCUUAUAGAUUUGUACAUAAACAUGUUAUGCAAUAUUUGAAUAUCAUAAUAAAUAUUUCUUAUAAUUAUAUGUAAUUUAAUAUAUUAUAUGAUAAGUGUGCAUGAUAAGGUACGGUAACAUAAUAAGGAUUAUGAAAUUUUUUGUCAAUGAACUUAGAUAUUCUCCUAUUGAGAUACUCAUAGUUAGAGGGCUGAUUUUUUUAGUCUACAUAUUUCGGGAUUUUAUUAAUAUUCAUAUUUUAAUUUUUAAAAUAAAUAGUUAAAGUAUAAUAAAUUAGUAAAUAACAAAUUCUUAAUAAUAAUAAUGUUACUUUUUUUCAUAUAACUUUAUUUUCUAUUUUUUAUUUACUUUUUUAGUUUCUAUCCUUAAUCUAAAAAAUAUAUACAUCACAAUACUUAUAACUCCACUUGUUCCUACUUAUUUUAUCUUGUCCAUAAAGAAUGUAGAUUAGGUUACUAUUGUUGUAACUCAUAACCCAAAUGUUGAAACAUGCAAUAGUCAAAAUAUAUGGAAAUUGAAAUUGAUGACAUAGAGAAAUGGUUUUACCUAACAUUUGUUGGGUUUGCAUUUAUUGGUGUUAGUGUCACAAAUGCAUUUAUUAGUUAUAUCUCCAACUUACUUUUAUAACAUUCAUUGUUCUAGAAAUGCACUAGGCACAUUGAGGAGCUAUAAGUGAAACAAGGCAAAUACAUUAUCUGAGUAUGAACAAUCUUAAUUAGGUAGGAACAAGUGGAAGCUCAAAAUAAAACCUAAUUUUUAUGUUUCCUUGUCGGUUUAGGUUCAAUAAUUGUGGCUAUGAAUGUGACCACAUUGAUAAUGGCUGACUCCUAUCAUCAAUAUUUUCAUGGAAGGAGGAGUGUCCACUAUCAUUGCCAUGCUAUCAUAAUUCAAUCAUGUUUCUCCACUUUCUUUUUAAUCAACUAGUUGAAAUACUUAUUUCUUGGGUGAACAAGUUAAUUUGUUGGUUUUUAAACUAAAAGUGAAAUAUAUUUAGGUAUUUUUUUAAUUUUAUAUUUUGGUAAAUAAUGAUAUAAUGAAUAAACUUGAAUAAGUUGAACCCUUGAUCUAGAAAUGACCUAUGUGUUUAUAUAGAAUUAUCAUAUUUAAUUGGGUGGGACUUUUGGUCCAAUCCCUUCACUUAGCAAGCUUAGUUUACACAUACUUUGUCUCUUAAGGUUUAAGUAAGUAUUUGGAAUUUAUUUGUUAAAAUAUGAUAAGUCAUUCAUAUUUGUUAAAAUAUGAUAAGUAGUUAUUAUUUUUUGAUUUGUUGAUCCAACGAAAGAAAAAUUUAGACCAUUGGAUUUAGGGUAUCACUUUUGCCCUAAUAAUCUCUACACUCCUCAUUUCCUCUCUCUAAUUUUAUUGUGUGUCUCGCGAACACUUUAUCAUUUACUUACGAGACUACUUUAUAGCCAUUGGAUGAAGAAUGUGCGAUCAAGUGAUUGUGAUUUGGUAGUCCUCGAUUCUCACUCCAUCAAUUUUAAUCUGGGUCGUUCAAAAGGCAUAUUCCAUUGAAUUGUUGUGAUCAUUCUUACCGUGUGGUCCCACCUCCACCACACUUGCCCUUUUCUAAUUUUUACGUAGUCAAACUUGAGAAUUUAUUUGAGUGAUAUUUAAAAAAAAAAAAUAUUUGCUUACAAACUAAUUUAAUGUAAACAUGUACUGAGUUCUUAAGUUUACCUGUUUGAAGAGUUAUUUACACUUUUAAGUUUGUUCUUAUGUUAUUGGACCGAAAACACAAUUAUUUUACUCUUUAUAUAGUAUAACAUGUCACUUACGUAAAAAUUAUGUAUAACAAGUUAUCUUAUAUCAAAAUAUGUUAAUAUGAGUGAAUAUAUUAUAAUUCUUUUUAUUAACUUUUAAUAUAAUAAUAUAGAAUUUAAUUGCAUUAUUAAGUUCAUGAAAUUUAAAAUUUAAGGUUAUGAUGGUUGGAUAUUUUUUCAUAAUUCACGUUGACACACCGACAUAUAUUGUUUUGUCAUAGGUGUUGUUAUUUAUACCAACUUAACCUUUACAAUCAUUGUUGUUAAUACAAUAAUGAUGAUCAUAUAGAAGACUUAACCUUUUGAAAUUAAUAACUUUUCUGGAUGUAAUAAUUUAUUGUGUGAUAGGUUCACUAUAACUUCAGUUAUUGCGGAAAGUAUAUCUUUGUUAAUUUUCCCAAUAACUUAUUGGCUUGAAACAAAAUUAACUAAGAAAUUAGUUUUGAUAUUGAGGUUUAGACUCUUUUACUAAAUAAUUAGCAUUUGAGUAAACUAUGAACUUGUUGAAAGAAAGAGUUUUGAAUACUAUUGAAUUGGUUUAUAAAAUUUAAUUUUGAAUAUUUUAAUAUUUUAUCAUCAAUUGUUUUGUAUAUUAGAGUAAGUUUUCUUUUUGAAAAAUUAUAAUUUUUUUGUUUAUUUUGUCUAGGUAAAUAUUAGAAUUGUAGUUAAUUUAUUUAUAUCCGUAUAACUCAAAAAUAUUUUAAGUCUUCAUUAUUAAAUAUUUAAAUUGUCUACGUAAAUUUAUAAAUGCAAAUUUACGUGAGAUAUUCACAAUAUUUAUUUAUACAAAUCAUUCCAACAUGUUUAAGCUCUUCUUCCUUUUUCAUUUAAAAAAAAAAGAAUAAUUUUUCUUUAUCUCCUUAUGUUCUCUUUUUCUUUUUCUUUUUUUCUCUAAUUUCUCACGAUUUUCUCAUCCUUUAUUUGAACAUAUUCUAUCUAUUAGAAUGUGAGUAAUUAUAAUAAUUCCUGAAUGAUCAUAAUUUUUUUUUCAAAGUAAAUUCAGUUUUUAUUCUAAAGUUUUUCUGUCUUGUCUUUCUAUAGUUAUAUUAUUUGAAUGUUUUAAAGUUUACAUGUUCCAUAAACAAGAUGAGAAAGUUACUAUUUCAACUUAUUCAACUUCUGAUAAGUGUUUUUGUUGAUUAGGUGAUAUCUUCUUAUAUUUAUGGAGUUUCUUUUAUGUACUUUUAACUUUAAUUUUAUUUAUUAUUGCUUGAUGGACAAACAAUCUUUAGAUGAGGGCAAUUAAUCCAAAAUUACUUGUUUAUUUAAAAUUGAGUUGUUGUGAUUUAGGUUGUAUGAAGAUGGUUGUGUAUUAUUUCUUGAGUAUGAUUUUAGAUUUGUUAAACUAAGAAGUAUUAGAUAAUUAUAUAUAUAUAUAUAUAUAUAUAUCGAGUCAUAUUAAUAAAUGUUAUCGUGAUAAGAAUCUAUCAAAUUUUUUUGACAUAAACAAGUUAAAUGUAAAAUGUAAUCUAGUAUAAAAAAGAUGUGGGGAAGAAAGUGAUUAGCAACAGUGAAAAAAACUAGUAAUUAACAUUAAAAUAUAUUUUAUUAAAUAAAAUAAAUUUUAAUGAAGCAUGAUGAAAUUAUAUUAAUAAAAUAAUACAUAAUAUUAUUAAAUAUUUUUUUGAUGUAAAGAUAAACAUAUGAUUAAUAUGUUAAAAAUAAGACAAUAUAUUAUUUUGCCAAAAUAGAUUUAUAAUAUUAUUAUACCAGUAAUUUAAAUGUAAUAAAAAUAUUAUAAUACCAAAAACAUGCUAAUCAACAUUUAAUAUUUGUUUAUAAAUGAAUGGCAUUUUUUAAAGUGCAAUGGAUAAUAAUCCUAAGUAAAAUAAUGUUUAAAAGCAUUGAACAUGGUCAACAAGAUUGUGAUCUUCAAUUGGCUAACUGGCCUUAAUCGGGUUUUUCUCUGUCUUUGUGCCACACAUCAAGCACUUCAGACAAAAAAAUAGAUUAAUAUUUUAAAAAUUCUGAAUAUAUAGAUAACAAAAAACCAAAAAGUGAAAUAAUUAAUAUUUAAUGGAGGUGAAUCUGAUUACCCCAUUGUAAUGACACAAUUAUCGUAAUUUAUUGUAAGAAAAUAAUUUAAUUUUGUUAAGUUAUGGGAAAAAUGCUUAAAAAUAAACACUUAUUUCACUCAAAAUAAUACCAACCAAUAUAUAGGAAUUAAAUUUAGCAAAUUACAUUGAUAAAAAAUAAUAGCAAAUUGCAAUUUAAUUAGAUGCCAAAAUCCGACACCAGUACAGCUAUUAUACAAAAAUAAGUGUGGAAAAUCAAGAUAUAUUAUUAUUUAUAUUAAAGAUUCAAUAAUGACAAAAUAAACUCACGAGUCACGAAUUUUGGAAAUUAUUUAAUAAUAAUAAUUAUAUGUUUGAAUUAUUUUACUUUGUUUUAUGCAGACAUACUGUUACUUCGAUAGUCUAAAUUAGAAAUGUGAUUACCAAUGCCAUUCAUUUUUUAACGCUAUUGAUUAUUAUGUGAAUUUGUUUUUUUUAUUUUUAUCAUUUAUAUAUAUAAUUAUGUUUAAUAUUAAAAAUUAAAUAAAAGGUGUUAAUUAAAUUAAAAUAACGUUUGUGUAUUUAUAUUUUAUUAUUAUUUAUAUAAUUAUAUUUAAUAUUAAAAAUUAAAUAAAAAAUAUUAAUUAAAUUAAAUAAUAAGAUAAAAAAUUUAAUUUUUAAGAGAGAUGUGAUAUGAAAAAAAAAAAAAUGUUUUCAAGUUGUAAGAACUGUUUCACGUCUAAUAAAUAGUCUUAAUAAACGGUGUUGUUGUUUCACUUUUGACAACAAACUACUUUACAAUUAAAAUUUAAAACAGUAUAUUUGUUUUUUCUAAAAACAGUUUUAAUUAAUUAUAAGAAUAUUUAGUUAUUUAGUAAAUAUUUAACAAAUAAAAAAUGACUGAAAUAUUUAAAAAAAUUCUACAUCUCUCUUUCAAUUCAAAACUAUUCUUCCACAUAUAUUAAAUAUUAAAAAAAAAAUAGAAAAUGACACAAUGUUAUGAUAAUGAAAUAAAAUCAUCAAAUAUUAAUAUAAGAAUAAAAUAAAAUAAAAAAAUUAUUAAAGAAAAAAAUUCCCUUUAUAUAUAAAUAUAAAUUAUAAAAAAUAUUAAUGUUUAUUUUGGAUGGACUUUUUUAAGGAUUUUUAAGAAAAGAAUUUGAUUUUUUUCCAUAAAUUAAAAUUAGUUUAUAUAAAACUAAUUGGUUUAUAUAAUUUUAUAAAAAUUUAAAUUUAAAUUUAUAAUAAAUUAAUUUUAGCUUCUUAAUUAUUUUUCUCUCUCUUUGGGACUUUCUAUAAAUAAAAUAAUAAUCCAAAUAUAUUUAUAACUAGAAAUGUUUCUCUAUGUGACAAAUUCUCCUAUUUUUUAGAGUAGAAAGAUGGAUUCUCACUUCUAUAUAGCUUUAUUAUAUAAUAUUUUAUUCUGAUUUAAAAAUAUAGAUUGAUUUAAUUUCAUAUAAAAUAAACUUACUUAAAAUAAUGAGAAAAUAAAUUAAAUAUAUAAAUAUAUUUCAAUUAACAGUAAUGUGCGUAUAGCACGUGAGAAAAAUAAAAUAAAAUAUAUUUAAAAUAUAUUAGUAAUAUUGAUUUUAUAUCUUUAUUAAAUAUAUAUAAAAAAUAAUACAUCACCAGCUUAAUUGUAAGAAAAUAAAAAAAGUAACUUUUUAUUAAAAUAAAAUAAUUUAAAAAAUGUAUUAUACUACCUCAUAGUUAUAAACUAAUACAUUUCAAUAUCUAGUCAUUCAAUAUUUUUUAAUUGAUAAGAGUGUUGUUAUAUUUACAAAUCUACAAGAGAUUACGAUAUAUAUAAAUAAAUUUAAAAAUAUGCAUAUAAUAAUAAGUAUUAUUAUAUUGCCAUAUGAAUAAAAUAAACGGUUGUGAUGUGACCGUGUACUACGUUACUGUCGUGCGACAUUCCCUUUCAUAUUUAAUCGCAAAAUUUAUUUUUGAGUUGUUUAUGUUAUUUUUUGUGAGCCAUUUGUUAUACAUUUAUUUUCUAUUUGUUUUUACAAUUUUUUGUUAUACAAAUUGUGAGCUUUUUCUUUACCAAAAUGUUUUGAGAAAAAUAAAUUAUUCACAACCAAGUCAUAUUUUCAAUGUAAAAUUUAAAUAAAAUCUAAAUUUUUAUUCUCAGAAUCUAGUUAAGGACGUGCAAUGGAGAUGCCAAAACAUGAUGUCAUCAUUACAGUGGCUGACGCAAGAUGAAAAAUACCACGCGCAACAACUCUCAUACUAUUUUCAUAAUAAAUAAACGUAAAUUUUAACAAAAUUUUAUUAUUAAAUUAAUUUUAACCACGUCUUGAUGAAAAAUUAAGUUAUACUUUUGCAGUAGAAAAUAAUUUCGUAUUUUCCAAUCGAUUUGUUUGAAACCAUAAUUAUGUGAUAAUCUAAGUUUAUUUGCUUUUGCUGUCAUGAUAAUCUCUGAGUGAUGGUCUUAAUUGAUUUAAUAAUUUAAAAUCGGUCGUAAUGAAAACAAGGUGCUUCAGUUAUGGUUCAUGAUGAAGUUAACACAGUACAAAUCCAAACAGAAACGAAGACAUGCUAAAACCAAAAGCUGCGGCAGAGUGAGCUCAGAAGCAGAGAACAUUACCUGAAGAAGAUGAUCACGACAUUGACAAUUAAAUACUAUAAUACUAUUUGCAUGCGUGUCGUGCCCUUCAAUGCCUGCAAUAAAUACAACCCAUUAACAAAGUUGUUCUUCACUUUUUUUCUCCCAUGUAACUUGAUUCUCUUCCCACCCUCCAAGUUUAUCAAAUUUCAAAGUCAUAACUUCCUCUAACUCUCACUCUUGUCUCUUCACAAAACGGCCAAGCAACAACGUCUUGCACUCACACGCAUGCAUGUGGAAAAAGGACAUAAGAAAGAAACUGUGAUACAUGAAGUGCUUCAAGAGUGCAAGUUUGAUUUGCUUGUCUUAGAAAGCCAACCCCAUUUAAGUUUUCUCUCUCUCUUUUUAACUAUAUCCUAAAGCCAGAUUUAGUAUUUGCUUCAAGACAAAUUUUUUAAGAAAGCCUGUGUCUUUAAAUAUAUAAGAAGUGAAAACAAAGAGGGUAUCUUUCCCUUGUUGUUUUGUUGGUUCUUUUCCCAAAAGGCAAUGAGAGCGACACGUGUUCUGUUUGUUUUUCUUUGGUUCUUCUGCGUUUAUUCCCCUGCUGCGUUUUGCGCAAAUGUCACGUAUGACCAUAGAGCAUUGGUCAUUGACGGCAAGCGCCGAGUGUUGGUCUCUGGUUCUAUUCAUUAUCCUCGUAGCACUCCAGAGGUUCUGCUCAUUACCCUCUUUAUGUGUCUGUUCAAUGUUACACGUUCGCCUUUUUUUGCAUGUGUCCUUGAAGUCUGGACUUAAAAGGGAUGAUUUUUGCUGUUGCAGAUGUGGCCAGACCUCAUUCAGAAAGCCAAAGAUGGAGGACUUGAUGUGAUUGAGACUUAUGUUUUCUGGAACUUACACGAACCAGUUCGAGGCCAGGUUCUGUUCUGUUAAUGUUACUAUUACCAUUUUUGUGUUGUUUCAGUCCUUCACUGUGUCUUGCAUUCUAUUGAGUUUGUGGAUGUGUUUUCUUAUUUUUCAAGCUAGUAAAAAGUGUAUAGAGGGUCCAAAUCAAAACCAAAAGUAAAAUUCUGCAGCUUAGGAAAAUAAAUUAUCAUUGUUUGAAAAUAUUUUUUUACUGUUCAUAAAAGCUUGAAUUUGGGUGGAGAAUUCUUCAGUGUCAAUUAAAAACAACUUAUAAAGUUGGGGUCUUGUGAUCUACUCAAUGAUGGAUUGUAUACUUUGGCUUGGCAGUAUAAUUUUGAAGGUAGGGCAGAUUUGGUUAAAUUUGUGAAGGCUGUAGCAGCAGCAGGUCUAUACGUGCAUCUCCGGAUUGGUCCAUACGCAUGUGCUGAAUGGAACUACGGGUAAAAUAUGAUCUUUAUAUGUUUCUUUUUACAAGGGCUUUCUUAUCUGAUCAUGACCAAACUUUUCUGAGCAGUGGUUUCCCUCUUUGGCUACAUUUUAUUCCGGGAGUUCAGUUCCGAACUGAUAACAAACCGUUCGAGGUAAUUAUUCCUUUUCUUUCUCCGUGUCUCAUCUUGCUGCAUCUGCUUCCUUCAAUCAUGAGAAAUUGAUUUGUGUUCAGGCCGAAAUGAAGCGGUUCACCGCUAAGAUUGUGGAUAUGAUGAAGCAAGAAAACCUCUAUGCAUCACAGGGAGGACCUAUUAUUUUGUCUCAGGUUUUUCUUAAACUUCAUUAAAUACAUGUCUAUUUUCUUUUAUAAGAAAUUGUGGCAUCCACUGGUGGAAGAGUAGUAUAGACAGAGAGUCUCGAAUUCUAAAUGGCCUACUGCAUAUUUUUUUAUAUGAAAAAGUUAUGUAAUACUAGUAUGUAUACUUUCUAAUGCCAGGUCGAAAAUGAGUAUGGAAACAUUGAUGCGGCCUAUGGUCCUGCUGCUAAAUCUUACAUCAAAUGGGCAGCAUCAAUGGCAACAUCUCUUGAUACAGGGGUUCCUUGGGUAAUGUGCCAACAGGCAGAUGCUCCUGACCCAAUUGUAAGUUUUCUCCUUUUAGCCAUCAACAUAAACUGUCAUGUAGUUCAUUUGCUACAUUGUCUAUUUCCCUGAUUCCUGAAUAGAGCAAUCUUACUAUGCUGCUGUCUACAAUUAUCCUACUUGAUUGUUUAUUUCAUAAUUUGUAAUCUUAACUACACUCAGAUUAACGCAUGCAAUGGAUUUUACUGCGAUCAAUUCAAUCCAAACUCUAACUCAAAACCAAAAAUUUGGACUGAGAACUGGACUGGAUGGUUAGUUCCUUUUCUAUAUAAAUCAUUUAGUUAUUUGAAUGUCAUACUCAAAAUAUGAUCUGAUUGUUUGUGUAUCACCUUUCUCAUUCAACUGCACUUUUCUUUUUGUUGUAACCUUUUGAAUUCUGUGAAACUGCAGGUUUCUUUCAUUUGGCGGUGCUGUGCCUUACAGACCAGUGGAAGAUAUUGCUUUUGCUGUGGCACGCUUUUACCAGCGAGGUGGAACUUUUCAGAAUUACUAUAUGGUAAUGCAACUUAAUAUUGUUUAAGGAUUUAAACUAUUCAAGAUAGGAAAAGAGCUGAUGCUACAACUUUUUCUGUUCCUUGCUGGGAAACAGUACCAUGGAGGGACUAAUUUUGGCCGAAGCUCUGGUGGACCUUUCAUUUCUACUAGUUAUGAUUAUGAUGCUCCAAUUGACGAGUAUGGUAUGGAGUCUUUCAACCUUUGUAUCUCAUAUUAAUUGUUGAUUCUGUAGAAUUAUAUAAACUGGUCAAGUUUGAUUCUAUAUGAAGUCAAGAAGAUACGCAAACAUUAUCACAGUGAAAAUAUAUGUUUUCUUUUUUAAACUGUCUGAAGUGCAUGAUGCAGGAAUUGUUAGGCAGCCUAAGUGGGGCCACCUUAAAGAUGUGCAUAAGGCCAUAAAGCUUUGUGAAGAAGCACUGAUAGCGACUGAUCCAACCAUUACAACUCCUGGACCAAAUAUAGAGGUGAUAAGCGGGCAGGAUCUCUGGAUUAUCUUUUGGAACCUUAAAUGUUUCAUAUUUUCAAAUUUUAAUCUGAAAUAUCCCUUGAAAAGUGUGAAGAUCCAUGGAUCUUUGUCAUUUUGUCAUAGAUUUCUCUGAUUACUGUCGCCUUCCCAACUUUGUGAGUGGUACCUUCUAUUGAUUGCAGAAAAUUGUCUGCUAGUGCUAAUCUAUUAUUUUCUGGGUAUAGUUGUUUUAUAUGCUUUAUAAAGGUUUAGUCUCUUUUCUGUAUAAUGUAUGCUGUUUUGUGAACCAUCCCAUGAGCUUAAAUGCUGGAGAAAGGAACAUAAAUGGUUGGUGCCUUAGCGGCAACAAACUAAGAGUUAAAUCUAAUUAUCCCAAAGGCUUAAGCUGUUGAGUGAGAUGAGAUGUGAUGAAUUGUUUAGUUACCUCCUUUAACAUUUACUUUUCAAAUCCAGGCUGCAGUUUACAAGACAGGAUCUGCAUGUGCAGCCUUCCUUGCCAACAUUGCCACAUCUGAUGCAACAGUGACCUUUAAUGGAAAUUCAUAUCACUUGCCUGCAUGGUCUGUGAGCAUCUUACCAGACUGCAAGAAUGUAGUGCUUAAUACUGCAAAGGUUUGCCUCAUCAACUUUCCAAUAAAAAUAGAUGGUUAAAUUGAAUCAACUUACUUUCAAUAUGCUGUGCUUAAUCUAUCUACACUUUAGAUAUUUUCUAGUUCAAGAAAUAGUAUAACCUACAGUUAUAUUCCGGUAUGGCAGAUUAAUUCUGCAUCUAUGAUUUCAAGCUUCAGAACUGAGUCCUUAAAAGAAGAGGUUGGUUCUGGCUCAGGAUGGAAUUGGAUUAGUGAACCCGUCGGUAUUUCGAAGGCAGAUUCAUUCUCAAAAUUUGGAUUACUGGAGCAAAUAAAUACAACUGCUGAUAAAAGUGAUUAUUUGUGGUACUCGUCAAGGUAUAUAGUGUGCCUUCAAGGUUGAGGAAUCAUUCUUCAGACUUGCCUUUCACUACCCCACGUAACACUUCAAUAUUUUUCUGCAGUAUUGAUCUUGAAGAUGAUGCUGAUUCUCAAACUGUCCUUCACAUUGAGUCCCUUGGUCAUGCCCUUCAUGCUUUCAUAAAUGGGAAGCUUGCAGGUAAAAUAAAAUUAAAAGCAACGACAUCUGAUGAUAAUGUUUGGUUUAGUGCCUCCAUGCCUUUUUUAAAUUACUUGGCUAUAUUUUAAGGCCUGACACUGGUGGGGAAACACUAUGCCACAGUCAGAAGAUAAAUAACAAAGGUAUACCGUGUCUCUAUCUUCCAACUAUGCUUGGCCACAGGCCACACAUGAUAGAUCCUUAGCCUGAUUAUCAAGAACACAAUAUUCUUGGCUGCAGAUCCAAAAGCUUUCAAGCUAGUUUGCAAUCUUAAAUAUUUAAACGUAUAAUAUAUAGAUCAUAUAACUAACAUCAAGCAAAAAUCUUAGUACUUACCAGUUUUAUCAGGAGCAAUGUAAAAUAUGUUACCAAAUCCUAGGUACAUUAAAUGCAUAAAAGAGGAAUUAUGAACAUAAUUUUAAUUUUGUGCAUCCUUGGCAACAAAAAUUUAGAGUAAUGAUGCAUAUACUUUUUACAUUCUAUCUCCAUUCGUAUCUCACACUUCUGUCUUUUUUAGUCCCAUGUCAUGUCUCUCUUCAAAUUGUAAACUUCAUUGUAUAAAUUGAUGUAUGAGUAACAUCAUCCCAAAAUUUAAUCCCUUUAAAGAUGUAGUGAAAUAAAAACAAGAUUAACAGAGUAAGAUCAGCUGUUUGUCCUUGUUUCUUCCUAAAAUGUUCAACCUUUUCUUUAUUUCUACGGAAUAUUCUGCGAUUUAUCCAAUAAUACUUAUCUGCGACAUUAUGUACAACUUUUUCAGGGAGUGGAACGGGAAACAGUAACAAAGCUAAGGUCGAAGUAGACAUCCCCAUCAAACUAGUGGCUGGGAAGAACAUGAUUGAUCUCCUGAGUUUAACCGUGGGACUUCAGGUUUGUCUUUACUUCUUAUGUUGUAUAUAAGAAUGUAAGGCUGAGGCAAUUUUGGUUUAUAUAUGCAUUGGCUUUCCCUCCUAAUAUCCUUUCACUUUAUCAUCAAACCUGUUCUCUUACUACAUCAACUAAUGCAAACCUUACGUGCUUCAGAACUAUGGAGCUUUUUUUGACACAUGGGGUGCGGGGAUCACUGGUCCAGUGAUAUUGAAAGGUUUGAAGAAUGGAAGCACUGUUGAUCUCUCCUCCCAACAGUGGACAUAUCAGGUUAGUCUCAGCUUAACUAAAGCCAGUUAUUUUUUUCCCAUUUUGAGUAUUGUUUACUCAUUUAACUGGACAGAUACAACUGAACUAGUAAAUUGGAUUUCGGUUGUCCUCUUUUUAUUGAAGUCAUGCACAGACAGAAUACACCAUCUGUAUUUUUGUAAAUUCAGGUUGGCCUUAAAGGUGAAGAUUUAGGUCCAUCAAGUGGAAGCUCUGGACAGUGGAACUCUCAAUCUGAUUUACCUACAAAUCAACCCUUGACUUGGUACAAGGUAAUCUUUAUACGAAUAUAGCGUCCAUUGAAAUUUUCGAGUUUUUCUAAAUUAUUCUCAUUGUUAUAACUGCAUAAUAGAGUAUCGUUGAACCUAUUUGGUUUCCUUGGUUUAUGUACUGUCCAAAGCCAUGGUUAUUCAACCAUGUUUUUGCAUCUGAUAUCUUCACAAUCACACAUACUUUAAAGAAAACUAAGGGAAUGGUACUAUUAAGACAGAUGAUUUUACUGCUAACUAAUGGUAAUACAUGUUGUAUUAGACAAACUUUGUUGCUCCCUCGGGAAGUAACCCAGUUGCUAUUGACUUCACGGGGAUGGGAAAAGGUGAGGCUUGGGUGAAUGGACAGAGCAUUGGGCGAUACUGGCCUACAUAUGUCUCUCCAAAUGGCGGUUGUGCUGACUCCUGCAAUUAUAGAGGGGCCUAUAGUUCAUCCAAAUGUCUCAAGAACUGUGGGAAACCAUCACAGACAUUGUAAGUAGUUAAAUAUUUUGCAUUAGAGAAGUUGAAACUUGAAAUUAAUCCUGAAUUGUUUGAAGGAAGUGAAGGCAAUCCUGUUAGGUACUAAUUGAGUAACUAAUCAUGCAGAUACCACGUACCACGAUCAUGGUUACAACCAGAUAGCAAUACACUUGUAUUGUUUGAGGAAAGUGGAGGUGACCCUACGCAAAUCUCUUUUGCUACAAAACAGAUAGGAAGCGUGUGUUCACAUGUAUCUGAAUCUCACCCUCCACCUGUAGACUUGUGGAAUUCAGAUACAAAAGCAGGGCCUGUACUGUCACUGGAGUGUCCUUAUCCUAAUCAGGCGAUCUCUUCCAUUCAAUUUGCAAGUUUUGGAACGCCUUAUGGAACUUGUGGGAACUUCAAACAUGGACGGUGCAGAAGUAAUAAGGCUCUAUCCAUUGUUCAGAAGGUGUUGUCCCGAGUCCUCUUGAAAAGUUCAUAUAUGCCUUUUGUGUAGUCAAUUUUACUUUUUUUUCACUUGGAUUAUACUGACUCGUAUUAAUUAACAGGCCUGCAUUGGAUCAAACAGUUGUAGCGUUGGACUAUCACUUGAUACAUUUGGAGAUCCAUGUAAAGGAGUAGCAAAGAGUUUAGCAGUUGAAGCUUCUUGUGCAUAGAUAUUUCGCUUCAAACCUUCCCACUUCCUAGCUCAGACACAGCAGAAAAGCAUUCCGCACUCCAAGUGUCUUGUACUCUUUAUUGAAGAUGAUCUUGGAUAAGCCAAUGUGUAAAAUGCAAUUCUGGUAGUAAACCGGGAAAACAGUGUAUAUUUACUUAAUAUAGAAGGAAGGCCUUGCUCAUGCAUGAUGUGUGAUAGUGGUAUAUUUUACUUGAAACUUGAAAGGAAGGUUUCUAACAAGCCAUACAAGAAAUUGAUCUCUUGAUGAACAGUACGGCUAUUUUCUGAUAAGAUAAGUUAGAUUAAUAAAUCAUAUACGCAGUACAUAUAAUCACUGUUUCAUUACGAACAUGUUUGGCCUUUAUUUGUCAGUAAUUGGUUCGGGAAACUUUAUCAUGAAUAUUGAGGAUAUCAACACUCACCAUGUUCUUCGUUAGUAGUAAACCUCUGUAUCAAAACUAGAGCAUUACUAGACUCUGCCAAAACCCUUUUUUUCAAUUAGAAGAGGCAAGCUGGUGCAAAGGAGAGCCCGAAGGGGACCCAACUAGAUUUGCAUCCCCUACGAUACUCUGCAGGGACAGCAAGCCAAGAAAUAUCAUUAAACCAAAAUGAGUGACAACAAAAAGGCAAGGGGAGGAGAAACCAAACCCCAACACAAACAAAUAUCUACUCCUAUUAGUAGCUAUGAACUGAGGGAGAGAAUUCCACCAACAAAACCCAUUUACGGAGUGAACUGCACAAGUAUUACUCUGGUAUAUAUGACCGACAAGUUUCAUGCUCUUGGUUAUAUCAAUACACUUAACACCUACUUCUAAGUCUCCAGGGACCAAGUUUGAGUUCUUGAAAAAUGGUUCCAUCCUUUCUGCUUUGUUACAAUGGCUAUAAUAAAUUCAUUAAGCUUUGCAAAAAAGCAUGCAGAGACACCCAAGUUAAGCUAGAAGCCCCCAAGAUACUCGCCCUGUGAUUGCCACGGGAUGAACCAUUCGUCUUGCACUUAGUUUAACCAUGCAAAGGAGGGUUCCAAAAGACCGAUAAAGUACAAUUAGCCUUCCUUGGGAUGUCUCUGAUUUUUAAGUUGCUUCCCAAUUUAAAAGAAAGUUUUAAAGAUGAGUGUUCCCAAACUAAUUCGUCAUUAGUUAGUUGUAUGGGGAUGACCAUGUUUUUAACAUCAUGAAGGAUAAACGGGAACCAAUCUCUUAAAAAUUCCGACAGUUAAAAUCACCUAUGAAACUCCAAGGGCCAGCAUGAUUCUGUUGAAUGAAGAAGCUUUUGUUCUUCCCGGAAGUUGUUGGGGCUAGAAUCCUUGCCCCAUUGGGACAAACGAAGGAGACCUGGUUGGAGGUUCUGGGUUCCUUUGGCCAAGAUUAACCUUCCGUGAAGAUUGUUCUUGCAAUUGAGAAGCCCUUUUCUGUAUUCUUCUUUCGUGAUCUUUAUGGAGACACAAUUGCGUUUGAUGCAAGGCUUGAGUAACUGGCUUGAGGGGAAGUCCUAUGAAACAGAGAGAACCUGUGCGAAGGAUCGUUCUUGUUUGGGAGCGUGAGGGGCUGUUGCUUUUGGGGCCCAUGAACAUAUCGCAGAAGCGGGUUCCAUGAGAAUUGGUUAUGGAAAUUGUUUUGCCUGCUCAUGAUGAUGGAUAAACUACUCUUUCCUUCACCUAUCUUCACUGCAGAAAAAAGAUAGUGCUUGGUUAGAAUGGUUUCGGCAAAAGACACUACAGUUCACAAAAUCAAUUGAUAGCGAUUGGAGAUUGGUGUGGCCUUCAAUCAUAAAAACAACACUGCUCCAUGAUUUCAUCCAUUUAUCAUCAUUGAUGCAACAUCUCAAUAUCCUUACCAGCUAGCAACUGUGUGUAUGUUCAGAAAUCACAAUUUAAUGUUUUAAAACAAAGCCUUUCACCUAACUAUCAUUGUCUCACAUUCCCAGAUUUGCUCUAUAAAAUCCAUCUCUGCCAUAUCAUCAAUGCAUCAAGUGCUCGUUGCUAAUACAAAUCCUACAUUUGAUUUGUUUUCCAAAAGCACCUGAGCCUUCAUACAUCAGAACUAAAAUCACGAUGCAAAAGCAAUAUCUCUUUUCCUUCUCACUAGUACAGCUAGUUUCAUUUCUGUAUUUCACCACCACUUUAGCCCAAUUAUCACCAGCUACUUCUCCUCUAAAACCACCCCAACCUAUUCCUACACCACCAGCUGCAGCCCCUAAACCUUUGGUUCCCUCGUUGCCAGAGUCACCAAGUGAUGCCACUCCUGACACCGCAGCUGUUGACAUUGUUGGAAUCCUGAGGCAGGCCAAGUCAUUCAACAUCCUUAUCCGCCUCAUGAAGACCACCCAAUUGAUCAACCAACUCAAUGCACAGCUCCUCACUACUAAAUCAGGUGGCAUCACCAUUCUUGCACCUGAUGACAGUUCCUUCUCUGAACUCAAAGCAGGCUUCCUCAACUCUCUUUCUGAUGGCCAAAAGCUCGAGCUCUUACAGUUCCAUGUUCUUUCAGACUAUGUGUCGAGCUCCAACUUUGAUACUCUAACCAACCCUGUGAGAACACUUGCAGGAGCUAAACCUGGAAAGGUGGAACUGAAUGUGAUAAGUUACGGAGGGAGUGUGAACAUCUCAACAGGGGAGGUUAACACCACUAUCACAGGCAUUGUAUACACAGAUAAGCAUCUUGCUAUUUAUAAGGUAGGAAAGGUGCUUCUUCCUAUGGACUUCUUUGCAGUGGCCAAAGCACCUGCAAAAUCACCCUCUUUGGCACCAGAACCAUCUGCAAAGGCUCCUAAAGCGGAUAAAGAGAAUUCACUGUCCCCAGACUCCUCAGACUCAUCUCAGAUUAAUUCCACAAAGGAUAACUCUGGCACUGUGAAAAUCAAUGUGUACGGAAAGUGGCUGUCCCUUGUUCUUGGAGUAGUUCUCAUGACUGUUUUCUCAUCAUAAACCAAAAUAGAUUCUAAUCCAUUAUAUACCAUGCAGUUAAUAUUCAAGAGUGCUAUGAUUGCGUGAGAGGAGUGAGUAUUGAGUACUAUUGGUGGUGAAUUUAUCAGAGUGGAUUAGGGAUCUGAGAUUGUUAUAUCCCUCUGAUUUUAUUGAGAUAUGCUAUGCUUGUUUCAGUAUAUUAUUUAUGUAAACUUAACAAAGGUUGCUUCAAUAUUUUCUAUGUUUCUAAUGUCAAGAAAAAUAAAUCAUGACUACUGUCUCAAAUUCAAUAAUUAAAAUCUCUAAUUUGUUAGGUGUAUUUCAGGUCAUGCUUCAAUGUUUUUUGAGUUUUAACACUCACUAGUUAUAAACCUUUUGGGUCAUGAAAGGAGGCAGGAAAAAAGUAUUAGGCUAAUUUAAGCAAAAGAAUAGGUUGCAUUGCAAAACAAAAAGGUUUCACUUUGCAGAAAGACAUUACUUGUUUGUUUCCCUCGGGACAAACCUUAAAUAUAAACCCCAGUCAUUAGUUAGCCAUAUGCUUGAAGUAGCUUUUAAAGACAUGCUUUUAGCAAGCUAAUAAGCUUUUACACCAAAUUUUGAUUGGUUUUGUAAAGAGUUAAUAGCUCACGUGGUACUGAAUAUAAUUCUGCUGUCGAGAGUAUGAUAUUUUUAUGAAUAAGAAUAUGGUACACCAUUAGGAAGCUAAAGAACACAGUGUAGACUACCAUUAAAUCUAUUUUAGAGUUUUUGAUUAUUAGUUGGUAAGAAAGACCCUACAACUGUCAAUUAAAAUAAAAACUAACAUUUCAUCUUUAAAGUUUUUAACCAUUUAGGUUUUAAGGUAAUUUUGGACCUUCCUAAGCCAUCCUAACAGUAUAUAUGUUCCCUCUGUUAUCAAAAUUGAUUUUCCAGGCAGGAAAUCAUCAAAUAAUAAUAACCAUUGUAAAUGUUACAAACCAAUUAAAGGAGAAUAACUUUUCUACCUGUUGCAAAAGUAAAACAAAAUGACUUUGACCACACAUUUCUUAUUCUAGUAAGACUUCUUAGCAACUUGUUGUUCAUGUAGUUAUUAGUGAACAGGAUUUUGGAGGAUGUUGGUUUUGGGAUACAAAAGUUUGUAAUUCUUAGAUUUGGUUGGAGGUUCUUUUGUAAUAGUAUUAGAAUAUCCUUCAAGUGUUCCAUAUUAAUUUAUUUAUUAUUUGUGGAUAAAAAAACAUUUUUUAUUUUAAUGAGACUUCAAUCAGUUAUAGAUCUGCUAUAAAUAUCAGAGUAAGCAGAAUGGCCCAAAGAAAAAUGUUUAGGCCAAAUCAUUUCUAUUUGAUGUGAGUACUCGACCUGUAUAAUCACCUUGCACCUCUUAAGUAACAUUUGCAUAGAUACAUGCAUCCAACUAUUGUUUGAUAAUAACAUGCGAAUUGCUGUGUUAAAGCAAAACAGUUCCACACUUUCACAUCUAGAACAACCUAAAAGGUUUUCCUUAUCAACUUUAUUGUCCGUGUCUUAGUCUAACCUUAAAAGGUGAAGACAUAAGCCUAUAUAAUGUUAGGGGAUCCCUCCUUAAUUUUAUUGGGAGAUUAUGACCAAUGAAUAUUGGUAACACUAUUGUGGGGAGUUAAAUUAUUGAUACCCUCAAUUAAGUCAACUAAGGAGAGAAUUAUUGGAAAUCCCUCCUUAAUUUAAUGGGAGAUUAUGACCAAUUAAUAUUAGUAAUCAAUCCAUUGAAUAUAUUCAAUGAUAGUCAUUAAAAAGAUUUUUGGAAAUUGUAACUCUCUUAAAAAGUAAAGAGCAUUAAUUUUUUCACGAAGAAGUCUUUCUCUCAUUAUCUGUAAAAGGAAACUUCUAAGGAAGAGAAAAAUAGAAGCAAGUAAGAAGAGCAACAUAGAGAGAAGAGAUAUCCACCAUAGUGUGAGAUUAAAAAUUCUAGUGAAAGACUUAGAAAUUUUGUAUUCUUUUCUUGUUGGAUAAGAUUGAGUGUUAUCCUCAUAUAAUAAGAAAAACAAAUAUUGUAAUUCUACUUUUAUAGUGAAGGCAUUUUUUAAACUAGGUCCGGUGAAUUUUUAUUUCUCAAGUUGAGAAGGUUUUAUUUAUCUCGUUAUUCUAUUUUUGCUCUAUUUUCUAUUAUUUGCUUAUUGUUUUCAAAAGUGUUCAUCUUGUAUCUACAUAAAAAAAACAAAAAAAAAACCUGAAUUUUCUGAAUUUUCCUAAUAUCUAGGACCAUGGAGUUCACUAUCUACCUUACCUAAGAAUUAAACCUAAACUUGGUACAGGGUAGUCUUAAUAAUAUAUUGAAAUUUAAGAACAUGAUCCACGUGUAGUUAUGUUAAAUAAAACUGCAAAAAAGUUUGCAGAAACAUUUUAUUACAUAGAGGGCUUGCUUAUAACUCUAACCCCGCAACUUAUCUCAAAUACUUGUUUCAUUACUAGAAAAUUAUUAUAAUUAAAGUAAAUAUUAUUUUAAACACUAAAAAUAUUAUUAAUUUUUAAAUUAAUUUUUAGUAUAAAUAAAUAUUUUCUAAAUUGAUAUCUAAUUAGCUACUAAAGUUUUAACUAUCAAUUAUUUAAAUUCUAAAUUUGGUAAUUAAUUAAAUAUUAAUUUAAUUUUUUUAAUCUCUAAAAUAAUAUCUAAUUUAAUAAAUAUAGUAACUAAUCUUUAAAAUUAGUUUUUAUUUAAUAUAUUUUUAAUAUUUUAUUCCUUUCUUCCUCUCUAAAAUGUCUAGUAAUACUAGGUACAGAAACAUCUGGAAAUUUGUGUACUUAAUAACUGUCAUGUCACACACUUAACAAAAACAAAUAAACAUUAAACACAAGUUAAAUUUUUUUAAUCUAUCGGGAUUUUCCAUCUGUUACCAUUUUUUUUAUACAAUUUAUUUUCGAUUUUACCUUAUAUCUUAUUUUAUUAAUACAAUUAAAUAUUUUGUUAUUUUAUAUUAAUUACUUAAAAAAUAAAACUAUUUUUUAAUUUUUUAAAUUAAUAUUAAUAUACGUUUUUAUAUGACUUUCCUACUUUUUCUCUUAAUUUUUUAUUUUAAGUUAAUCACAUAAAAAAAAACAUACUCUGACAUAUCAAACAAAAUAACAUUCAUUUUCAAUCAUUCUUUGUACUCCACUUCAUUUUUACUUUUCAACUCAUCCAAAAUUAUUUCCGUAUAUAUAUUAAAUUUUUAUUAUUGUAAAAGUCAAUUAAAAACCCUAAUAAUAGUAAGGAUUUAAUUAAAAAUACUCAAAAUUUAUGAGAAAAAAUAAAUUUGAUUAAGCCAAAAAAUAAUUGUACCUUCGAUCAACUUGUGUCGGACCAUAUUUGAAGUGUGUGGGAGCCGCAAUUUCUUUUUAUUAAUUUGACACUAUAGCAAAGUGUUUGACACACGCCAUUGAAAAACCAUGUUGGAGUUUUAUAUGAUUCCUUCAAAUGUCUAAACAAUUUCAAUUUGGGGUACGUUAUCGAGAAACUGAUGCAUUGGAAGACUACACUUCUUCAUAUCUUUAAUACUCAUCAAUCACUAUAAUUUAAUGAUGAUCAUGGGCAACACUUCAGGCCCUUAUUUUUUUAAUACAAUUGAAACAAACCAAAUGCAAGAUGUUAAAUAUUUGAUUACUAAGAAAAUCUUAUAUGUUUGAUGAAGCAUGAUAUCAGUACUGAGCAACAAGUCCUUCUUCAGUGCUUGCUAUGGUGGAUGGCCUCUGGAACAUGCACCGUUUGCAUGAUGUUGAAAAGAGAGAGAGAGUCUGGUACUUGUUCUCCCCACCCAUCAUUGGCAUAGCAACCCCUCUCUUCACAGGGCUAACAUACCCUGGCCUGUAAGUCUGACCCAAAACUCCUUCAAAUUUAUCUGUGCUUUUCUUGAAUCUGAAUUGUGUCUCCAAAUGAGCAAAAGCAUCAUUUUGUGGCAGUUGGUAGUUGUGAACCUUGUUUUCUUGCUCUCCAAUAGGCUUCACACUUAUGUCCAUCUCAACCAAACCUGAAACCGUCACUCUCACACUGUUGGUCUCAUCGGUUCUCUCCACAACCACUUCUCUUUCAUCUCCAUUGCCCCUCCAUUCAGCCUCCCCAUCAGUUGGAACAUUGAUCACUUCACCAUCCCACUUCACUGUGAGAGAAUCAACCUUGUCAUUCCAAUGAGACACUCUAUUGGCUGCAAUAACAAGAGUGUGUGAGUCAAACAUGACACCAAGUGCUUGCACCCAUGUGUAGUCACGAGUCCUUCCUUGUGGUCGAGACCCAAUAAAGUGAGCAUUGAUUUGGAACUCCUCAUCAGAAACAAUGGCAAAAUUUCCUCCUUUGGCACCGUGGAAGUAGAACAUCACACCAUCACCUCCCACAAAGCGAGGAUCAUAGCACAGAGAUCCAUACCCAUCACAGUUAGCUUUCCUGACUGUCAAACAAGCAAACUCAACAUAAGUUCCAAUUUCAAUUCUUAGGUUUGUUUGGUGAUGAUUGAGUACAUGGACUAUUUUACUCUUUUAUAUAUACCAAUAUAAAUUUUUUAAACAAAAGUUCAGGUUCCUUGGAACUUACCCUUGCAGGUGGCUUCACAUGUGCUGCUGCUACAGUCAAUGAAACAUGCCUUCUUCUUCUUGUUCUUCUUGGGCUUCCUUUCUGCGCACUCGGAUGGACAAACAAUGGUCUUGAACUCACAGGUGGUGUUUGUUCUGCAGAACCCUCGUUCUUGACCUGAUGGCAGUGCUGACAUCUUGUCAUAAUCUGAGGCUUCAUCACGUUGCUUUUUUGGCUUUUUCUCUUUUGGCUUCUUGUCCUUUCCAUCAUCCUUUUUAUUUUUCUUCCCCUUUCCAUCAUCACUACCCUCACCCUUCCCCUUUCCAUUCUCAUUUCCUUUACCUUUGUCAUUGCCAUUACCUUGACCUUGAGCUAUGGCAGCUUCCAUGGCAAUAAGUAAGAUGAAGAUGGCCACCAAGAUGCUCCACUUUUUUCCACCCAUCUUCGUGAUCUACAAUGCACCUUUCUUUUUGUUUUUUGUCCUCUGCUAUGAUAUGAUGAUCUUCAAGUACUUCUUGAAUGACUCAGAGGAUGUUGAAGAGAGCAUGCAUUGAAAGAGAAUAUAUAGAGAGAGGAAUUGGGUUGAAAAUUAGCCCUGAAGUACGCCUUAAGCUUUGCUACGAUCCUUAUUCUAAACUCUUCAAAAGCUUGUAGUUGCUUAGUAGUGUAAUACGUAUGAAUUUUUAAAGUUCAAAAGUUACUUAUUGACCACGUAAACGCAACGCAUGCAUGAUUAAUAGGGUUGAGUAGCACGUUCUUUUUUGCCAAAGAUAAAAAAAAAAGACUUGUGUAGGAUCUACAGAAGACCCUUGAAGAUGAUAGACCUAUAGUACUAUAGACACAAGAAUUGAGAACCUAGGUAUGAACGAAAGCAUGCAUAACGCCAUGCAUCAACAUAACUUUUGUCUUAUUUUAUUCUAUUUUCAAAUGAUCAGCUUCAAUACUAAGCUACACGUAAACGUUAUGGUUACGUUUGUGUCAUGAAACUAAAGACAGAUGGUGACUUAAGAGUAGAGCAUUAGCUGUAGUAACAUGGGUUUCGAUCGAGUUGAGAAGAAGCAGCUUCUAUUGAUGGCAUUGAGUUAGAACAGCAUCAGCUGCCACUAUUUAUAUGCAAGUUGCCUUUGCCACCUUAAUUCUUCUGUUUAAACAUAAGAAUUAUUGGAUCUUGUAGCCGUCAUAAAUAGAUCAAAGUAUAUGAAACUUAAAUUGGACAACUAUGAAACUCUUAAUUUGACUCAAGAAACAAAUAAACUAUGACUAAGAUUGUGAGUCCACACUAAAUUUUCUUUCACACAACUAAAUUUUAACCAAUACUACAAGCAAGGUAAAAAAAUGCAAAACAAAUAACAUUUGAGAAAUCUCAAUUGUCAACGCUCUAGUUCUUUAGUCACAACUAGACAAUUUAUUUCCUUAUGUUAAAAGUCUCACUUUAUUUAAAAUAGUUUUUAAAUGUUAUUCUUUUAACCAUUUAGUUGUCUUUUCAACAUGAAAUUGUGAUGUAAUACUAUAACCAUCUCAAAACUUCUGAAAGUAAAUAUUUAUAAGAAAAAUUAUUAAUUUCUUUUUUAGUUUAUAUUGUUACUUCAUAUACAUUGCAAGAAAAAAUUAUUUUAGUGGCCAAUAAAAAAGUGGGAGUUAUAAAAAAAGAAGUAAGGGUGUGGUCUACUCAAGUUGGACAAUGGAUGGCAAUGCGGAGCGAGCUAUGUGGGUCAGUCCGCAGCCCGUUAGUAAAAAGUGUGGGAGGACUCAGUAAUUCAACAUGUCGACCCGCUUAAGCCCGUCUCACAUAACUUGUAAUUCGCGCGGGCCAAUAAUGGGAUGGGUCGAGUUGACCCGCUGACCCGUACAAAAAAAAAAGGAACAAAAUUGUUUACUUAUGUCAAUCACCUAUGUUUAGAAAGAAAAAAAUGACAAUAAUGUUUCUUCAAAUUGGACUAAAGUAGUUUAACCAUCAUUUUUGUUUCUCUGUCUUUAUGUUCUAGGUUUAUUGCGGGAGUAUAAUCAUAUUUUCUUUUGUAUGAUGAUAAUUUAUUUUGUACUAUAACCAUAGUUGAACCAUUAAUUUUAAUUAUAUGUUUAUUCUAUAUUUUUUGACAAGAUCUUAAUUUGCAAACACAGGUUCAAUUUUUUAUUCAAUUAUAAUCAAUUUAUAUUCAAUAUUUUUUAUAAUUUUUCAAUAGCCAUGCAAAAAGUAAAAAAUAUUUUGAUUAAAUUCUUUUAUAUUCAAUUUUUCAUAAAUAAACAUUUUUAUUGUAUUUCUUAAAAAAAUAUUGUAUGCGGGUUGACCCGCAAACCUGUGGGCUGACCCUUAUGCGGGGCAGGGUAGAGAAAUUAGUCUGCAUUCACUACACGGGAUGAGUCAACCCAUACCGCAUUUUGCAGGCCAAAUGCGGGGCGGGCCAACUCGCAUUGCCGUCAAGUUGGACACAAAAAUAAAUGUCAAAUAUUGUGUCCAAUAUGGAGACCUUUAACUCACACUAAAAAUUAUUAAAAUAAUUAUAAGUUAGUGUCUGGAAUGGGAAAACAAAGUGGAUGCAAGUUAAAAAUUAUAAUAAGAAUAAUAAUAAGUUAGCGUUUAGAAUGAAGACAAAAAUUAUAUGCAAUAAAAAAAAUAAGUUGCAAAAUGAUACAUGGAACACAAAGUGAAUGCAAGUUAGUAUUUUAUUACAUUUAUAGUAGAUCUAGACAACACUAAGGUGACGUGGACGUUUAUUGUCACCUUAGCCCACACUAAGUUAUUUAAUGAGAGAAAAAAAACAUUAAAACAUUUUUGUCUCAUUUUCAUUUUCUCACAUUUUCAAUUUCGCUCUUUUGUCUUACUAUUAAAACUCAUAAUCCCAAAAUUCCUACGUCUCCUUCGUGGUCAUUUCGCUCUCCUUAUUGUUUGUUAGGCUUGGUUUAUCAAGUCACCCGCUAUCGGGUCAUUAUCAGACCACCCAUAUUAUAUAGUCACACACGAGUUGCUAGCCUCGGCGUAAGGGGUGUGUUGGAGAUCUCAUAUCUUAUAAACUGGUUUUAUGAGGUUGAGUUAGGCAUAAAGUUCACUUCUUAAUAAUUAUUUAAUUUUAUAUCUAUUUUAGUGUCUCUCAAACCUACGCUGUAGUUAAAUAAUAUAUUUUUUAUGUAGGCUUAGCCAACAGUACAUUGUAAAUUUGUGUCCCAUUAAAGGCCGUUUCUAAUGCAUGAUUACCAAAAGAUUAACUUUCAUUUCUAUUGGGACACUAAACCCGCACUAGUUCCAAGUAACGUCUUUCUUUUUCUCUUUGUGUUGUUCUUUUAGAGACUCUAUCAUCCUUAUUUCUGGUAGGGAGAAAAAAAAAAGUGUUUAAGAUUGUAUAAAUAUGCAUAAGAUAUAAAAUGUUGUAUUUGUAUUUUCAUUAAUGAAAAGUUGCAUCUACAUUCACAUUUUGAAAAAUUUAUGUAUAACGUGCAUUGGUUUAUUAAUUUGAUGAUUAUUUUUUCAAUUACUUAAUAUUUACAUUUGAAACUUUUAUGUAAAACAUGCUUUGGUAUAUUAAUUUCAUGAGUAAUUUUUUCAAUUACCUAAUAUUUAUAAUAGUUAAAUGUUAACGCUCUGAAAUAAUUUUAUAAUGUAUUUAUUAUUUUUGGUUUAAAGGAUAGUCAUCUAUAUAUAAAUUUGGCCUAUAGCUAUGAUAUAUUGAAUAAAAUAUUCAAGUUUAUUAUUUAAUGAAAAAACUUCACUAAUUUCAAAAUACGUCAAAUAUAAAUUAUGGAACAAUGUACUUGAGAAUACAUUCUAGAUUUGUUGUUUAUGGAAGUUUGAAAUUAUUGUUUUAAUGAUGGUUUAUGAAUUAGAUAUUUUGAAACAACUUUUUUCAAGCUAUAUUUUAAAAUAGACAAUCUGAAACUACAUCUGAAGGUAUAUUAUAAAAUCUAGAAUAUAUUUUAUGUAAUUUAUAACCAUGUUUUGAAUUCUAAAUUUACUUAAUUUAUAAUUAUAUUAAGAAUUUUAUAAUCCAUAAUUUUAUUAUGAAUUACUUAAUUUAGAAUCAUAUUUUAUAUUUUGAAUUUUAAAAAUUAAAAUUAUAUUUUAUAUUUCGUAAUACAAUAACAUGCCAAAAUUUCCAUCUUGUUAACAUAAUAACAUUAGUCAAAAACACAAAUAGUCCAAGUUUAUUUCUGUAAUUUAUUAGGCCUGAAUUUAAUUUUUGCAUUUCACUUUGAUCCUUCGACAAUUAUUUCACUCGCUCUCAUCCACAACUUAUUUUUAAUACUAAUUUUUCAAAUUGUCGAAGUUUAGUUUAUUUGAUUUAGAACUAGGAAAAGAUGGAUGAUUUAAUCACAAAAUUUAGUUAAACAAAGCCAUGCUGAAGAAUCCAUAAAUAACUUUUGAUUUAGAUGUUAGCUAUAUUUUUUUCAAAUUAUUUAAUGAUUUUUUAAAAUUGGGUAUCUAAUAAAUUAAAUAUUUUAAUUUAACUAUUUUAUGUUUUCUGUCUCAAUUAAUUUAAUACUUAUUAGUUUAUUUCACGUGUCACACAACUUAUAAAUUUUGAACCUUGAUCAUAUUAUUAGGUUUCAUGAGAUUAACAAAAAUGUAUUGGUUGUGUUGAUAAAAUAAAAUCAAAAUAUAAAAAAAAAUCAAAAGCUUAAAUCAAAAUAAAUAUUUUAUUUAAAACCUUAAAUAUGUUUGAUGUAUUAAGCAUUCAAUUUUUUAAAAAUUGGUUAUAUAUUAACAACUUAUAAAUUUAGAUACAAUACCCUUAUAUAUUCUUAAAAAGGAAAAGACUUUAAAUUUAUCCAAAAACAAAUUCAAUGAAAGUUGGCAUAAAAUUCUCCCUGGUAGGAUACUAAUUAUGAGAUUCUAUCAUUAUUAAAUUAAUUGCAUAUAAUUGGGUACAAUAUUAUAUACAAUAAUUGCAUAUAAUUUAAUUAUUAUUAUUUUCUUAAUAUUCCGUCAAGUUGGCAGGGGAAGAUAAUGAACCCCAACUUGUGUCGUAGCGUCAAAAACCAUUCCUUGCUCAGUGUCUUCAUAAAAAUAUAUGCGAGUUGAUACUGUGUCGAUACAUAUGAAGGACUGAUUAUCACAGCUUGUAAUUUUUCUCGCACAAUGUGGCAGUAUAUCUCAAUGUAUUUUGUGCGUUCAUGAAAUACUGGAUUUGUUGCUAUAUGUAAUGCCGCUUGAUUGUCACAAAAAAGUUGAGCUGACAAGUUACAUGACACCUUUAAAUCCUGCAAUAGAUAUCGCAAUCAAACUAUCUCCAAACAAGUAUUGGCCAUCGCGCGCGGUAUUCUGCUUUCGCUGAUGAUCUUGAUACGUUUGUCUUCCCCAGUCUGAGUCGCAAUAAGUUGUCAAUGUCAGAUUGUUUUUGGAUAGCAAUAACCAUCCUUAUCCUGGUGAUCCUUUGAUGUACUUUAGGACUCGAAUUGCGGCAUCCCAAUGAGGUUUUCGUGGAUCUUGUAUAUAUUGACUUAGGGUCUGAACCGAAAAUACUAUGUCAGGCCGAGUAACUGUGAGGUAUAUCAGUCGUCCCACGAGUUGCCUGUAUUUGACUGGAUCCUUUAAUAAUUCUCCACAGGUGUGAGUUUUAGGUAUUGUUUGGAAAUUUGUCUAGACGAGCACCUGUGAGUCUCGUAUCCUACAAAAUAUCAAGCGCAUAUUUUCUUUGGGACAUGUAAAUACCAACUUUGGAACGGGAAAAUUCAAUCCCUAGAAAAUAUUUUAGGUCUUCAAGAUCUUUAAUGCGAAAUUGUUGUAAUAAACAAUCUGAAUUUCUGUCAAAUCAUUGUAUGUCAAAAGAAUAUCAUCCACAUAAAUCAAAAGGGCAGUAAAUAAUGAGUUAUUUUGUCUUGUGAAUAGAGAGUAAUCUGACUCUUGAAAUCCUAUAGAUUUAAUCCCAUGAGAAAAUGUUGAAAACCAUGUCCGAGAUGCUUGUUUGAGACCAUAAAGGAUUUGUUGAGUCGACAUACAAUGUUCUCCCUCUAUCGAUGAUGCCGGGUGGCAAGUCCAUGUAAAUAAUUUCAUGCAAUGUGCCAUGUAAGAAGGCAUUUUGCACAUCUAGCUGGUGAAUAAAUUAAUUGUUGGCUGCUGCAAUGGUGAGGAGACACCUUAAAGUUGUUAAUUUUGUUGUUGGUGAAAAAGUUUCAGAAUAAUUGACACCUUCAAUAUGAGUGUACCCUUUGCGACAAGGCGCGCCUUAUAUCUGUCGAUGUUACCAUCUGAGUUGCACUUUAUUUUAUAGACCCAUUUGCAUCCGAUGGGUUUCUGCCCAACGGGUAACGGUGUCAAGGUCCGAUUUAGCUGCAAGGCAGAAAGCUCUUCGUCCAUUGUUUUUUGCCAAUUUGGAUCAAGGAUAGCUUGAGCAUAAGUGUGAGGUUCUUUGGUGGCUGUGAUGUUAGCAAGAUAUGCACUAUGUGUAGAAGAAAAUCGUGAAUUAGAAAGAAAAUGAUGCAUAGGAUACCUGGUUCCAUUCAGUUGAUCUUGGGCAGUGGUCAAAUGAUUGGCUUGGGAUCCGUUAUGUAGUUUUGAAGCCAGGAAGGUGGGGUUGAUGUGCGACUGGAUCGUCGAACAGGAAGGUCGGUUUGAGAAGGUUUGGUAAUGGGUGUUAGACUUCUUGGCAUGGGAGUAAAAGGUUGGUCUACUGGAGGUUCAGGUGUAUUAUGACGAGUAGGAGAAGAAGGUUGGUUUGAUGGAGGUUCAGGUGCAUUGUGAUGAGUAAGAGAAGAAGGUUGAUCGAGUGAAUGUUGGACAGAAGUGGGUAAGUCAAUGUCAAUAGUGGGCAAAAUACCUUGUGAUGGAGGUGAGGAUUGUGUCUGUGACUGUUGGCAGAAUGGGAAAACACUUUCAUGGAAGAUGACAUCUCGACUUGUAAAAAAAGUGUUUGCAUCUAUAUCAAAUAAUUUGUAUGCUUUUUUAUUGAGAGGAUAACCAAUGAAGAUGCAUUGUCAAGCGCGCGGAUCAAAUUUUUGCUUAGGUGAACCAAAAGUUGCAUAACAUCUGAAAAGGUGAUUUAUUUUUUAGUAAAGGUGUUGGCAAGCGAUUAAUGAUAUAUGUGGCGGUUAAAAUGUAUUCCCCAAAAUUCUAAUGGUAAAUGGGACUGAAAUAAGAGGACUGGUGCUGUGUUAAAAAUGUGUCUAUGUUUGCGUUCUACUACUCCAUUUUGUUGAGGAGUGUAGACAUUCAAUACCUUUUUUGAGAAAAAAAUUACACAUAGAAAUAAAUUUCAAUCCGUUGUCAACACGGAUGGUUUUAACAGAUGCCUGAAAUUGAUUUUGUGCAAAAGUAAUGAAUGAAUCUGAGAGAUGUUGGGUUUCAGACUUGUGAUUCAUAAGAAAUAAUCAAGUACAUCUAGUAUAGUCAUCAACAUAGUGAGAAAAAAACGUUUUCCCAAAAUGAGUUGGGGUUUUAUAAGGACCAAGUGUCACCAUGCAAUAGAUUAAAUGAUGAGAUUUUAUUGUGCUUAAAGGAAAGGGUAGCCUUGUCUGUUUAGCUUUGGGAUAAAUAGUACAAUUAUUUUGAAUGGGAAUGAUGCAAGUUGUAGACACGCCGGAGAAGGAUGUCCAAGGCGCUUGUGCCAUAAAUCAGGGUCGGUCGAUAUUUGAGAUGCGUGGACUUGGUUUGGAAGAGGGACAUGUAAUAUAAGUCUGUGUGUUGUUUACCCGAGUCAAUCAUCCUCCCCGUAGUCAAGUCCUGCAAAAUGCAACCUGUGCACAACAAUUUAGUGAACUGGUUAUCUUACUAACAGACAUGAGAUUUAAAUUAAAAGAAAGAACACAAAGAACAUUUUUUAGAGUGACUUUGCCAUUGAAUUUAAUUGUGUCCAUAGAUGAAAUGGGUGCAGUUGAGCCUGUGGGCAGAUUAACAUUUGAAAUAAAUGUUGAUGAAGUGUGUGUGAAAAAUUGUGAAUCAGAUGAUUGCUCCACUAUCCAAAAUUGUGAUUGGUUGCUCCACUAUCCAAAAUCCAUGGUUUCGUAAAAGCAGACCUGCAGAGCUAACAAACGUGUCACUUUUAAAUAGUCUUUGCCAAUUGUUGAAUUUGCUCGGCACUGAAGCCUUGUACGAGGUUUCUAUCAGACUCGUUAUUGAUGCCUUUUUUGCCAGACGAUCUUUUAUUUAAGGGAUAAAAAUGGAGAGGCUGUCAGGGCACCAAGAUCGGUGCUCUAAUACAAUAUAAGAAAAUGAUUAAAAAAAAUGGUAAGAAGAAGAGAUGUUUCUUAUUCUCUUAUGUGUAUGGUUACAUCAUGAAAUAUAAACUAAAUUUAUAAACAAAAAUAAUUAGUUGAUAUAGUGACUAAAUUAGAGACCAUUUUAGGGACUAAAUAAAUUUUUGGUUUCUAAAUUAAUUUCUAUUAUUGUUAAAUGGUUUCUAAAUUGGUAUCUAAUUAACAACUAAAGUUUUUGUUACCAAAUUUAGAAUCUAAAUAAUUGGUAGUUAAAACAUUGGUAGCUAAUUAAAUACCAAUUUAGAAACUAUUUAACAAUAAUAGAAACUAAUUUAAAAACUAAUUUUUUUUUAGUUUCUAAAAUGAUUUCUAAUUUAGUUACUAUUGCAACUAAUUAUUUUGGUAUUUAAAAUUUAGUUUCUAUUUGAUGAUUUUCUUGUAGUGUACUUAAAUUGACUUUCUUAAGAUUUUUUUAAAAGUUUCUUCUUACCCUGUACAAUUAUUUUAGCAUAAUUUUAGAAUGUUUUCUCGACCAAAAUAUAAAUAAGCUUAAAAUAACUAAAUGAGUACUAUUAUAUUAUAAAUAGAAUACCUAGAUUACUAAAGUAAAAAAGAAAUUAUAUGGUUUUAACUAUAAAUUAUAUAGAUCCUAAUUUUUUUUUAAAAAACUUUGGUAGCUAAUUAGAUAUCAAUUUAGAAACUAUUUAUCAAUAAUAGAAACUAAUUUAGAAACCAAAUUUUUUUUAGGGUCUCUAAUUUAGUCACUAUAACAACUAAUUAUAUUUUGUCUCUAAUAUUUUUAGUUGUAGUACAAUUUUCACUUCAACAAAAAUUUCUUCGCUUGAGUGAAAAUUGGGUUGAGACUAAGCUUAGUUGAAAUAAUAUUUUUGCUUGAACAAAAAUUUCUCUACUUGAGCGAAAAAUCCAUCGUUUGAAUGAAAAUUCCUUCGCUUGAGCGAAAAUAAGAUUGAGACUAAGAUUUUGAUUUCUAUUCUAUUUUAGUUUGACGGAAAAAUAUAAGAAUUUAUGUCUCGUUCAAUAGACUCACAUAAUCCUAAAACAAAAUUCAAAGUCAUUACUCUACAUUAAUAUAAAAUUUUGCAACUUUUGGAUAAUCAAAGGACUUUUAUGGUUUUAAAAUGAUUAAAUAUAACAUGUAUUAUCAUUAAAAUCACAAUUCAUCAAAGACAUUAAACUUCAAAUUCAACUCACAAUCAAUCAACUACUUUUCCAAUUGGUUAAGCUUCAAAUAUUUUUUAUUAAUCAACAUCUAUUUUACUCAACAAACAAACCUAAAGUUCUAUUGAAAAAUAAAACUAACUUUCCUUACGAGAUUAGAAGUACGAGUACUCACAAAGAACUCCAACUUCUAAAAAAACAAAGAUAACCUAACAUGCACCACACAAUUUUGAUCAAUGAUCUGAACACACCACUAGGUUCCCAAACUAACAAAAACUCAUACUAAAGUUAUAAACACUACAUGCAAAUCAUGUCUACCCAAUUAAACAAACAAACAAACUCAAAAUCGACUCAGAAAAAAAAAUACAAGAAAGAAACUUAUUCUAAAUAAAAUUAUGAUUGAACAAUUUUAUUUGAGUCACUACCAAAAGUCUAAAAGUGACAUCUAAUCGUCAAUCUCACGAAGAAUAAAGUCAAAUUUCUAGAAGGAAGCAAAUAUAUAUAUAUAUAUAUAUAUAUUUAUAGAAAUAAUGAUUAUUUUAAUUUUGAAAACUAACUAAUUUUUUAAUUCUGAAACUAUUUUCUAAAUUCUUACAAUAAAUAUAUAUUAUUAAACAUUUAUAUUGUAUUAAAUUUAUCAGUAUUUAAAGAUGUAAACAUUCAUAUCACUAAAAUCAUGAAAUAGAAACUAAUUUGUAGAAACCAAAAUAAUUAGUUGCAAUAGUAACUAAAUUAGAGACCAUUUUAGAAACUAAAAAGAAAUUUGGUUUCUAAAUUAGUUUCUAUUAUUUUCUAUUAUUGUUAAAUAGUUUCUAAAUUGGUAUCUAAUUAGCAACCAAGGUUUUUGCUACCAAAUUUAGAAACUAAAUAAUUGGUAGUUAAAACCUUAGUUGCUAANNNNNNNNNNNNNNNNNNNNNNNNNNNNNNNNNNNNNNNNNNNNNNNNNNNNNNNNNNNNNNNNNNNNNNNNNNNNNNNNNNNNNNNNNNNNNNNNNNNNAAGGUCUCGUCAUUCCUGUCGUUCGGCCAUGUCCCCGAGGGUCUUGACAUCUCGGUCGUUCGGCCAUCUUUCCGUAGGUUUCGACCAUUCGGUCGUUCGGCCUCGCCCAGUACCGGUUCUCUAUCCUAUAUAAGUCGAGACCAACAUCGUCUACUACCAGUUUAUGGCCAUGUUACUGCUUAAGGAAAAAGUUACCCCAGGUUAUCACAUAGACGCGAUGAUGUACCCUAGCUUUAAGUUUUUGAGUUAAGUGGGGAGCCGCUUAACUUUGUUUUAACUGCUAAAUGCUUAAUUAGGAGGUCUAUGUAUAAGGGUUGGAACACCCCUAAAGUGUUUCAUUUUAUUCUAUUAAUUCGUUGCUGAUCAAAAAAAAAAAACAUAGCCCUCCUAAUUAAGCAUUUAGCAAUUAAAACAGAGUUAAGCGGCUCCCCACUUAACUCAAAAACUUAAAGCUAGUCAGAGUUACAUUGCCUUACAAAGUUGGUCUCGAAACAUAGCCUUACAUAGCCUUACAUAGCCUUACAUAGCCUUACAUAGCCUUAAAAACGGCUCCCCUCCUAAUCAUUGUGUUUUUGCAGCAACAAGGCCAGAACUGGGCGAGGCCGACCGACCAAUGGUCGAGACCUUCGGAGAGUUGGCCGAACGACAGAGCUGUCGAGACCCUCGGGGACAUGGCCGAACGACAGAGGUGGCAAUACCUUCGAGGACUUGGACGAACGACCGAAGGUCAGGACCUUCGUGGACUUGGACGAACGACCGAACGUCAAGACUUUCCCAUAGACCUUCUGCGCAAACUUUGUUGCUAAUUAGAUACCAAUUUAGAAACUAUUUAACAAUAAUAGAAACUAAUUUAUAAAUCAAUUUUUUUUAGUUUAUAAAAUGGUUCUUAGUUACUAUUGCAA
RNAcentral lists this long non-coding RNA (120181 nucleotides) under Phaseolus vulgaris (common bean). RNAcentral's name for it is "long non-coding RNA (PVUL_LNC000108)". The record is from RNAcentral. Lineage: Eukaryota; Viridiplantae; Streptophyta; Magnoliopsida; Fabales; Fabaceae.